UUUGAUGGCACUAGGUGGUGGUGGCGGUGGCGGAGAGAAAGUAGGCACAACGGCUUCAAGCUGUGGGGCGCUGCUCUUGCUUUGCAUGGUCAUCAUGUCUCUCUCUAUUAUAUCCAUGGUCAUAUUUGCUUGUGGGGAUGGUAGUAAGGCUUCUACUUCACCUCGCAAGAAAAAAAGGAAGGACGCAGGAGAUUGUGGAAAUUGUGGUGAUUGUCUUUCUCUUUGUUGUGGAGAUGGUUGCGGUGGAGGUAGUGGGGAUGGUGGCGGUGGCGGUGGUUGUGGGGGUGGUGGCGGUGGUUGUGGAGGUGGUGGUGGAGGUGGCAGUGGCGGUGGCGGGGGUGGAGGUUGCUGAUGACAAAAAAAAUUGAGUUGAUAUAAAUUAUGUAUGAAUAUUCUUUUUGUAUUGAAGCUUAGAUAGUAUGGAUGUGUACAUAUUUGUUUGCAUUUUUUUUGGAAUAAAUAGCACGUUAGAAGUGCCCUUGCUUUCUUGCCUUAAAUUUAUGUGUGCUUAUGAAUGUUGAAAUAGAUUUUGUUUGCAUUAUUCAAUAUUUGGUGAUACCACAUUAAAUUCCUACCCAUUUUGUCAUUAUUUUUUCUUCAUCCAAACAGGCCCAAUUCAAACUCAACCCAGGUUCCAGAAACCCAAUCCAAGUUAGCACUUGAUGGGAUGUUCCUUGGAUCCAAGUGCUUAAACAUAUGUUGGAUGAGUACAAGCGGCAUUAUUCCUGUCUCUGUCCGAUGUGGGACCGAUUGGGAUUGAUAAGAAGAAAAAUAAAUGAAAGAAUUUCUAAGUGAAGGACUUAGAAAUCAGGUACUGAGGCUUAGGAAAAGGUACGGAAACCACUCAAACCACAUGCAUUCUAAUGCAUAAUGUAGCAAACCAGAAGACUAUAUUCAUUCCUAAGAAAAUUUAUAAUAUUGAAUAAAAUAAUAUAUAUAUAUAUAUAUAUAUAUAUAUAUAUACAUAUUUUAAAUUAUAAAAUUAAUUAAAAUUAAAUAAUUAAAUUUUAUUUCAUGUUUAAUAUAUUCACAUUUAAAUAUUAUACAUAUUUCAUUUAAUAAAAUUUAAAAUAUUAAUACAUGUAUACUUAUAUAUGAUUUAAUUUGAUAGUAUCAAAAAUAAAAAAAUACAUAUUAUUGAUUUUAAUUUAUUUAUAAAUAUCUUUAACUUUUUAUAUUUUUUUAAAAUUUUAAUAAUAUAUAAAUUAUAUAUUUAUAAUAUUAUCGGUUUGACCAUGAUUCAACUAUCAGUCUAACUAUUAAAUCGUAAACCUGAUUUGAUACUUGAAACAUUGAAAAAACCACAUUUACACUAAGUGACAUUACUUUUGUUAUUUGUAUUCUAGUUUGUCUUCAAAAGUAGUUCACAAUAAUCCAAAGAGUGAUUCUGGAUUACUAAAAACUCACUUUCAAUGUCAUCCUACAAAGUAGCACUCAAAUUAAGGGUCAAGAUUUUAAAUUUGGUAGGGUCCCAUUCAAUACUAUAUUAUUUUCCCCAUGGAAAAAGAAUAGUAACUACUAAUUGUUAUUAAAAAUAAUAAUUGAUCUUCCUUUCAAAUAUAAUUAUUAGCAUUUCUUUCAAGCACACUACACUAUUAUCAAUCAAACCACAUACACGAGCAAAAUUUAUAUAUAAAAAAAAAAAUUACAAGAUUUUUAACAUAGUUUAGUGAUCUAUAUUAUCCCUAUGUCACGGAGCAUACCAACAUUCGAAAAUUUACUAAUUAAAUGAAAGAGAAGAGUUACGAUGAUAAAAACUUUCACUUUCCUUUCAAUUUUAACCAUACUCCAAUUUUUUCUCUUUGAAAAAAUGAAAUCUAUCUAAAUCAUAAGAAGGUUAGAUAUAUAAUAAGAGCAAACUCGUCAUUCAAUAGAUAAAAUAAAAAUUCAAAAAGCAAUUCUUGUGAACUCAAUGGGAACUUAACUUUUGACAUUCCAUACGAAGUGCAAAAAAAUUGAUUUAGACUUCACAAUUCAAUAAUUAUAACGUAAAGUUUAUUGAAAAAAUAAACUUGAUUUAGAAACUUUCUAAAUAUUAGAAUUCGAUCACGGUUCCUACAAGCUAAACCCAUCAUCAUAGUCACCGGCGACACAGCCCAGCACCACCUAGCAUCGAUGGAGAUCGUUCUCACAAUAACCAAACACCAAUCGUUCACGGCAGCCGCCACCCUCCCAUGAGUUCAUCUUAGUUAAACUUUGUUAAUUCAAUUUAAUUUGAAAAAUGAUUUUUUAAAUAAAUAUUUCAACAACGGAAUUUUCAAGUUAUUUUUUGAGUUCAUUUCUAUGAAUUUUUUUUUUAAUAUUUUAAUUAAAAGAUGAUUAUUUUUGUCCACCUAAAACGGCCAACAAUUGAAUUUUCAAAUUAUUUUGUACAUAACAUAAAAAUGAUUUUGUUCAAGUAAGAAUUUUAAUGGUUGAAAUUUCAAAUAUUUACCACAUCACAUGAAAUAAAAAAAAUGUUUCUUUAAUAUUUAAUAAUUUCUGGUGUGAUAUUUAAUUUGUUUCUGUUAUAUUUAUAUAUAUAUAUAUAUAUUUUGUUGGUUAAAAAUAAAGUGUAAGAAGAGUUACACUUUUGAAAAAUAACUUUUGAAAAUAAAGUGUAAGAAGGGUUACACUUUUAAUGUAUGAAUUAAACACAUAAUUAAGUUUUGAAAUGUUACAAAACUUGAAAGGUUAAGGAAGACAAUGAGUCUUCUCAUCUUUGUAACUUUAUAAAACUUAAGAUGUUAAGUGUAAGAGAGUUACACAUUUGAGAUUAAAUCAUGUUUAAUGUGUAAAUUAAACAUAUGAUUUAAUUUUUGAAUGUUACAAAGAUGAAGAGUUGAGGAAGACAAUGAGUUUUAUCUCAUCCUUGUAACCAUUUUUUAACCCUAAGAGUGCUAUAUAUGACUUUUCUUCUUUUUGAAAUCUUAUGCAGAAAAGUGAAAAGGCUUAAUCAAUCCCAAGAUUAUUUCCAUUAGUUCCCUAAAGAUUUCUAGUGGUGGGAGGAAAUAGAGUCUUUGGACAAAGUUCUAAGAACUUGUUUGAGCCUUUCUUGUAUUCUUCUUUUUCUUGUUCUUAUUUUGUAAUUUUGAGAGUUUUAUUGUAUCAAGAGAGUGUUUGAGAAUGUUUCUUUUCUCCAUUGUAUCCAAUUUUUAACAUCAAUCAAAGACUUUAUUCUUCAAUAGAAGGAGAGACUAUCAAGAUUAUGAACCAAGACCUUGUGAGGUUGGAUCGUUUUGAUGGUUCCAACUUCACUAGGUGGCAAGACAAGGUGAGAUUCCUUCUCAUAGCACUCAAGAUUUUCUACAUCCUUGAUCCUACCUUAGUACCGUUACCGGAACCAAAGGAAAAUGACACACCUCAAGUGGUGGCGGCAAGGAAGAAGAGGGAGGAGGAUGAGCUCAUAUGUAGGGGUUAUAUUUUGAAUGCCUUAUUCGAUAGGCUAUAUGAUCUCUACACCAACACUUAUUCCGCGAGGGAGAUUUGGGAGGCUCUUGAAAACAAGUACAACGCCGAGGAAGAAGCACUACUACAAAAAACUAAUAUAAUGACGCUUCAUAUCUUGUCGCUUAUUAAAAGUGUCAAUAUUUAAAAGAAAAAUGGAUUAAUAUUGGCGUUUUAGGAACAAUGGCGCUUUUUAAAUAUUAUAAUGACGUUUCUAUUACUUGGUGUCUAUUCCGUGCCGCUUUUUAAGAGCGUCAUGGUAGGAGCUUGUAUUAUGAACAGCCUUGACACUUGUUAGAAGAGUCAUUUUAUUUUCUCCUAUAUAAAUCCCUUGUUUCUUUGAAACCCUCAAACCCUGAUAGCCAUAAAAAAAAAAAAAAAAAAAAAAAUUAAAAAAAAAAAAAAAAAAAUUAGGGCACAUACCCACAUUGGCAACCCACCACCAUUGCCACGGAAGGUGACUCCCCUCCCAAUGCCUUUACCUUCUACACUGCUAUCUUUCUCUCUCCCAUCCUCCAUUCAUCAUGUCAUUUCUUCAAUUCCUUUUUCCAGUCCUCCAUUCAUCACGUCAUCUCUUCGAUUACCAAAGAAAUUACAAGAUCUUGCUGGGGGGGCUGCUUCCAAUGAGCUCGAUCUCACCAAGGCUACACAAUUGUAUUGUGAGAACACCGAAAGUGACUUUAAUUUGGAUGAGGUUUAUUUUUUGCCUUUUUAUUUUAUUUUCUUUUUUUUUUUAGUUUUUGAUCUGGAGAAAACAUAAAUCAUUUCUAACUAGUGUUGAUUUCUCGUUGCUGUUCAAGGAGGAUGAUAAUAUAAUACUAUUGGCUGACCCCUUUCAUUUGUCUCUAUUGAAGGCUUGAAGCCUCCACGAAACUAGGGGACUUUUUAUUUAUUUUUUUCAAAUCCAAAGAAAUUGGGAAUUUCUAGGGUUUGAUUUUGAAUCUUCUCUGAAACCCUAAUUUCGAUUCUCUCUGUUGAUUCCAUGGCUUCUCGUAGGCGUAUGCUUCUGAAGGUCAUCAUCCUCGGUGAUAGCGGGUGAGUUUUCAAAUCUCCGAUCUGGUUGGUUUGUUUGCUUGUUCUCGGUUUGAUUGGUGAGUAUUUAGGAAGAGAAAGUGGAAGGAACUUUUGCGUCUUUUUUAUUAUGUUGGAUUGGUUUGGUUUUGUGAACAAUGAGGUGUUUUUUUUUAAUGUUAUUUAUCAUUAUCGUUAUUAUUAUUAUUUUUUUCUUGAACUUGAAUUUUUCCAAGAAAUCAUUUUUUUUCAUAUCUAUACUAGAGAACAAAUCAUUUUUUUGGUUAUGAAAAACACAAAUCGUUUUACGUUUUUUUUAGUUUGCUUGAUUUAGGGAAAACAUAAAUCAUUUUUAAGUGGUGUUGAUUUAUUUUAUUUUUGUUAUUUAUCAUUAUCAUUAUUUUUUUUUUAAAAAAAAUUAACUUGAUUUUUUCCAAGGAUUCAUUUUUCGGAUCUGUUCUGGAGAACAGUUAUUAAUAAUAAGAUAAGAUAACAAAAAAUGAUUGAGUUGCAUUGGGCAUCUUGUAAAGGAAUGAGGUGCUCUGCUCCUAAAAUAAAGAAAAGAGAUCCAGUUCUUUGCCCUAUGCCACCCAUUAGGGCCCUUCCAUGGCAUCUCUCAUAAUUUUUUUUUAAAAUUUCUCCUUGUUUGUUUUAUUUAUUAGGAAGGGCCCAUUUUUAACUGGUUGAUUUAUAAGCAUCUAAAGUAGGUUUUUGAUUCAAAAUCAGGCCUCAUCUUUUGGAAGCUCAAGCACAGUGGAGAUAUUUUAGCCUCCAAAAUUUAGAAAAGAUUGAGAAUAAUAGUGAGUACCUCAUUUGUUAAAUAAUAAAAGUUACCCUUGGGAUACCUUUACUUUUCUAGAUCACUUACAAUUUUUGCACAAUACUACCUUAAAAUUUUUGGUUUAUUUGUUAUGUUAUACAAGAUAAUUUUAAAUUACAAGGUUGCAGGUGAGAAUGGUACAACUAACUGGCUCUUAGAGUAGUUUCUCAUCUUAAAUUGCCUCAGCCACCACCAAUUGCUACAGUGUCAUUAGGAAUAGGAAAUAAAUUCCCAUUUUCAUUUGGUUAGGUAGGAUGCAAUGUUUAGUGGUCAUUAGUUUGAUUAUAGCAUAAACUAAUGCUUGUUAUGGUUUAACUUCCUAAAAAUAAUAAAAAAAUUAAAAAAAUUCCCAAACUAUAUUUUUGUUUUUCUUCAUGCAAUUGUGCUAUUUGGAGUUGCUUAAGUUUUUUAUUGAAUCAAGAUUUUUCUAUCUAGAAAUUUAUUCAUUUCUUUAAAUCAACUAUGUAUAUAUUUCAGCAAUCCUUAUCUUGAGAAAUGAUGUCUUAUAAUGGGAAUAUGAUUGCUACUAGAAGCAUUGGUUAAAUAAGCAUAACAUGCAGCUGUCUAAUUCACAGGGAAAGAAAAAGCCUGGCUUAAAUUGUCAAUUUAUGGAGUCAUUCUUAGAUGAAGUGAGAAUGGCAAGGGAAAUGAAUAUUGGCAGGUAUUGUUUUCUUGUCAUUUUUAGCUUAGACUUAAUGAAAUGUAAACAUGGAUAUAAAUGGUUCGGUAUCACUAAUAGGAUAUUGCACCUUAUAGUCUAGCCUUAAUUCUUGCAACUCUUUAACUCCUUUGCUUAAGCACUCUUUGUUGGAAGUCUCAUUUUUUUUUUUUUUUUUUUGCUUUUCUUGCUUCAUGUAUUUCAUAGUUAAAUGAGCUAAAUAGAUAAAUUUUGUAUAAAAUAUAACUUAGAUCUGACAAUAUCUUCUAACAUAUCUUGAUCACAUUUUACACAUGAUAUGUAAAUAUCUGAGAUACUAAAGGAAAAUGUAUUUGGGUUAUCAAAGAACACUUGGUGAUAAUGUUGUGCUAAAAUGACUAUAUUAUCAUCUUUAGUAACUAAACUCUUUCGCUAACAGUCCUGCCAGAUUGAAAAACCUAAAAUAGGGUGCAUUUUUUAAGACUUUCCAAUAGGUUAGAGAUCAGGUUUUUGGAUUUUGUGCAAAACAGAAAAAUUAUAGUAUUUGCUAUUAUUUUUAAAAUGAGACAAGUCCCAACUUGAUUCAAUACUGGAUCAAAUUUAUAUGAAAAUUUAAAUCUAUUGGUAUAGGUGAAGACAACUAUGCUGAAUUUUUUUUGUUUUGAAUGAACUCUUUUUGGGAUUGAUUUCUUAACCCUUGUUCUUGCUAUAUUUGAAUCCAUAUUUUUUUUUAUUUAAAUCCUUUGGAAUAUAGUUUCCAUAUUGGUAUUAUUUUAAAACUUUCAUGGUCAAGUAAAAAUUUUGAAAAAUCAUUCUUUUAGGACUCAUCAAAUUUUGGUUAUUGAAUUUCAAGGAUAUGGUGACUUAUGCUUCACCAUACUGAGCAAUAAAGCCCAUUAAACAUGUGGACUUAAAAAUUUUAUCUAUUACUGAAAGGGCCUACUUUCUUCGGGAUUAAGUUCCAAAUCUUGGUAGGUUGGGAUGCAAAUGUUUUAAAUAAGAUAGAAUUCUAUUUGUACUAUAACUUUAUGAUUUAAUUAUUUACUUUUAUAAUUACAUAAGAUUUUUAUGAUAUCUUAAAUCAAGCAAUGUCAUGUUUCUUGGUUUUGUUAAAAUAAAAUAUAAAAAUAAGUCUAUACUUCCUAUCUUAGGAUUUUUAUCAUCUAGUAAAUUACAAGCUCCUCUUAUUAUCAAAAUAAACAAAAAUAAAAGGAACUAGUAAAAAAUAAAAAGUAGUCAAAUAAAUAAAAAUAAUAAAAAUAUAAGAAAUUAAAAAUAAAAUUUAAUAAUAACAUAGUGAUAAUGUGAUGGUUUUCAUCAUGUUUGGACCUUGGUAUUUUUAUUUAUUGUGCAUUAUAGGACUUAUUCUUGUAUUCGGUAGUGCUUUAAGAGUUCACCAUUAAAUGUCCAUACGGAGCAAUCCUAACUCAUAUAUACACUUUAUAAUAAGUGUUUGAUGCAUAUUUAUUCACUUAGAGUCUAUGAGUUUAUUAAAGAUUUAAUUUAAUUGUUAACUUAUACUAAAAAUACAAUAUUUUAUCCCAUAAAAACAUAAUUUAUUUCUUCUAUGUUGUUGAAUAAAAAAUCAAACUUUUAAAAAAAUUUUAAGUACAUUUUUUUCCUUAUUUUGGGGAAAGCAUAAUAGUUAGUUGAAAUUGUAGUUCAGGGUAUUUUGUUGAUAGAGUACGAAUUUAUUUAUUUAGUUUCAACUCAUUGGUCUCAUUAAUGAAAUGUUUUGUAUGUCUAGUUUUACUUUGAUGAAUUCUUUUAUGAGGUCUUUUUUGAAGUAAUGCUCUAAAGGUGCAACAUAGAGACGCCAAUAUAUAUUUUUGUCUACAUUAGAAUAAUAUGUUAUAUUUUAUUUUGAAUACACUUCAUAAUGUAAUUUUUUUUUUCGUAUAAUGAAUUUUUUUUUUCUUCAUAUAAUGAAUUGAAAGGAGAAUCCAUGUAUGUAAGAGGCUAAGGGGAUUAUUCAUGUAAGCAAAGUUGAUAACGUUAAUUAAUUUUGUGAAGGUUAUAAUUUCAUUUAUGUUUAUUAUUUAUUGUACGUAUAUAUAAUUUAGAUGUUUUCUACUCUUCCUUAUUUUUAUUUACAGGUUGCAAAGGAAACUUGUUUUCUAAAAGAAGAGAAACCAUUGUGUUAAAGAAGACGAAGUCAAAAACCAUGAAGAUUACAUCAGUGAAGAACUCAUUAGGAGGUGGAACUAUGCUUUUAAAGAUUAUGGUUUAUUUUAGUAGUCUUGGUACCAAUGUUUGUUCUUAUGUUAGAAUUAGAAAUUCUUAUUGAAAUAUUUUGAUAUAAUUAACAAGUUUAUGUGUAAUUAAUAUAUAUAUAUAUAUAUAUAUAUAUAUAUAUAUAUAUAUAUAGGUGGUUACAUUAACUGUUUAAACUAGGUUCAUGUAUAUCAAUAUUUAGAUAUAUUUUAAUUAAUUAAAUUCGAUUUUAUUUUAUUGGUUGUAAUUGUUUUUUUAAUUUAAUUAUAUAAGAAAUCAAUUAUUUUAAUAACGGAAUCAAAAGAUUAUUUUUUAAUAGAAAUUGUUCAAAGAUGACGUUUUUAUAAGCAUCAUUGUUAACAUGAAAUAAAGAAGACAUUUUUAAAAGUGUCAUUAAUAAGAUUAAAUCAAAGAUGGCGUUCGCACAAGUGUCAAGAGUGAUAAUUUUAUAAAAUUUAUUUCAAUAAAAAUGUUCAAAGAUGACGCUUUCACAAGUGUCAUUGUUGACAUUAUUCAAGGAUGACACUUCUUAAAGCGCCAUUGAAAGCAUUAAUAAAAUAUGGCGCUUCUUGAAAGUGUCAUUGUUAAUUGUAACAUUUAAUGACAGGGGCGGAUAUGACGCUUCGAGGAAGCGUCAUCUUUUACCUUUCUUGACGCUUAAAAAACGUCAUUAUUUCACUUUUUUCUUGUAGUGAAGGUACCAAAAAGUUUCUCACUUCUCAAUACAUAGAUUUCAAAUUUUUUUGAUGAAAAACCUCUCUUACCACAAAUUCAUGAGUUGCAAGUAAUUGUAAAUAAGUUGAAAGUUCUCAAAAUUGAACUUCCAGAGGCCUUCCAAGUUGGUGCUAUUGUGGCUAAAUUACCAUCAAGUUGGAAAGGUUACCGGAAGAGAAUUCUCCACAAGAGUGAAGAUUACUCCUUGGAAGAGAUUCAAAAACAUCUUCGCAUUGAGGAAGAAUUGAGAUCAAGAGACAAAAUGGUGGAAGAGUCUAAUGGUGGGACUAACAAAGCCAAUGCGGUUUCAAAGGCUAAUCAUCCUAGAGGUAAAAAUAACAACGACAAAAGGAAUUCCGGAAAUUAUAUGAGCCCCAAGAAAAAUCAAGAGCAUUUUAAGGGCAAGAAAGGUCCUUGUUUUGUGUGUGGAAAACCCGGGCAUUAUGCUAGGGAGUGUAGGUACCGAAAAGACCUAAAAGGGGCUGUGGUGAAUGCAAUUGAUGAGGAGAUCAUUGCAACACUAAGCGAUGUGUGCGUUGUCCAAGGAAAGAUGCAAGGAUGGAUUUAGACACAACAAUGUGGACAAGUGCUUAUAUUCUAAGACUUGUGAUGACUAUAUGGUCAUAGUGUGUCUAUAUGUGGAUGACAUGUUAAUCUUGAGUGAUGACAUGAAAGGAAUAACAGAAACGAAAAGGUUUCUAUCCUCAACCUUCAAGAUGAAAGAUCUUGGAAAAGUUGAUACUAUAUUGGGUAUCAAAGUGAAAAGAAAUAGUGGGGGUUAUGCUUUGAACCAAACCCACUAUAUUGAGAAAGUAGUUAGCAAAUUUAGUCAUCUCAAGAUUAAAGAUGCUAAUACUCCAUUUGAUUCAAGUAUAAAACUUGAAAAGAAUGAUGGUAGAUCGGUGGCUCAACUUGAGUAUGCAAGUGCAAUUGGAAGUCUUAUGUAUGUUGCUUAGUGUACUAGGGCUGACAUUUCAUUUGCAGUUAGUAAACUAAGUAGGUUUAUUAGCAAUCCAAGCGUGGAACAUUGGAAAGCUAUUGGUAGAGUUCUUGGUUACCUAAAGAAUACCAAAGAACUAAGCCUCCAAUAUUCAAAGUUUCCUGCUAUACUUGAAGGGUAUUCAGAUGCAAGCUGGAUAUCGAGUGUGCGAGAUAAUUUAUCUACCAUAGGUUGGGUGUUUACACUUGGUGGUGGGGCUGUCUCUUGGGGAUCUAAGAAACAGACUUGUAUAUCACACUCAACCAUAGAGGCAGAGUUUAUAGCUCUAGCUACAACUGGAAAAGAAGCUGAGUGGCUUAGGGAUCUCAUGAUGGACAUCCCUUUUACUGCAAAUAAUGUGUCAACAGUGUCGAUACAUUGUGACUGUCAAGCCACUCUAGCUCGUGCGUACAGUGGAGUGUACAAUGGGAAGUCUAGACAUAUAAGCAUUAGACAUGAGUAUGUGAGACAAUUGAUUCAAUAUGGAAUCAUCUCAAUCUCAUUUGUGAGGUCAAGUGGAAACUUGGCGGAUCCUUUUACUAAACCUCUUACAAGAGAUUUAGUAAGGAUAACAUCAAGAGGGAUGAGACUAAAACUCCUUAAAUAAAAUUCACCAAUGAUGGUAACCCAACUUAAUACUACGAAAUGACUAGUCUUAAAUUCAAUAGGUAAAAACAAGUCAUUGAUAAGUGGGUUGUGGCAGCAUUAGAACAUGUGAGUUCCAUCUGUGAUGAUUAAUGCUGGUUGUUAUCGUUGAAAGGUUAAGCUUAAAGCUUUUAAUGAAAUUCAGUCUAUGUGUGACAAGCAUCUUAAAGGUAACAAGGAUGCUGAAAGAAUUUCACCUAUGUGAACUUAGGGGUGGUGCCGCCUCUCAUGAGAGUUGGAGUUUCUUUCAAGAAAGUUCAUGAAUGGAUUGAGCACAUGGCCAUAAAAGUGCUAAGCAAGAAAAUAAUGGGCACUUGUGUGGUUAGUGGAAGUGUGUGUUGUUAUCGGUUUCGUUACAAGGAAUAACUGGUUCAAUGCUACAAGCAACCUGAGAUUUCAACUGAGCUUUGUGACAAUUACACUAAGGUAAAAUUCAAAUCGAAAGAUAUUUUAUUUUAUGCAUUUUCACUGUUAAGGUUAUAAGGGUUGAUGUUUAUUUUUAACCUAGUGGGGGAUUGUUAUAUAUAUAUAUAUAUAUAUAUAUAUUGUUGGUUAAAAAUAAAGUGUAAGAAGAGUUACACUUUUGAAAAAUAACUUUUGAAAAUAAAGUGUAAGAAGGGUUACACUUUUAAUGUAUGAAUUAAACACAUGAUUAAGUUUUGAAAUGUUACAAAACUUGAAAGGUUAAGGAAGACAAUGAGUCUUCUCAUCUUUGUAACUUUAUAAAACUUAAGAGGUUAAGUGUAAGAGAGUUACACAUUUGAGAUUAAAUCAUGUUUAAUGUGUAAAUUAAACAUAUGAUUUAAUUUUUGAAUGUUACAAAGAUGAAGAGAUUGAGGAAGACAAUGGGUUUUAUCUCAUCCUUGUAACCAUUUUUCAACCCUAAGAGUACUAUAUAUGACUUUUCUUCUUUUUGAAAUCUUAUGCAGAAAAGUGAAAAGACUUGAUCAAUCCCAAGACUAUUUCCAUUAGUUCCCUAAAGAUUUCUAGUGAUGGGAGGAAAUAGAGUCUUUGGACAAAGUUCCAAGAAUUGUUUGAGCCUUUCUUGUGUUCUUCUUCUUCUUGUUCUUAUUUUGUAACUUUGAGAGUUUUAUUGUAUCAAGAGAGUGUUUCUUUUCUCCAUUGUAUCCAAUUUUUAACAUCAGUUUCAACAAAAAAAAAAAAGGUUUUUUUUUUUUAUAUAUAUAUUAUUACAAUCCAGUUUGAAUUCUCAAAUUAAUUGGGUUAUAAAAUUCAAAAUUUCUUCUGUUUGAUUCAUGGAGAGUACUAGGAAAAGAAAAGGAAAAAAAAAAUAUAUUAAGGACAAUUAUUUUCUUAUAUUUGAUUUUAUUAUGAAAAAUAUGAAAAAAAAAAUUCAAAUAUGAUUCAAAUUUGUUAAAAAUUGACAUAUUUUAAAAUUAUUUAAUCUUUAUAUAACAAAAAAAAAUGUGAAAUAAGUUUCAAGAAAUAUAAAAAAGUAAUUUAUUAAUUUUAAAUCUAUUUUAUAUUUUUUUCUUUCUAUUUUUCCUCAAACUAUCUUUGGUUCUUGGAAAAAUAUGAGAAAAAGAAAAUAAAAGGGAAAGUGAGAGGAAAUAAAAAGUUAUGAAAAAUAAAAAAUAAAUUCAAACUCAAUAAAUUAUUUUGACAGCAUUUCUUCAAAUUCAUUUCAUUUAUUUUUCUCCAUUCUAUAAAGAUUAAAUAAGUUCAAAUUAAAAUUUUAAUUAAUUUCAAUAUUUGAUUUUAUUUCAUAUUUUUCAUAGUAAAAUCAAAUAUAAGAAAAUCAUUUUUUUAAAUUUUUAUUUAGUUCAUAAAAAACACUAAGUAAAAGAAAAAAAUAUUAAAGAAAAAUUAUUUUCUCAUAAUUGUAUUAUAAAAAAAAUCAAAUAAACUAAAAUUAAUAAAAAAAAUUUAUAUAUUUUAAAUUACUUAAUAUUUAUAUGGAAAAAUUCAAAUAAGUGAAUUGAGUUUGAAAUACUAAAUAAAAAUAAUUUAUUGAUUUUAAAACUAAUUUUUAUUUUUCUUCCUUUUUUUUUCUACCUUUUCUUUUUGUUUUCUUUCCUUAUAUUUUUCCUAAAUUUUGUAUUUAUUUAUUUUUUUAACUUUCAAGAACCAAGCCAUAAAGUUUUUGUAAUCAUUCAUUUCUCAAAUUUAUUUCUUGCACCACUUAUAUUUUCCUAAUAGUAUAUUAAUCAAGAAGAAAAAAAAAAUUAUUUUUCAUAUUGGUGGAAAGUCUUGAAAUACAAAGUGAGAAAACAAAAAAUUGUAAAACAUUUGGUGUAACUUUAUUAAAUAUUUAAAAAAAAAUUAAUGUGAAAUUUUAAUAAAUUUUUUUUACUCCACGUGGUCCAACACCAUUAAGAGUUUGUACCAUGUUGGUACGAUGGAUGUACCUUCUCCCUUGGAAAAUUGAUUGGAGACUUCCCUUCCUCCAAUCAUGAAGCAGAUUCUUUGAAGCUUCAGGCCAAGAAAAGACCGUUCAAAUAAUACGUUUGACUAAGCUACACGGCUUGGAAUUGAUCAAACUCAUCAGAAUUUUGAAUAGUACACAAAAGCGUAGCCUCCUAUAAAUGUGUCCAACCCUCUAUGGUUGUAUCAUAGAUUAGAAAGAAAAUAAGGUAAGAGGUUCGAUGGCAUUUGGUGUAGGCAGUGGCGGCGUCGAUGGUCAUGGUGGUGGUGGUGGUGGUGGCGGUGGAGGAAAGCAAGUGGGCAAGGUGGGUCUAAGUCGUUGUUCUUCCUUUGCAUGUCAGUUACACUGUUGGUGCUAGUGGUGGCGAUAGUGGUGAGGUUGAUGAUUUGAGGGAGGAUGGUGGUGGUGGUGGUGGAGGUUGCCAAAGAAAAAACAAUGAAGUUGAUAAACAUAAUGUAUAACCAUUCUUUUUGUAUUGAAGUUUAUAAAUAGGAUGUAUAUGUAUUCUUUGCAUUUUUUUCUUUUCAUAAAUAGCAUGUUAGAAGUUUUUUUGCUCUUAUACCAAAAUGAAAAGAGGUUAGGGCAUGUUUGUUAAUAGUGUCAAAAAUAGUUCUCUAUAUUUUAGUUCAAAAAUAUUAUGAAACAUAUUUGAUGACUGUAAAACAUUUUUUAUUCUUAAAAUGAAAAACAUUGAAUUAUUCAUUUUUUUUUAGGGUUGUUUUAAAAAAUAAUAAUACUGAUAUGAAGUUUGAGGAUUGUUUUAAAAAUAAUCAAACAAAGACGAAGAAUAAUUGAAAUGGAGCAUGAAGACAAGUAGCCUCCAAUCUUUAUAUACCCAAGAAAAUGAAGAAAAUGAGAUAAUAAUGUCGAACCAUUUUUAUAUUUAGUGAAUGUUUGGUAAACCAAUUUAAGAACUUAAAGUGACUUAACAACUUAAUUUAAGUUAUUAAGAAAAUCAAGUAUGUUUAAUAAAAUAACUUAAUUGUAUGACUUAAAAUAUAGAAAUAAUUUUAAGGAAUAAAUAAAAAUAAUUAACUUAUUCUUAAGUCCACAUCUUUAUUUUACAUUUUUUCCUCAUUUGUCCUAAUUAUUUUCAUGAUGUCCUUUACUACUUUACAACCUUUAUCGUUACUCAAUCUUCCUUACCUUAAUUAUAAUUUAUAAGAAUAAAUAUGUUCAUUUGAUAAUUUAAAAUAUAUCUUAAGUUAAUUUUAUUAAAUAACUUUAAUAUUUAAAGUAAGAAUUAGAUAAUAAAUUUUAAAUUAACAACUUAAAUAUAAUUUAAUUUAAAGUCAAUUUAAGUUAUUAAAUAAUAAGUAUUAAGUUUUACCAUACACCAUUUAGUAUAUCAUUCUAACUCAUCUACAUCUAUACAUGGAGACCUGAGGUUCACAAUCCUCAUGUAUCCAAGAAAAGAGUCCAUUAUCCCUUCUUAAUUAAUUAAAAAAUAUAGAAUAAUAGACAAAAGAUUAAUUAAAAUAUUCAUCAACAAAAACAAGAUUAUUAGAUAUCCAUGGGUAGAGUAUGUCAAAGCUAAGGUUUAUAAGCAUAAAAGUCAAUUAUGGUGCAAUAGUGAUUACAACCUCAGGUGUAAUAAAAACUUUGAGGGUGCUUAGUAAAUCAACUUAAUGAUUUAAAGUGGCUUAAUGACUUAAUUUAUAUCAAUCUUAAAUCAUUUUUGUAAAUAUAGUUCUAGAUUUAAGUAAGAAUAAAUUAAUUAUUUUGAUUUAAUACUUAAAAUCAUUUUUAACUUUAAGUUAUUAUAUUAAGUUAUUUUAAUAAAUAUGCUUAACCUAUUUAACAACUUAAAUUAAGUUAUUAAGUCAUUUUAAAUCAUUAAAUUAAUUUACCAAGCACCUUCUUACCCAACCUCCAAAUAGACUUUUAUCAUAGCACACAUAAUCUAAAUCUUUGGAACUUCUUUGAAACUUCCAAAUAGGUUGAAAAUAAUUGAGGUUGCUAAUACAAGGAAAGAUUAUUCAAGUGAAGGUUUGAGGAAGGAACAUGGCUUAAAAUUCAAAUCAAGAAAAUUAUAUGAAAAUAAUGAAGUUGUGGACCUGUAUUUUUCACGUGCGCCCCCACUCGAUCUGCGAGACUCGCUUUUAUUUCAUGAAAAAUUAAUUUUUGGAAAAGUCGGAAUCGCCACUUAUUUUAUUUUUUAUUUUAGAGGGAAAAUAAAAUAAGAAAGAAAAACCCUAAAAAGUAACUCCAUAAUUUUUGGAAAAAGCAUGUCUUUGAAAAAUCCGAGUCUAAGUCCGAGAAUCAAAUUACUUAUUGGGAAGGUACCUCUAGGAGGUAGCACCCCUCUAAGCCUUAUAAAGGUCUCUACUGACUAAGUUGAGGGAAAUAUGGAAAUUAAUUGGUUAAUCAUGAAUAUCUAAGUAGGCUAGGUGAUUUAAAAAAAAUAGCAUGCUUAGCAAUAAAGCCAAUCACAAUCAUAAAGAAGAUUUAGGGUGUGUACCUGGACUACUUCUUAAGCAUUAUCAUAAAACAUCAAAGGUUAGUUUGAAAAUAUGACAUACAACAUGCAUUUUUAUCAAAGAUGUUCAAACAAUCAAAUAUAUAUAAAGGCAAUCAAGCAUGACACCAAACAAGGGCAAUGACAUUCAUAUUUAUGAAAUUUUUUUAAGUGUAGUGGUAGAGAGCAUACUUGGACAACGAGUUGAGCGCUAAAAUAGGGAACAAGGUUAGCUCAAUAAUAGGUGCACAACAAUCUUAUGCAUUAUAAUGAGGAAUCGAUAUCAAACAAAUACCCUAUUUAAAUCAAUAUCAGAGAUGAUGUAUAGAAUGUUGGAUCCCCCACCAAUAUCCAAAUUGCUUUUGCACAAAUUAAUUCAAUCGGUCCCAUUAUUUGGAACCAUGAAGUUUAUUCGUGCUUGUUGAAAAACCAUGAAGAUUCUCAAGAAAAAAGCAUGCCAGAAGGAAAGUUGGCAUUAAAUGUUUAUUGAAAAUGAGGAUUUUUAUUGCCUAGAAGAAAUCUAAAGAUGAAUUUUCAAAGUUGGAAUUAUUCAAUUAAAAAGAAUGAAUUAAAAAUACGAUUCAAAACUAUAAGUUCUCAAUCAAAGGAAUAAAUAGAAGAAGAGGUGUGCACCAAGGUGGCCAAAGAAGUGGAGUAAGGAAAUUCUGGAUAGAAGAAACCAAUUCACUGCAAAGGUGUUCAGCUGUCAAAUGCUUCCAUUUAAAAGACAACUUGAUUUGUAAGCUCAACUGAAUUCUCCUCAACAGUAGUCAGACAUUGAACAGAAGGUUCAAAAUUUCCAAUUUUCUGCAUUGAAAGGUCCUGCAUACAUUAGGUCCAGUUCCAAAUCUGAUUUCUUUGCUGCCAUUCGUUCUCAAGUUUCAAGCCUUUGCUCAGAAGUUCGUCUGAUUUGUCAAUUUUCUCACAAUUUUCUGCUGGAUUUUUCUAUAGCUCAUAUUCUAUGUUUUCCUGCUCAUUACGAGCUUCAACUUUUACCUUUGGAACUUUGAAUUAUCAAGCUUGACUAUCUUCAGCAUUCUCUUCAAUUUCAGCAUGUGAAACAAAGAAUUGAAAAUUUGGGUGAUUGACUUUCAAUGCUCUUAACCAAUUAUACGAGGGACAUCAUCAGUCGAUGCCCGGACGCCUCAUUUUGCAUUCGUAUAGAGCCUUUGAACAAUUUCCAGCAUAACACGGGCCAGUAUCGUCAAUGUCAGAAUCAGCCUGCACCGGUGUGAGAGUGAGCUUGCUUAUCUUCUUCAUCAUUUCACCUUUGACAGCAUGACUCGAGGCUUUGUUUCUUGGAGUUGAACAUGCAUCGAGGACCUUCCAUCUAGGUUCUGGCCCAUACUAAUUACUUCUCUGGAAAUAGGGAUAGAAGAGGUGUCCUCAGACCAUUCUUUAAGCUUGCGAGCCUCUGGAAAAUCUGGCUCUAUGAACAGCUAGCUGGUAGAAAUUAAAAGAGGUGUAUCUUCAAUGGAAAAGAGGAUAUGAAGAACAUUAUUGCUUUGUACUUCUGCAUAAGAAGUAGGAGAAACUUCAGUUUGCAUUUUCUUCUCAACAGACUGAACAUUUGAUUCACCAUUCAGAGGUUCAUAGUGACACAAUAUUCUUAGAGUUGAAACACGAAAACCCUUGUCUGGAUGGCUAAAUUCUCAUAAAAUAGGUCAAAUGCAUCCACAACCUUCUCUGCUUUAAGCUCUAGAUGAAAUUUCAUAUGACCAUUGUUUUCUUGGAUUGUAGACCCGUGCAUGGGAUCCAACAACUCAGCCACAUAAAAUAACACUUGGGAAGAUGAUCUGUAUCAUUUUGCAAGAUGCAAUUUUUUUUUUUGUUUCUUCAACUCCAGAUUUUUAAAAGAACCUAAAGUCGCACCCAUUAGGCUUUGCCAAGUGCUUUUAGGAAAACCUGACAUAUGAGAACAACAACCAAUGAUUCCCCACAACAUAGGCAAUUUCACCUUACGAGAUGCAAGUUUUCAAUUUUGCUUUAGCACAAAAUUUUAAUUCUGAACAUAAGAAAGGAAGAGCAGAUAUUAUUUCAGUGUUCGGUGCAUAGGUAGUUUCCAGGAACUCCAUUUUUUUAUUGGAAACUAAAUCUUCACUGAAGAGUCCAUACGGCAAUGGAGUUUGACAAAAAGUUGUUGUCAUAGGAUUACCUAUCCUCUAAUGGAGCAUCUCGAGAGUCAGACCCGUGAAUCUGAGGAGUGGAAAAAUCCCAGGAACUAUCCAGUAACAAGUACAGUCCCCAAAAAAAGGUUCCUUGAGAUUUAAGACUUUAUCUGCUAGUAGAAUGCGUCAAUCAAGGGGUUUAGAACAGAAACAUGGGCUGGGAAGCGCCACUCCAUUGGUCUCAAAAUGAUGGGUUAUCUGAUAACAGAGCAUAAAUUGUGAAUGGCCACUUUCAGAGUGCAAGAUCAUUAUAUCCCUAAUUGAAACAGUCCAUAAUUUUGCUCCAACUUGAUUGAGAUGUUCCAUAUGAAGAUUUGGAAAAUAUCCAGUAGCUUCUGUAACCUAACAGCUCCUUUUGAUGAAUUCAACCUCACAUUUGAAUUCUCUUAUUCCCAAAGACACUGUAGUUCGAGUAUACCAGCUUCAUCUGAUAGUCCCUAACCUAUAACCUUCCACAGCAAAUUUUCAGCACCGUCUAAGAUUUAAUUUGACAAUUCACCUGGGGUUUCUAGAAAAUUUUUCCUUUUUUUUCUUUUAUUUCUUCAUAUAAAUCGGAUAUUCAAUGAGUGCUUCUGUAUCCCAACUUCUAUGCUCUCAUAUCCAUUGUAAGUUUCAUGUUAAACUUUUUUUUUUUGUUGUUUUAUCAUCACGAGAAUCAGUUUCUUAUUUUUUGGAGCUUAUAGGAAUUCAUUUUCUUCCCGAGCUGCUACCCAACUAAUAUCUUUUCGAAUAAAGACCAGUAAUGACCUCAAGCCUGCUGCCCAUGCAUGCACCAAUUACAGAAUGAGGUGAAGGUCCUGAUGUCUUUCAAACAUAUUACUUAUCUGAUCAUGAGCCCUUCAUUGGCACUGCUGGUGUAGAGAUUUCCUAUGCCUGUGGGAGAUCUACAUAAGGUCCAAUAUCAAUGUAUCGAUUCAAUUCUCGAUUAUUGUACUGUGGGUUGUCGUGUGUUUUCUGUGUUUUGGCCUUGGGGAUUCAAGUUGGAACUAUAUUUUUCCAGACCUGGCCGCUUGUUUUCAGAGCAAGCUAGAACUACUUGAACGGCAUGUGAAGUCUGGAUGAUCAACUGAGUGAACCACAAGCUCAGAGUUUGGCGAUUCUAAUUCGAAGAUGACCAGAUUAUUUUCAUCGUGUCUAAGCACUGGGACAGGGACGUAGAGAUUGUACUGUGGUUCAGUUGACGACCAAAGUCUUCCUAUGUUGAAUUCAUUAAAAAAUGCGAUCCCUUUACCCCAUCCACUGAAUGAUAUGAAUGUGUCUUUUGUUUCAUCAACUACAAAGUGGACAUCAUAGAGUGUUGGUUCUAUGGAAACCUCCUCAUUAUUUUUUAUAUUCAUAAGAGCCGAUGUUCUAUUGAUUCUGGAAUGUGCAAUCUCCUUGAUGGGCUUGAUAUCGAAUACCUCAUUCAGAUUUUGGAAAUGAAUUGCAACAGUCUUUCAACUCUUCAGAACAUUUCCAUUCGGAUAAACAGGAGACAAAAUGCCCUCCUAGUCAAACAAGUGUGACCCAUAAUUUACUCGUCCCAUGUUCCCAACUAAAACAAAUAAGUUGAUUUUGGAAGCAUAUUUAGUAUCAGGAAGGCUCGGGUUCUGAUUUGACCAUCUUUCAAUUGUACCUACACAUGUUGGUAUUCCACCAUUAUCUUCAGAAGGGCAUGAAAUAAAAAUCUGAGCUCUAUCAUGCACAUCUGGUAUGAACAAAUUGCCUCUUUGGUCCUAUGCUGUAUACCCUGAUGUAUAAAAUAAAAAUCCAAACAUGUAUCCAACAGACUCCAUUGAAGUUGGAUUUUCAGAUUCAACCACACCAAUAGGAUAUAUUUUAUCAAUUAAAUCAAACAAAGAUCCAGUUCUUUGUAAGUCCUCUAGCUCGCCACUACCCCUUCUUCAUUAAUCCAGGUAUAGAGUGUUUCAUUUUGGAUGACUUUAUGAAUCCCCUAGUGCUUCAAAUAACCAUCAGGGGAAGCAAUAUCGGGGAGCUUCACUGCUGGGAAUUCAUCUAAUCUUUUGAGAUCCCUAUCCCACCUUAGAUACAUGCAGAAAGUUGAAACCUAAUGAAGUUGACUGUUGCUUAUUAUCUAACUGAAACACCUCAAAACAUCCAUUAUUAGGAUCAAACCCUACAAUAGACCCCCCAUCCUGCUCAUGCCGGAGAUCAUGAUCAGUCUCUACUUGAGGAAAUUGCAUAUUUGAGGUCCCCUUAAGAAGGCUCAAUCAAGGGAACAUUUGUAAGAACCAUGCCAGUCAAAUUUCUCUGAGGAUAUCCCGUUGAAGCUAGAGUGGAAGGUGAGAAUGGAAGAGGUAGGUGAGCUGGAGCUAAAUUUAGCGACACAUAGACCUGUACAUUGAAAUUGCAAGUGCAGAAGAGGCCAUCAUGUUCACAAGAUCUUGCUUUUCCUGACACGUCCCCUAAAUACUCAUAACAGAAGAAAGUUGAUCACCCAUGGGACCCAAGGUUGAGCCAUGAUAAUAACCAUUUAAAGUAGUGUUUGAAUCAACUGAUCCGUCAAGACUUUGAUGGGAUGAGACAUGCUUGACAGAUGAAGUAUCAUCAGCUGAUAUGGUACUAUUUCUCACAAAAAUGUCUGAGCCCAGGUUCUUCCUCCUACUAUUGUCCAGUCUUGUAGAAGUAAUUUGGUCUUUUCCAUUUUCUGGAGCUCUGUUAUGCCUGCCUCGAGAAGAGCAUAACACUACUGGUAUAUAUGUCAGUAAGUUCGGGACUAGAGUGUGUCGUGGCAAACAGAUACCUUCCCUAAUCUCUAUCAGUACGUAUCCCUUAAUUAGAAUUGAUUUCUGGAUUGAUCUGAUCAAGGAUCCUUGAAUUGUUCAGGGUCCCAUGAUUCUUUUGGCUUUGAGCAGAAGAAACUGCAGAAAUAACACUGUUUCUAGACAUAACAGAAAUACUCAUACAGUAAUUCGUAAAUUCAGAAUUCAUAUUUCCAAAAGUUUUUCCACUUCUCAAUUGCCAGGUGGCUUCCCAUUAUCAGUAAAGAUCAUACAACAAAUAGCUUCAGGAUGACCUGAAACUUCUGUAUCUUUUCCAGCUUUCUCUUAUCUUCUGAGUACUCAUUUAUCUCUUAAACCUUGAAAAUUCCUCAAAACCCAUUCCAAGAACCUGAGAAUCUACCAGAAACUCAUAAAAUACCCUCUGCCAAUUUGGAAUUCCCAAAGACAACCCGAAUGCUCUAUGCUUCAACACAAACUACAUCUUUCCAGGUCUCAAACACAGGAUUUCGAUGUUUCAGAACCAGUGGUAGUAAACUGAUGCAAAUCAACCAUGACGACAUUGUUUCCACAAGACAACCUUUGCAAUUUCGUACUUCUUUCUUAUCUAAAGUUCCCCACACUCUCAUGAUAUAUAGGUCUUUCUUCUCCCUAGGGGUAUAGUUUAGACCCGUGACUUGCAGACAAAACAUAGUGUAUAUCCAUUGCGGCAUUUGAAGGCAGAAUGGAGACAGGGGCAUGUACGAGAAAUGCAUAAAACACAAGAACAUCCAAGGAAGAAAAAAAAACGCAAGAAAAUCCAUGAAAGCAAAAGAGAAGAAUGGCCUAGUUUUGGCAGGUUAUGUAAAGCUCCAAAUCAUGUUUUUAUCAGUGAGCUUAAAGAAAUAAACCAAAACAGAGAAGAAAAGAACACAUCUUAAAUAUUCCAAUAAAUGAGACCAUGCCACAAGUGAUCCAAAAAAAAAAAAAAACAAUUUUUAACAUUAAUACACAAAUUUGGAAGACUCAAAGGUGAUGUACAGGGAGUCAUAAUGAUCAUACCUGAGAGUCUUUCUCUGCUUCUCCAAAGACCAGCGAGUUCUCCCUUUCUUUGACCAGGCCCGAUAACCCAGAUGGACUCCCUCUCUAUUUCUGCUCAUUUCCCUCCUCGCCUACCUUUUUUCUCUGAAUAUCCUGCUUUCUCCUCUCCAUCUAACUUCCCAAUGCGUUCUCCCAAAAUUCCUUUUUUUUUUCAGCCUCCUCUCUUUUCUCCUUUUCCUGCGUGCUGAAAGUCCCCCUUUUUAAAACUCCCUUCAUUUCCAAAACUUCCCAUCUUUUCUUUUAUUCUAUCUCUGUUUUUCCAAAAUGAAACUUUCCUUUCUCCUACCAAAAAAAUCUGACACUUUCCUUUCUCCAAAAUUCUGGUGAUCCUCAUUCCAAAAUAGAUGGCAACUCGUUUCCUCGUGUCCAAAAAGCUAAGAAAUAUGAUUUAGGAAACUUAUAAUAAAAUAAAAUAUAAAAUAAAUAAAUAAAAUAAAAUGAAAUAAAAAAAUGAAGAAAGCCAUGGAGGCCACACAAGUCAUGCAGGCCAUGCAAUCACGCAAGUCAUAUAAAAAGUGAGUCUAAAAGUGUCUAUUUGGGCCUAAGUGUCCUAGAUGAGCUUAAGGUGGUGCAUAAUGGGCCAAGUGUACCUAAAUGGGCCUAAAGUGGUGCCUAAUGAGUCAAGUGUACCUAAGCGGACCUAAAGCGUUAGGAACAAUGCCUAAGUCUGGGACAAUGCCUAAGUCUAAAUUAGGGCUGCCAAGGGUACAAUGGGGGGUCAGAUAAAUCUUUCAACCAAAGUCCCCAAAGUGGCUCAGAAAAAGGUAAGCAAUAUGAGUAGCAAUGGGCCACCAAAGAACUAUUGUGGAGUACCAGACAAAUACCUAAUAGGACAUGUGCUAAGAGGACAAAAUUGAGGGUCUACAGAAGUAUAAAACAAAAUAAAUAGAAGUUUUUGAAUUAUAAUUAUUUUAAAACAAAGGGAAAAAAGUGAAGAAGCUUGAUUGUAAAAUAUUUCAACAGAAAAUUUUUAAUUAAAUAAUUUUUAAAACUGAAUUUUUUAAUAUAAAAACCUUACAUUAAAUUUUUUUAUUCCUCGUGGUCUAAUACCAUAUCAAAAUGUUGUACCAUACUGGUAGGAUAGAUGUCCUUUCUCCCAUUGAAAAUUGAUCUAAUUGAAGAAGAUAAAGACACGAGACUCUGUUCCUUCAAUAUCAUGAAAAGGCUCCUAUCUCUCUCUCUCUCUCUCUCUCUUUCUCUUUCUCUUUCUAAUUGACGAGGUUUUUCUCAUGACAAGAAAUGUAAGCUACACCUACAUGGCUUGGAAUUGAUCAAGCCCCUCAAAAUUUUGAUAAUGAUGCCAAGCAUGUGAUCUGUGAAUGUGUCCAAUCUUCUAUGGUUGUAGCAUAGAAUAUUAGAAAGAAAAUAUGGCAAGAGGUUUGAUGGCACUAGAUGGUGGUGGUGGUGGUGGUGGAAAGCAUUUGGGCACGGUGGCUUCAAGCUCUGGGGCGACCCUGUUGUUGUUUUGCAUGAUCAUUAUGUCAUUCUCUAUUACAUCCAUAUAUGGUCAUAUUUGGUGGUGUUAAUAAGGCUUCUACUUCAACUCACAAAGAAAAAAAGGUUGUGAUGAGGGUAGUGAUGCCAGUGAGGGUGGUGAUGAGGGUAGUGGUGGUGUUGGUGUUGGUUUAAGGGUAUGGAAACAAAGGACUAGCCCAAAAGAUACAAAUAAAUAACACAAUGAAUAGUAAAAAAAAACUUAUCGGCUAAGGCAUGACAAGUACUGUCCUUGAAAUAGAUUCACCUUCCUCAAAGACGAACUCGGUGCACUAGUGGUCUACUUCCAAGAUUCAAUAGCUAGAUCUCACCUUUGGUGCACUUUGGAAGCGAGACGUGUACAACUCGGUUUUGAAAAAAUUCCUCUAGAAAGAUGUAUGAAAGAUUCUCUAAAAAACUCUCAGAAAAAUUAGAAUUCAUGUUUAGAGAGUGAGGGAUGACAUGUUUUUAUAGGCCACUAACAUAGUCCCAAUGAGACUCUACUUGUAAUCAGAACAAGACUCAAAGAGAACGAAAUUCUACUUAUAAGUGGAAUGGGACUCCACUAACACAAUCCUAAUAGGAUUCUUCCCAAAAAUAUAAGACUAAUAGAAUAAAAUAAAAUUAAAAAUUAAUUUGAAUUUUUGUAAAAAUUAGCUGAGAAAACGCUAAAACACUUUUUCAUAUUUACACUCUUCCUACAAUCCCCCACAGAGUGUAGAUGUGAAAAGAAAAGAAAAGAAAAUAAAGGAAAAAAGAAUCCAAUGCAUUAGUACUGGUGCCCAAAGGCUAUGAACCAGUCUUAGGACAAAUAAGUAUUGAAUCACAAAACAUGGUGAAUAUAAAUUUCUAUGAACUAGUGUUUCUUGAUGUAACUCAAGGAACUUUUAUCCACAUUGGUUUUCUUAACUACACUAUGAGCUAUACAAAAUGGGUUGGCACAAAUAGGUCAUGCGCCCUGCUUGGAUAUUCAUGAGAGCUUUAGAGAACAUGCCUAGGUUAUCAUAAGAAGCAGCCCCACCUCCACUCUCAUAUAGGUGAAUCCAUCGAGUAUGUUCUGCAUUUAAACAUACCAUCUAUAAGGAAUAUGGUUUUCAUUAAUAGUAAACACUCAACCUUAGUCAAUGUAGAAUACACUCUAUCUACACCAUAGGGAUAAACUCUCAUACAAUUAGAGUUGAUAGAGCACCUCAAGUUAACAAGUGAUUUGUUAUUACCCAUAUGAACCUACUUCAUGGAAUUUCCAUUCUAAUAGGUUGGGUUAUCACCACUCUUGACUUUUGUAACAGGCAUAAGCCCCAUCCCCCUCGAUGUUUCUUCCACUAGUUUCUUAUUUAGUGGUUUGGUCAAAGGAUUAGACAAAUUCAACUUUGACCUCACAAAUUCUAGGGAUAUAACCAUUCUUUCAAGUAGUUGCCGCACAAUAUUGUGCCUUAGGUGUAUGUGCUUGUUCUUCCCAUUAAAUAUUUUACUCUUAGCCUUAGCAAUUGCAGUUUGGCUAUCACAACACAUAGACAUAGACGAGGUUGGUUUUGUCCAUAAAGGGAUAUUUAUUAAGAGGUUUCUAAGCCACUCAACCUCAAAACUUGUCUUUUCUAAAGCAAUAAACUCAGCCUUCAUAGUAGACCGAAUAAUGCAAGUUUGUUUGGCAGACUUCCAAGAAAUUGCACUUCCACCAAGGAUGAAAACAUAUCCACUAGUGGAUUUCAUCUCAUCUGAAUUCGAGAUCCAAUUUGCAUUACUAAAUCCUUCAAGGACACUUGGAAAUCCACUAAAGCACAAACCAUAGUUAAUGGUGCCUCUCAAAUACUUAAGGACUCUAUGAAUAGCAGUCCAAUGGUCCUGAUUAGGACUUUGGGUGUACUGACUCAAUCUACCUAUUGCAUAAGCAAUGUCAGGUUUGGUACAGUUCAUUAAGUACAUUAGGCUCCCUAUGACUGAGCAUGCUUUAUUUGGGCAACACUAUGUUCUCUAUUUUUCUUCAGCUGUGAGUUGGGAUCAUAAGGAGUUGACACUGGUUUACAAUCAAAGUGUUCAAACUUUCUUAGAAUCUUUUCAACAUAGUGCUCUUGAGAAAGUUUAAGCCCAUUAGGUGUUCUAGUUUUUUUAAUUCCUAGAAUCACCUCUGCCUCACCUAGGUAUUUCAUAUCAAACUUAGAACCUAUGAAUUUCUUGGUCUCACACACAAUCUCUAGGCUAGUUCCAAAGAUCAGCAUGUCAUCAACGUAAAGGCAAAUGACUACACGUGUUAUCCUCAUACUUGCUGUAGAUACACUUAUUAGCAUCAUUAAUGGAAUAUCCAUUAGUUACUAACACAUGAUCAAAUUUGUUGUGCCACUAUUUGGGAGCUUGUUUUAACCCAUAUAGUGAUUUAACCAAAUUACACAUUUUUUUCUCAUUUCCUGGAACUAGACAAUUCUUAGGUUGAUCCAUAUAAAUUUCCUCUUCCAAAUCCCCAUUCAAGAAUGCAGUCUUGACAUCCAUUUGGUGUAUCACCAAAUUAUGAAUGGAAGCUAGAGAAAUCAAUACUCUAAUUGAUUCUAUUCUAGUCACAGGGGCAAAUGUGUCAAAGUAAUCUACAUUAUUCCUUUGUUUAAAGCCUUUGUCAACUAAACGAGUUUUAUACUUCUCUAUGGACCCAUCUUGUUCUAAAUUUCUUUUAAAUAUCCACUUACAGCUAGUAGUCUUUGCGCCAAGAGGUAAAUCUACUAACUCCCAUGUAUGGUUAUACAUGAUUGAUUCGAUUUCACUGUUAAUGACCUCCUUCCAGAAUGGUGCAUCAGGAGAAGUUAUAGUUUCUUUGUAGGAUCUAGGGUCCUCAUCUAUUAGGAAGGUGUAUGUAGACCCCCAUUUUGGGGCACUUUCUUUCUCACCUUUCAUGCAGGUUAUUUGGCCAGGUGGCACGAUCCCGGGAGACCACGUGGCGUCUUUGGAGAGGCUGACAGAGAAUUAGGUUAGUGCUUUGAGGAGCUAUCAGAAUUCGACACCUGUAAAAGGGAUUUGAGAAAAGCUGCAGACGGUUAAGGAGGGGAGCGUUUCUGUUAUAGUGGGAGCAGGCCAACUGUAGGAGAAGAGUGCUUUACAGGAGGCUAGGAUAGAGGAGAGGUGCUGGAGAGGAGAGGAUUCACGGGAGAGCUAGGAGCAGCAAGCUAGAGGAGAGUGGUGUUUUUGGGCUGCUGUUUUCUGGCAGAGGGAAGGAGCUAUAGUCUGGAGCAGAGAUCUUUGAGAGGGAUUCUGAGUUGAGCGCUUACCGGAGACGGAGCAGGGAGUUGCAAAUCAAGACUAGUUGAAGAAGAGGCUUUCAGCGCGUUGCCGUUUGCUGAUCAGGUACGUAUCCACUUCCACUUCGGUUAUCCUCUAUUGCAUAUUCUAAUAUUCAUAUGUGCAUGAUUGAUUCGAGUAUUCAUUGAUUUUCUCAUUGAUUGUCAUAUCAGCUUCAUCUCAUUAGUAAAGAUCCGACUUUAGGGACUUAGAGGGGUGCUACGGUCUUUACCGUACCUUCCCGAUAAGUAACCUGACCCCCGAACCCGAUCCGGUUUUUCAUAGACCGCCUUUUCCAAAAUAAGGAGUCACACUUAGGGUUUUUCUUUCUUAUUUUGUUUACCCUUUAAAAAUAAAACAAAAAUAAGUGGCGACUCCAAGUCAUUUUUGAAUAAAUAAAAUCAUUUUUUCAAAAUAAUAAAUCGAGCUCGUCAUCGAGUGGGAAACGCAUGAGCCGAAAUGCGGGGUCCACAUCUUUCUCUUUUAGGAUUAGAGCCUUUGUGUUCGUCUACUAGCCUGAGUGAGUUUGUAUUUCACUAGUAUCCCUAUGGGGGUCUCCUUGGUUCUUCGGUAGAGUUCACUUCAUUCCACUCACUAUUCACACUUGUUUUUCACUCCAGUGUUCAUAUUCCUUACACUCGUGAGCUCUAUUGAAGAGGGGCAUAUUUGUAGACCCCCAUUUUAGGGCACUUUCUUUCUCACCUUUCAUGUAGGUUAUUUGGCCAGGUGGCACGAUCCCAGGAGACCACAUGGCGUCUUUGGAGAAGCUGACAGAGAAUUAGGUUAGUGCUUUGAGGAGCUAUCAGAAUUCAACACCUGUAAAGGGGAUUUGAGAAAAGCUGCAGACGGUUAAGGAGUGGAGCGUUUCUGUUAUAGUGGGAGCAUGCCAACUGCAGGAGAAGAGUGCUUUACAGGAGGCCAGGACAGAGGAGAGGUGCUGGAGAGGAGGGGAUUCACGGGAGAGCUAGGAGCAGCAAGCUAGAGGAGAGUGGCGUUUUUGGGCUGCUGUUUUCUGGCAGAGGGAAGGAGCCAUAGUCUGGAGCAGAGAUCUUUGAGAGGGAUUCUGAGUUGAGCGCUUACCGGAGACGGAGCAAGGAGUUGCAACCCAAGACUAGUUGAAGAAGAGGCUUUCAGCGCGUUGCCGUUUGCUAAUCAGGUACGUAUCCACUUCCACUUCAGUUAUCCUCUAUUGCAUAUUCUAAUAUUCAUAUGUGCAUGAUUGAUUCGAGUAUUCAUUGAUUUUCUCAUUGAUUGUCAUAUCAGCUUCAUCUCAUUAGUAGAGACCCGACUUUAGGGACUUAGAGGGGUGCUACGGUCUUUAUCGUACCUUCCCGAUAAGUAACCUGACCCCUGAACCCGAUCCGGUUUUUCAUAGACCGCCUUUUCCAAAAUAAGGAGUCACACUUAGGGUUUUUCUUUCUUAUUUUGUUUACCCUUUAAAAAUAAAACAAAAAUAAGUGGCGACUCCAAGUCAUUUUUGAAUAAAUAAAAUCAUUUUUUCAAAAUAAUAAAUCGAGCUCGUCAUCGAGUGGGAAACGCAUGAGCCGAAAUGCGGGGUCCACAUCCUUCUCUUUUAGGAUUAGAGCCUUUGUGUUCGUCUACUAGCCUGAGUGAGUUUGUAUUUCACUAGUAUCCCUAUGGGGGUCUCCUUGGUUCUUCGGUAGAGUUCACUUCAUUCCACUCACUAUUCACACUUGCUUUUCACUCCAGUGUUCAUAUUCCUUACACUCGUGAGCUCUACUGAAGAGGGGCAUAUUUGUAGACCCCCAUUUUAGGGCACUUUCUUUCUCACCUUUCAUGCAGGUUAUUUGGCCAGGUGGCACGAUCCCAGGAGACCACAUGGCGUCUUUGGAGAAGCUGACAGAGAAUUAGGUUAGUGCUUUGAGGAGUUAUCAGAAUUCGACACCUGUAAAGGGGAUUUGAGAAAAGCUGCAGACAGUUAAGGAGUGGAGCGUUUCUGUUAUAGUGGGAGCAGGCCAACUGCAGGAGAAGAGUGCUUUACAGGAGGCCAAGUCAAAGGAGAGGUGCUGGAGAGGAGGGGAUUCACGGGAGAGCUAGGAGCAGUAAGCUAGAGGAGAGUGGUGUUUUUGGGCUGCUGUUUUCUGGCAGAGGGAAGGAGCCAUAGUCUGGAGCAGAGAUCUUUGAGAGGGAUUCUGAGUUGAGCGCUUACCGGAGACGGAGCAGGGAGUUGCAACCCAAGACUAGUUGAAGAAGAGGCUUUCAACGCGUUGCCGUUUGCUGAUCAGGUAUGUAUCCACUUCCACUUCGGUUAUCCUCUAUUGCAUAUUCUGAUAUUCAUAUGUGCAUGAUUGAUUCGAGUAUUCAUUGAUUUUCUCAUUGAUUGUCAUAUCAGCUUCAUCUCAUUAGUAGAGACCCGACUUUAGGGACUUAGAGAGGUGCUACGGUCUUUACCGUACCUUCCCGAUAAGUAACCUGACCCCCGAACCCGAUCCGGUUUUUCACAGACCGCAUUUUCCAAAAUAAGGAGUCACACUUAGGGUUUUUCUUUCUUAUUUUGUUUACCCUUUAAAAAUAAAACAAAAAUAAAUGGUGACUCCAAGUCAUUUUUGAAUAAAUAAAAUCAUUUUUUCAAAAUAAUAAAUCGAGCUCGCCAUCGAGUGGGAAAUACAUGAGCCGAAAUGUGGGGUCCACAGUGUAAAAACCAUCUCCAAGGUUUGUUUCUUUCCUAUCUCUUUUACUCCUUCUAGGUUCAAAUUCAGAAGGUUCAAUAGACUUGUCUCUACUUGUUUUCUAAACUUAUUGUUCACCAUUUAAUUUCAUAGGAAAGAUGUUUUCAAAUAAAUUUGCAUUCUUUGUUUCUAUUAUAGUAUUGACAUCUACAAGACUGUUUUAUGACUUAGUAACAAGAAACCUAUAUGUCGCACUAUUCUCAGCAUAGCCAAUGAACAUUGCAUCAAAGGUUUUAGGACCUAGUUUUCAUUUUUUAGGUUCAGAUAGAAGAACUUUAGCUAAACACCCCCACACUUUCAGGUAUGCUAUAUUAGGUGCAUAACCCUUCCACAACUCAUAAGGAGUUUUAUCAGUUUUCUUGUAAGGUAUUCUAUUUUGAAUAUGACAUGCAGAUAAGAUAGCUUCCCCCAACAAGUUCAAGGGUGCUCCUGAACUUACCAACAUUGCAUUCAUCAUGUCUUUUAACAUCCCAUUUUUCCUUUCUCUUACUCCAUUAGACUAAGGGGAAUAAGGAGGAGUAGUUUCAUGAAUGAUCUCAUGAUCUUCACAAAAAGAAUUAAAGGGGUUGGACUCAUACUUUCCUCUCCUAUCAGUUCUAAGCCUUUAAAUUUUCUUACUUAGUUGAUUUUCCACUUCAUUUUUGUAAUUGAUGAAAGCAUAUCUUGCUUCAUCUUUGUUUCUCAAAAGAUAUACCCUUAUAUACCUUGAGUAGUCAUCUAUGAAAGUUAUGUAGAAUCGUUUACCACCUCUAGUCAUUGUAUUUUUUAAGUCUCCUAAGUCAUUGUGUAUUAAACUUAGUAGAUCUAAUUCUCUUUCAACUGAUUUGCAAGAUUUCUUUGUGGUUUUAGAUUCUACACAAGAUUCACAUUUUCCAUGGUUUUCUAAGGACGGAUUAGGGAUUAAACUCAAUUCAACCAUUUUCUUCAUAUAUGAAAGUUCACAUGCCCUAGUUUACCAUGCCAAAUAUCACAAGAAUCAACUAUGUAAGCAGAAGAAGAAGAUGCAUUAUUAUUGAUAAUAUCAUAAACAUUCAACAUAAAUAAACCCUGAUUAGAAUAGCCAUUUCCCAAAAAUGCAUUAUUCUUGGUUAAAACUAUUUUAUCAGAGUCAAAUAAGAUCUUCACUCUUUGUUUUUCCAAGCAAAGAUACUGACACCAAGUUCCAGUGGAUAUCUGGCACAUGAAGAACAUCAAUGAGGGCAAGCAAUUUUCUAGAGGUUAGCUUGAGAAGAACUUUCCCUUUGCCAAUCAUUGAAGUAAAUCUAGAAUCACCCAUGACUACUCGUUCCUCUCCUUCCUUUAGAGUGCUAUAGGAAGUAAAUGUACUUUUAUUUCCACAGAUGUGCCUGAUAGCCCCAGAGUCUACAACCUAGUCCUUCAUAUUGGUGACCAUGCUCACCUCAGAGGAGAUUACUGCUGUGAUCACCUCUGUCUCUGCCAUAUUUGCCUUUGAAUUAGACUUCUCAGUUCUCUUCUUAUGGCGACAUUGAGUUGCAUGGUGUUUAGACUUGCCACAAACAAAGCAAUUACCCCGUUUUUUAAUAGUUGGGUUUUGGACCUUGUUUGAUGCAUUGGACUUGGUCUUAGAGAUUUGCUUUCUAGACCUUUUUUUUUUUUUUGGGUUUAGGUUUUUCUUUUACUACAUUAGCCUUAGAAGACAAUUCCUUAGCUUUUUCAACAUUGUCCCUAUUUCGGUUUUGUUCCUCAUUCCUAAUAUAGAUUAUGACAUCCUCUAGGGACAUCUAUUUCCUUUUAUGUUUCAUGUUAUUUUUGUAGUCUUUCCAAGACUUUGGAAGAGUCUCUACUAUAUAACUAACCACAAAAGGUUUGGGUAAUUUAAUGUCUUCAAUAACUAAGGCAUUAAUCAACAAGUAGUAGUCGUGGAUUUGAGAUGAUACAUCUCUAUCCUUGGUCAUUUGGAAAUUUCUAAAAUUCCCUAUGGCAUAUUUCUGAGUCCUACAUCUUCCAAAAUAUAUUUUUUAUUCAUUGCAUCCCAAAUUUCUUUUGCAACUUUAAAUUGACAAUAAAUAUAAAAAAUUUCAUUAGAAAGGGUACUCAGAAUAGCAUGCCUAACUUGUUUAUUUCCAGUUUCCUAGGUUGGUAACAGAUGAGAAACAUCUUCUGGUUUUGGGUCACUCAAAAUGUGUCCCAAGUUCACUACAUCAAUUGUAGAGAAAACCCUUUACUGUCAUCUCUUAAAGAAUGUCCUUUUGAAGGGAACAAUUUUUGAGAUGUUAGGACAAGUGUGAACUAGGGAAGCUUCCAUUUGGAUUUAUUUCAAGAUUGUUGGUUUAAGGGUAUGGAAACAAAUGACUAGCCCAAAAGACACAAAUAAAGAACUGAAUGAAUAAUAAGAAAAACUUAUCGGCUGAAGCGUGACAAACACUGUCCUUGAAAUAGAUCCACCCUCCUUGAAGAUGAACUCGGUGCACUAGGGUACCAGUGGUCUACCUCUAGGAUUCAACAGCCAAAUCUCUCAUUUGGUGCACUCUAUAAACGAGACGUGUACAACUCAGUUCUGAAAAAAUUCCUCCAGAAAGAUGUAUGAAAGAUUAUCUGAAAAACUCUUUGAAAAAUUAGUAUUCAUAUUUAGAGAGUGAGGGGUGACCUGCUUUUAUAGGCCACUAACACAGUCCCAAUGGGACUCUACUUGUAAUUAGAACAGAACUCAAAGAGAAUGGGAUUCUACUUAUAAGUGGAAUGGGACUCCACUAGCACAAUCCCAAUAGGACUCUUCCCAAAAAUAUAAGACUAAUAGAAUAAAAUAAAAUAAAAUAAAAUAAAAAUUAUUUUAAAUUUUUGUAAAAAUUAGCUGAGAAAAUGCUAAAACACUUUUUCAGAUUUACACUCUUCCUACAGGUGGUGGUGAUGGUGGUGGCAGUGGUGAAGACAAUUGUGGUGGUUGUUUUUCUCUUUUUUGUGGAGAUGGUGGAUGUUUCGACUGUUUUUGAGUAGAUGGUUAUGGUGAUGGUGGAUAACCAUCACGUUCUCAGCGGCAACAACUGCACCGAUUGAAUCCCACCAAAAUCAUCACUACAUACUUUAUUUAGUUUUGGUUUAGAAUAUCAAGGUACUACCAGUAUAAAAGACGUUAUCAAUAAUAGAAAGAUUUAUUCAUCUUCAUAAUUGAAACCACUUUCACCAAGAAAAUUUUCUUUAUGAGAUUUGUUUAAUAGCAUUUCAAAGUGACCAUGUUUUCUUAAAUUUGUUUUUAAGAAAUUGUGAAAAAUGACUCCAAUCUAUCUAUCAUGUAAAGUCUCUACAAACUCGUCUCCAUUUAAUAACUUUUUCCUCUUAUGAUAUAAUAUAUUUAUAGAAAUAUUUUUUUAUAGUUUUCCUUAUUAUAUAAGGAAAUAUAAUAUUACAAUAACAUAUCAAUGAAAAUACUCUAUACAUUAUUUUUAUAAAAAUGAAUUUAUAUCAAUUAGAAAUUUGAAACAAUUUUCGACGAUCUUCACCUUGGAUCAAUUUUCAUUAAGUCAAUGUUUCAUCUUUCCAUGACACAUGUUUUUUGUAUUACAUCCCUAUCAGAGAACAAUCAAUUCCACCUUCAACUAAAAUUCCCUUUAUUGUCCUCUUAUGUGCAUUAUUCUUUUUAACUCUUCCAAAAAUAUUUAAUUCAGGUUGCGAUACCAAUUAUUGUAUUAGUGAAAUUUAAUAUAGAUAUGUUCGUUUAAUAAUACAAAGAUAAAAUAAUUCACAUGAAGGGAAAUAAGGUUUUAACAUGAUUUGACCAACUAUGUCUACAUCUAUGUAUAAGAGAAAAUUAUUCUACCAUACUAUAGAAAAUAUUAUAGAGAAGAGAAACCAGAUACAACUAUUGAGUUUUGAAACAUUCCCAUUUUUCCCAUCUACUUGUAUCUACACUUUGAACCACAAACCCUUUCACUCCACAAAGUGUCUCUCAUUCUUCCUUGCAUUCUUCACAAGCAUAUCUCCAACUUAUAACAUUUUAAUCUUAAUAGUUUUACUUAUUUUAUGAGGAAAUCUAAUAUUACAAUAACAUAUUAACUUAAGAAAUAUUAUUUAAAAUAUUCUUUAUAAAAAAGAAUUUAUACCCGCUAUUUGGCAGAUCAUGAAAACACUGAGAUAAAAGCAAUAUCGUUGCCAAUGAGCAUCUAUGUGCAAAACCAGAAAUUGCAUUGCGAUAGACAAAUGAUUGAUUAAGAUUAAAUCAUAAUAAAUUAUUGAAUGAUUAUAAUUUAAGUAUAAAAUCAUGUCUUAAGUGGAAUUUUGGCAUUAAAUGGAGGGAUAAAAUCACUGGUGAAGCCGAUAGAUGCCCAAAUAGGUUUGAAACCAUUGUUUCAAGUGAGAUUUGAACUCAAACUAUAAGAUUUAAGGUCUAUUUGAUAACUGUUUUUUAAAACAAUUUUCUAUUCUUUAGGAAAAAAACAUAUGUAAUAACCCAAAAAUAAAAAAUAGUUUUUUGUUCUUAAAAACAAAAAAGGGUAAAUUUUUUAAUAACAUCUUUUAAUGUCCAAACAAGUUUGAAAUCAUUGUUUUGAGUUAGAUUUGAACAUAAAUUAUAAGAUUUAGGGUAUGUUUGAUAACUGUUUUUUAAAACAAUUUUCUAUUUUUUAGAACAAAAAAAAAAAAAACAAGAGAACAUAUUUAAUAAUCAAAAAACAAAAAAUAGUUUUUUAUUUUUAAAACCAAAAAACUGCAUAUUUUGAAAUAACAUCUUUUAAUUAUUUUAAGUUGUUUUCACUUAUUUUUGAAUGACUAUUGUUUUAAAAAAAUAAUUAUAUAAAUAUAGAGAAUAAUUAAAAAUAAAACACUACAUAAAAAAUUAUUUUCUAAAAAAUAUUAAAAAGCAUUAAAAAACUUUGCAACUUCCAAAAAGACAUUUAUUCCACGGAAGAUUAAAGAAAAGUUUUCAAAAACUAGUUUUUACAAUUGUUUUUUCAAAACGGUUAUGAAAUAAAUUUGUUAUAUUUUGCUCACCUGCCUCACAUUUUUGGCUCCGUCACCGGAUAAAAUCCUUGCCGCCAACCUAAGAAAGCUCACCGCCAGAAAUGGUGCCAUCUUCCUUUAGAACCUGAAAUUCCCAUGCGCCACUCGUUUUGUCUAUCUCCCCAUUCCCCGUGGGAUCUUCAUUUCCCAUAAGAUUAAAUUUUUAAUAUUGUUUAAUUAUUGUUCUUUGGAAAUAAUUUUUAAAAAUAAAAUGGACUAGAAAGUAAUUUUUAAAAAAUUAAUAGGAUUUGGUUUCAUUUAUUUUUUUUAAAAAAAAAAUAAGUCUAUUUCAUCAUAUUUUUUAAAACUUAUUUUUAAAAAUGAUUUUUAAGUGAAGGGAAUAAAAAACAGUUCUCAAGAGAAAACAUGAACAAACCAGUCCUAAAUUUUUUUUCGCAAGUUCUUUUGACAACCACAUGGAUGGACUUCCUAGCAAUUUAACAAACCUUCAUCCCAAAGUAUAUAGACAAGAAGAUCAAGACCACAGAUUUUUUGUUCCUUAUCGUGAAAAGUCUACUCCUUUAUGAAAAUAUCAUGAGAAGUCAGCAUCAAUGGCCAUUGUUUCUCAUCAACUUGCUAACCUGUUAAACUUGAGAUAGAAAAUUCAGCCCACGCAGGGCCCCGCCUUGAAAAUUUCUUUGAAGCUUCAGAUUAACAAGAUUUCUUGAGGACAAAGAAAAACCAUUCAAACGAUAAGGUUGUGUGAGCCACACGGAUUGGAGUUGAGAAAACUCAUCAAAUUUUUUAAAAUUACACCAAGCCUGACCUUGGCCUAUAAAUAUGUCCAAUCUUCUACAACUAUAGUAUAGAUUAGAAAGAAACGAUGACAAGAGGUUUGAUGGCACUAGGUGGUGGCGGAGAGCAAGUAGGCAUGGUGGCUUCAAGCUCUGGGGCGCUGCUCUUGCUUUGCAUGAUCAUCAUGUCUCUCUCUAUUAUAUCCAUGGUCAUAUUUGCUUGUGGGGAUUCUUCUACUUCACGUCGUGGAGGUGGUGGUGGCGGUGGUGGUGGCGGUGGUUGUGGAAGUGGUGGCGGUGGUUGUGGCGGUGGUUGUGGAGGUGGUGGCGGUGGUUGUGGAGGUGGUGGCGGUGGUAGUGGUGGUGGAGGUUGCUGAAGAAAAAACAAAAUAGUUUUUACUCAAAGUGUCCUAUAAAGGUCAUAGAAAAUAAACCUCAAAAUUCUUUAUCGUAUGCAAAAAAAAGUUUCCCAUAUUCAUCUUGAUUCGAUGUUAGAAUCCAUGUGAGCAAGCCCUAAUCGAGGUUGUUGUAUUUGUUGAUAUUUUCUUUGUAUUGAAGCUCAGAAAUGAAUGUAAUAGAGAUUUCAUCGUUAAAAUAUAUAUAUAUUUUUAUUUUUUAUUUUAUUAGAAAAAAAUCAAAUAUUAUUAAAUACACUUUUAAAAUAUUUAAUUCUUAUAUAGUGAAACUCAAAUAUAUAAAAUAAUAUAUAAAAAUAAUUUAUUGAUUUUAAAUUCAUCUUUUAUUUUUUAUCACAAUUUUUUUUUUAUUUCUCUUUUAACUUUUCCUUCAAAUUCUUAGGAAUCCAACGAUUUAAGAAACUUGAUUUUAGAUGUUUAAUAGAUCACGUGUCAUUCCAUGUUAUUUUCAAUUUUUUUCUUUAAUAUAAAAUUUUCACAAAUAUUUUCGACAACCACAUGUUCCAAUACCAUUAACAAAUCUUCAUCCCAAAUUAGUUCUUACGUUCAGAAAGUAUUUAAACAAGAAGAUCAAGACCUGAGAUUUUUUGUUCCUUAUCAUGAAAAGUCUACUCCUUUAUGAAUAUAUAUAUAUAUAUGUAUAUAUAUAUAGAGCUUGAAAAAUAAGCUCACGCAGGGCUUUGAAAAUUUCUUUGAAGCUUCAUAUUAGCAAGGUUUCUAAAGAGAACAGAGAAAACCUAUUCAAACUAUAAGCUUGAAUGAGCCACACGGCUUUGAGUUGAAAAAAACGAUCAAAAUUUUGAAAAUUACACCAAGCCUGGACCUCACCUAUAAAUAUAUGUCCCAUCUUCUACAUUUGUAGUAUAGAUUAGGAAGAAAUGAGAAGAAUUGAGCUUUCAGAGCAGUUGGCAUAAUAAGAGGCCCACGUCCUCCUGUGACCCGCAUUAAUCACAAGAUUAUAAGGAUAUGAAAUAGUAAAUUACUUACUACAUCAAAUGUCCUACCUAAUAAAUUGUACUAACUCAUCAUGUGAUGAUUAUGGGACCCAUUAUUUUUAUCUUUAUCCACUCUUCAUAUAUCAUUUUCAGCAAAUUAAAUUUUUAUUGUUUUUUAAAACUCUUUUUAUAAAUAAUUAAAAAUCAACAUUUUUUCUAUUUUUAAAUUAUAAAUAAACAAAAAAAUAUAUUAAUGAUUCAAAAACUAUUUUAAAAAAUACUUUCUAAAAAAAAUUUAAUUUAAAUAAAUAAAAACUAUCUUUUACAUUUUAGAAGUAAAUAAUUUAAUGAUUAAAAUACUAUUUAAAAUAAAUAUAUUUACUAUUUUCUUUUCUUUUAUACUAAAAAGCAUUUUAAGUUUUUUUUUUUUUCUUUUACUAUUCUAAACUAAAAGGUUUAAAUUUUCUUUUAAUCUUCUUCUUUUCUUAUUUUAAUAACUUUUGAACAUGACUUUUGGUAAUAAGUUAAAUAAAAUAUUUCAAAGAUUUUUCUUAAUUAUAUGAAUAUAUUCAAAUUCCACUUAAGGAAUUACUAUAGUGCCACAAAUUUCAUAAUUGCAUAUUUUUUGCAUUAUCCGAGGGGACACAUUGUCUCAAUCACAUAAGAUAUUAUAAUGUCUCUAUUCAGAAUACUCAUUGCCACCAGCCUCCAUAAAUAAUAACACAAUUCAUAGGAAUAUAUGACUAUUUUAAGAUCUCACUCAUAGUUCAAAGUCUCCUAUUAAUUUUAACAUAGAUUUAAUAUCAUCUUAAGGUUUAGAGUUCAUGCAGUAUAGUAGUUUGGUGAAUUAUAACAAUUGAUAGUCUUGCGUCAUAAUUCACUAUAGGUCUUAUCCAGUAUACAUCACAUGCACUAAUGCUUUUUUCAUCAAAAACUUAUCCUAACAACCAUGACAAGUCAUCCUUCUAAUUAACAGGUGAUGCACUAUAAUCUUUAUUAGAUGACCUAAAUCCAUGAACUAAUAUGGACAACUUAUCUACUUAUAAGGAACUCAUGACUUGUAUAUUUUGUACAACUCCUAAUACACAUAAGUCAUAUACAAUAUAAAAGACAUAAGUUGAAUGCUCAAAUUAAUGUUAAUACACUAAAGGGAUAACAAGGAGACAAUUAAGUCUAACUUUGUUACAUUAUGUUUUGCUUUUAAGGGUUCAAUUCCAAUAAACUUUCAUUAGCCCCAAAAACAAAUUGGGCACAUAGAAAUAUUCUACUUCAAAAUCAAAUCAUCUCCCCCUAUUAUCUCACAAUAAGGUAACACUUCCUUUUAUGUGUUUCCUCUUCUAGUGGUACUUCAGUUCUUUAUAUUACACCACUGUCCCACUAUUAUCACAUAACAAGAUCUUAGAUAAUAUAGCUAAGAGAACUACCCGUAAGCCAAAAUGCUUCCUUUGAUUCUAUAGAAGCAACAAAAACCACUUAGAGUGUACACAUGCCUAGAUGUAAACCUGUGAGAAUCCUUAUCAAACUAAAAGUCCAAUUCUCAAUACAAAAGGAGUACCAACUCAUCUCAAGGACUUACAAACAUAUAAUCUAUCAUUCUCUAAAAAUACAUGAGUAUAUGUUUGAUAUUCGCUCAAAGCUCUAAUAAGGAAAUGGACUAACAUCUACUCAUUAUUCAUAAAGCAAAGAAAAUAUUUGGUCUAGCACAUAACAUUGCAUACUUAAAGCUACCCCUUAUAGAAGCAUAGGAUAUUACCUUAAUGAAAUCUCUCCCCACAAAUGUCCAAGGAUAUUGAUCUUGAGAAAAACAACUCUAAAUCCAAAAGGUAACUAACCUUCUUGAAGUUUUACAUCAUUUACUUGACCAAAUGCUCAUCAAAGUAGGUGAUUUGAUGCAAUUUUCCUAUUCUUGCAGUCCCAAAAUACCUUAACCCAAGAAUAUAUCAUGUUUCUUUCUAGAUUUUCAUCUAGAACUAGGUAGACUACUAGAUUUUGAUUGAUGACAAUAUCCCUACAUCAUCUCUAAUGAGUAGAUUAUCAUUGACUUAUAAGAUCUUAGAGCAUCACCAUGCUUCCCAAUACUUUCUUAUACACACAAGGCCUUUUGCUAUGAAGAUGUUUGCUUGUUGUAUCUCAUAAAUGAGACACACUGCGAUAAAUAAGAGUAAUUUGAUAUAGUUGAGUCUGACUAUUAUUGAAAAGGUUUUCUAUAGUUGAAACAAAGUUUCAAACUAUAACCUUUAGUUAUAGUCUUAACCACAUAAGUCUCAAUCUAUCCAUCUACUCUACAUUCUUCUUGUACACUAACUUACACCUAUGAGUUUUAUUCACUUUACCUAAUGAUUAUUCUGAAAAUACUUUGGGAAUUAUAUUUUUUUUCAUGAGGAAUUUUUUUUUUUUUUGAAAAAAUAAUUUGGAAAUAAAUUUUUUUCUAGUAAGGAUUUUUUUUAAAUUCAUUUUUGGGAAUAUAUAUUUGACUUUGACUUCAACAGUAAGUUGAGGAUGAAGCUAAAGUGUUAAUUUUUAACAAAUAAUAUUGGUAUAUAAAAAGUUUUAUUAAAUAUAAAAAUACUUUUUGAGUAAGUCAAAGUAGAGUUUCUACUAGAAGCAAUAUUUUUUUGGCUUUUAUGUUAAGUUCCUUUAAACAAAAUUACCCAAAUAGACAUAGAACCUAUUAUUGAGCUUAAAAAAAAAAAGGUUUUUGACUUCCCAUAAAUUGAUCAAAAUAGGGCCUAAGAGUGAUAGAAUAAUGGAUUUUGAAUUACAUCUCUAGCUAUGUUUGAUUGAUAACAAGUUUAAGAGAAAGAAAAAAGAUUAAAAAAAAAUUAUAAUUUAUUUUCCUUAUAGUAAAACCUUUAUAAAAUAAUACUCUUAAGGCGAAAAGAAAUUAUUCUUUUAGUGGGUUAUUAUAUGAUCGACAUAUAUAUAAUUUUUUAAUUUAUCAAUAAAUACAUAUUUAUUAAUUUAUAAAGAAUAUAUAUGUGUUUACUGAUUAAUACUUAUACAUGUAUAACUUAUAAAUCUAAAAACAAUGGAUAUGACAAAUGGUUAACACAUUAGAAGCCUAAGAAAGUAAAAAAUAGAAAAAAUGGUUGUUAAUUGCAAAAGAUUGAAAGACUCCUAAAAAUGGAAAUGUGAUAUCAAAACUUAGUAUCUUCAAAGAUAAAAGAGGUUUUAAGUAUGGAAUGAUUUGAGAAUUAGUGAAUUGAGAAAAAUGAAAGUUAUAAAAGUUACUAUAUAUAUAUAUAUAUAAUUAUUAAUUUAUAUUUUUUUGGGUCCUUGAGGACUUCUCAAAAUUGUAUUAUUUUAUACAUUUAGUGAGGUCUAUUAAUUUAAUAAAUUGACCUAUGUUAGGAUUAGAGGAUUUUAUUAUCUAAACAAGGUUAUUAAUUUAUAGAACACUCAUUUAACAAGGUCUUAUUACAUUCAAUUGUCCAUAAAAAAGUUAAGCAAAAGAAAAUAAAUUUUUGAACAAUGCACUUUACUCUUUAUUUCAUGGUAUAAAAAUAUAAGAAAAUUUUCUUUAUAAUUUUUUCCUUGGGACUUUGCAAGAACCAAAUAUCGCAUAUAGGUUUUAUAUUUUUAAUUUUAUUUUUCUAAUUUUUAUUUUUAUAUCUUUCCAUUAAUAAUCAUAGUUUUAAUUUUAUUUUUAUUGUUGAUGGUCUAUGAAUUUUAAAACUAUAAUUUUUUCGUUUAUAAAAAAAAUUAAAAAUUAUUUAAAAAUUAUCUCAAAGAAAACUAAUAUUUGAAAUGUAUUUAUAUAAGAUUUAUUUAAAUUUAUUUAAAGAAAAAAUUUUAAAAAUUAUUGUAGACCCUUAUUUUUUGGUCAAGUUUGUUUAUUAUUUUUGAGCACUUUGUUGGCAACAUGUUUUAGAGUGGGGGAUGGCUUCUAUGGUUUCCACGUGAGCUACAUGCAUGGGACAUGUGCCAAUGACACCACCACCUUGCCAUGGUGGUAGUUGAGAUGGGGACUCCUUCUGAACAGAUGAUAGAGGAGUGGGUCGUGAGCAGUAAAACUGGUGAUGGGUUGGAGGGGAAGAAAAAAUCGAGCUGGGAAAGUAGAAGAAGGGGGGAAGAAAGCUAGACGAGGGGAAGAUUUCGGGAAAGAAAACAGAGCAUGAAGGAUAAGGUUUUUCAGCAGGGUUUUUUUGGAAGAAAAACGUGUAGCAGCUUGAGAGAGGGGUUGGGAGCAGAGAAGGAGUGAACAAGACUGUAAGAGAGAGCUGCAAUAAGAGAGUAGCACAGGUAUGUUUUCUAUAACUUGCCUAUUAUUUCUUUUUCACAUGGUUCCAUUAUUUUUUUGUACAUAUUAGGAUUCUAUUUUGGUGCCUGAAUAUGAACUUUAGAAAAUUUUACAUAUUCUUGUUGGAUUUGAGUUUGUUUGCAUGCAUUUUUAUGCUUGAUUUCUAAUCUAUUUCCUUGGCCCUGUUUUGAGAUCCUAUAUAAAAUGCUUGCAAGAUUUCCAUUUGAACUUCAUUUUGGCUCUCUCCCCAUUUUACAGCAGUAACAAAGCUACCAUUUCCCAUCAACCCAUUUAUCUUUCCAUCGUUGCCACUCUCUCACCCAAGCUUUGCACCCCCACCCAUCAUUUUCUAGCAUUCAGCUACAACUAGUGGACGUCUAGGCCAUACCAAAAGUGAAAUAUAGAAAAUGGAGAAGGACAGCCCAAGCCAAGCAACAAUUUUCUUCCUCACAUACCUCAUCGGAGUUGUCUUCAAGUUUGGAGAUGCUGUUUCAAUCCCGAGCGCUUCUCUCUACACUACCAACGAUAACCAGCAUACCAUCUUCUUUUACUUUUCUCACGAAGUGAUCGACAACGCCAUUGAUGAGAACUCCAAGUUGAUCUCUCUUUGAAAGGGCUUGAGUUGCGUUUGGUUCAAAACUUGCAUUUCAAGCUUUGAAAGCUCCAUUUCUAGCUCUACAUGUUUUGAUGUAGCUAGAGAAAUAGGUUUGCAGCUGGAAGUUUGCAUCUUUUUGCAUUUUGCAUGAGAGUUGGCAGCCCCCACCAUGCUUUUCUCACCAACUCAUUUCCGUUCUUUUCCAUGUACACGCCAUUCGCAUGCAUGGCCACCUUAGCGUAUGUGACCAAUUGCCUUCUAGACACCCAGCUUGCUGCUAAGUCUUCACGGGAUCAAAUGCUACUGGACACCUUGCUGGUACCAUUUCUAAUGAGUACUUUUUUUAUGACAACACUAUGCACUAUGCACGACUAGAAAUAAUGUUAAUAGCCACUAGUGUCGCAUAGAAUAUUAUGUUUCAUGGAAUAGGACAAGUUUAAGGAGAUCCAUAAAGGUUGAGAAGGCUGUUUAGAAUCCCACUUUCGUGAAAAGUCAUGCGAAAAUUUGGUCCAAUGGAUUUUUCAGCAUAUAAAAAGGAAAUAUGAUUACCUCAAAUUGAUUACUUGCAGCCAUCUAUUGGAAAUAGUCUUCAGGACCAUCAUAGCAGCUCCUACAUAUGUCCACAUUGGCGGGCUCAAGCUUGUGGAUCAAAGCAGCCACUUUCCAUCCUGAGCCCACACUUUGCAUGGCCACCUUUGGCAUGCAAUCUCACCACCACAUUUCAUCCUUUUAAUUCUUCAUAUUUUAAUACCAAAGUUUAAUUUUCCAAAUUUUCAAUUUUUAAAUAUAAUUUCCAAAACUUCUAUUUUCAAAUAGUUGUCCAAAAUUUUGAUUUUCAAAUAUUUUUUGAAACUUCAAUUCCUUAAUUUGAUAUUUAAAACUCUAAUUUUCAAAACUUCAAUUUCUUUCAAAUUUAAUUUCCAACUCCAAUUCCUAAAUUUAAUUUUCAAAACUCUAAUUCUCAAAUAAUUUUUAAAAUUCUAAUUUCUUUCAAAUUUAAUUUCCAAAACUUCAAUUCUUAAAACUAAUUUUCCAAACUCCAAUUUUCAAAUAAUUUUCAAAAUUCCAAUUUCUUUCAAAUUUAAUUUCCAAAACUCCAAUUCCUAAAUUAAUUUUCAAAACUCCAAUUCUCAAAUAAUUUUCAAAAUUCCAAUUUCUUUCAAAUUUAAUUUCCAAAACUCCAAUUCCUAAAUUAAUUUUCAAAACUCCAAUUCUCAAAUAAUUUUCAAAAUUCCAAUUUCUUUCAAAUUUAAUUUCCAAAACUCCAAUUCUUAAAUUUAACUUUCAAAACUCCAAUUCUCAAAUAAUUUUCAAAAUUUCAAUUUCUUUCAAAUUUAAUUUCCAAAAUUACAGUUCUCAAAUUUAAUUUUCAAAACUACAAUUUUCAAAUAAUUUUCGAGACUUCAAUUUUCGGAUAAAUUUCAAAACUCUAGUAUUCUUUCAAAUAAUUUUAAUUUCACUCUAGUUUUCAAAUAUUUUUUAAUUCUAUCACUUUUCAUCCUUCAUUAGGGUUUUAAGUCACUAAGAAUCCCAUUUUUUAAAAAAUAAACUUGCUCCCUUUCCUUUCAGGUAAGCAUUUUUCUCAAAGUUUCUUUGAUUUUAAAAUAAUUUUUCGUUUUCCUUUAUUUUUAAUAAGUAUGAAUGAAUUUUCGUAACUCCAAAAAUAAUGGAAUUUAUGAUAUUAAUUCAUGCAAAAUCUAUUGGGCUUUGGUGGGAGCCCUACAUAUGAGCUUCCUCUUUCAAGUGUCAAUUGUUAUGCUUAAUGAAUAUUGUUUGAUCUUUGUUCUUGCUCUUAAAUAUGUAUGCGACAAUUUUGUAUUUGAGCUAACCUUAUUUUCAUGAUAGCGCUUUAUUACCUACUGCCAAGGUAUGUUCUCACUCUCACUUUGUUUAUUUAUUCGUUAUCAUGACUUGAUUUUGAUCUAUGAUCAUUUUGGUAUACAUCAAUCUCCUAGUUAAUUGUCAUGUUUGCAUCACUUUAUUUAGUAGAAACUUGUUUUUAAGGGGCUUAAAGGGGUGCUAUGGUCUUUACCAUACCUUCCCAAUAAGUAACCUAACUCUCGAACCCAGGUUUAGUUUUUCACAGACCGUCUUUUUCAAAUAAGGAGUCACACUUGGGUUUUCUUUCUUAUUUUGUUUUUCCUUUAAAAAUAAAACAAAAAUUAGUGGGUACUCCAAGUCAUUUUCUAAAAGAAUAAAUCAUUUUCAAAUAAAAAACAAGUUCUACCAUCGAAUGGGAACGCAUUGUGCGAAAUAUGGGGUUCACAAUUAUAUAUGUCCUAACAUUAUCAUUGGAAAAAAAAAAGUAUUCAUACAAGAUUUAUUUAAAAAUUAUCUUAAAGGAAACAAUUUUUUUUUGUGAAAAAAUAUAUCUCAUAAUAUGGUGACUAAUAUAGGUAAAAUGGAAUUAUAUAAUAUUUAUUUAGUAUAAAAUUUAUAUUGUUUAACUUGCAAUAAAAAAAUAUAAAAUUUCACUCCCAAAAAUUGAUAUUUCACUCUGAAUAUAUCCAAGUCCGCUUCCAAUAGUUGAAUAACAUUUUAAAUGAGAUGCCAAAUACUCCCAUAACCAACUAAAGAUGUUGAAUCAUAAAUGGAAUAGUAUUUUGAAUUUUUAAUCAUUAGUGUAGUUAAAUAGUUUUUUAUCUUUGGAUUACUUAUAAAAUUAUAUAUUACUACAAUCUAAAAAAUAUUAAUUAUAUGUUAUUUUAAUUUUACUCUUAUUUAGUAUAUUAUAACCAUAUUGUCUUCUAUAAAUGAAUUCAUAGUAUAUGUUCUUGUUAGCACUGGAACUUGUUAAAUACUUCCAUUUUGAAGAUAUAACUCAAUCUUACUCAACUUAAAUCAUAGCAUUGUGAUAAAAUAAUGAUGAUAUAAACAAUGUCAUAAUUCUGUCCAAGCAAUAUUCAAAUUCUGCCCUCUAAUGUGUUGUUAAAUUUCUAUAUAAUAAUAAUGAAUUAUUAUAUUUAAUGUGAAAAAAAAAUCAAAUAUAAUUCAAAAUUUUAAUUUUUUUUUUACAUAUUUUUAUAUUAUUUAAUCUUUAUAUAACAAAAAAAAAAGUGAAAUAAGUUUAAAGAAGUAUGUAAAAAAUUAUUUAUUUACUUUAAAUUUAUUUUCUAUUUUCCUUCAUUUUUUUCUCUCCUUUUAUUUUUUCUCACCAUUUUCUGUCUCACAUUUUUCUUCAAAUUUUUCAAAAACAUAGCAUAGCCUUAGGCUAUGUUUGGUUGUUGGAAAAUUUGAAAAAAAAAAUGUGAGAGAAAGAAAAUAGAAAGGAAAAGUGAAAGAAAAAAGUUAAGGAAAAUAAAAAAUAUAUUUAAAUUUAAUAAAUUAUUUUAACAUGUUUUUUCAAUUUCAUUUAUUUUUCUCAAAGAUUAAAUCAUUUUAAAAUAUAUAAAAUUUUAAUUAAUUUUAAUUAUAUUUGAUUUUUUCAUAUUUUUUAUAGUAAAACUAAAAUAAAAAAAUCAUUUUCUUUAUGUUAUGUUUGGUUCAUAAAAAAACACUAAGGAAAAGAAAAAAAAUGUUAAAAAAAUUAUUUUCUCAUAAUUGUAUUAUGAAAAAAGAAUUAAAGAAAAUCAAAUAUAACUAAAAUUAGUAAAAAAAAAAAACUUAUAUAUUUUAAAAUUAUUUAAUAUUUAUAUAGAAAAGUUCAAAUAUAUGAAUUGAGUUUGGAAUAGUAAAUAAAAGUAAUUUAUUGAUUUUAAACCUAAUUUUUAUUUUCUUCUACUUUUUUACUUUGAAGAAGCAAGUAUAAUCAUAAAAGAUUUUGUAAUAUUCCUUUCUCAAAUUUAUUUCUUACACCAUUUAUAUUUUCCUAAUAGUAUAUUAAUCAAGAAGAAAAAAAAUGUUACUUUUCAUAUUGGUGGAAAGUCUUGAAACACAAAGUGAGAAAACAAAAAAAUUGAAGAAGCUUGGAUGUAAAACAUUUUAAGAGUAACUUUAAUAAAUAUUUUUAAAAAAAUUAAUGUGGAAUUUUGACAAAUUUUUUGUACUCCACGUGGUCUAAUACCAUUAAAAGUUUGUACCAUGUUGGUACGAUGGAUGUACCUUUUCCCUUUGAAAAUUGAUUAGAGACUUCCCUUCCUCCAAUCAUGAAGCAAAUUCUUUGAAGCUUCAGGCCAAGAAAAGAUCGUUCAAAGAAUACGUUUGACUAAGCUAGACGGCUUGGAAUUGAUCAGACUCAUCAGAAUUUUGGAAAGUACACAAAAGCGUAGCCUCCUAUAAAUGUGUCCAACCCUCUAUGGUUGUAUCACAGAUUAGAAAGAAAAGAUGGUAAGAGAUUCGAUGGCAUUUGGUGUUGGCAGUGGCAGCUUCGAUGGUCAUGGUGGUGGUGGUGGAGAGCAAGUGGGCAAGGUGGCUCUGACCCGUAAGUCGAUGUUCUUCCUCUGCAUGUCAGUUACACUGUUGGUGCUAGUGGUGGCAAUAGUGGUGGCGUUGAUGAUUUGAGGGAGGAUGGUGGUGGUGGUGGUGGCAGCGGCUGUGACGGUGGAAUGUAUAAUCAUUCUUUUUGUAUUGAAGUUUAUAAAUAGCAUGGAUGUAUACGUAUUCUUUGCAUUUUUUUUUUUCUUUUCAUAAAAAACAUGUUAGAAGUUUUUUAGCUUUCAUACCAAAAUAAAAAGAGGUUAGGGCAUGUUUGUUAAUUGUGUUAGAUAUUUUAGUUCAAAAAUAUAAAGAAACAUAUUUGAUAACCGUAAAAUAUUUUCCAUUCUUAAAAAUGAAAAACACCGAAAAACAUGAUAUUUCUGAUAACAUGUUUGAGUCAUUUUCACUUUUUUUAAAAAUAAUAAGAUAAAUUUGAAGUUUGGAGAUUAUUUUAAAAAAUAAUCAAAUAGAAAGAGAUGAAGAGGAAUUGAAAUGGAAGGAGACAAGUAGUUUUCAAUCCUUAUAUACCCAAGAAAACAAGAUAAUAAUGUAAAACCUUCUUUUAGAUUUAAUGAGUAUUUGGUAAAUCAAUUUAAUAAUUUAAAGCAACUUAAUAACCUUAAAUAAAAUAUGUUUGAUAAAAUAACUUUAUUAUAUGACUUAAAAUAAAAAAUAACUUUAAGUAAUAAGUAAAUAUUUAUAUCUUCAUUUUAUCUUUUUACUUUAUCUAUCCUAAUUAUCUCCACAAUCUUCUUUACUACUUUACAACCUUCAUUAUUACUUAACCUCAUUUACCUUAAUUAUAAUUUAUGAGAAUAAAUAUAUCCAUUUAAUGAUUUAAAAUAAAUUUAAAAUUAUUUUUAUUAUAUAAUCUUAAUAUUUAACAUAAGAAUUAGUUAAUAAAUUUUAAAUUAACAACUUAAAUAUAAUUUAAUUUAAAGUCAACUUAAGUGAUUAAGUAAUAAGUACAAACUCCCUUUUAAUAUCUUAUUCUAACUUAUUUACAUCUAUAUAUGAAGACACGUAUUCUGAAUCCUCGUGUAUCCAAGAAAAGAGUCAAUUAUCCAUUCUUCAUUAAUUCAAAAACGUAGAAUAAAAUACAAAAAAUUAACUGAAAUAUUCCUCAACAAAAACAAGUUUAUCAGACAUCCAUGGCUGGAGUAUGUUAAAACUAGGGUUUUUUUUUUUUAAUUAGAGUAACUUAUUGUAGUUUAAAAGAGUGGUCAAAGCAGGCACAAAGUGAGAUUAAAUACUAAUUGUGAUUUGGAGGUGCUUUCAAAAAAUGAAAGAGUAUUAAAAUGUCAUAAAAUUAGGGAAAAAAAAUAUACAUAUACACCAAGCAUGAGUUCAUGAGAUGUUGUAUUGGCUUCCAAACAUGUACAAUCUUCCACAUUAGAAAGAAAUCGACCAUUUUUAACUUUAAGUUGUGGUAUUAAAUUAUUUUAAUAAAUAUGUUUAACCUAUUUAACUAUUUAAAUUAAGUUAUUAAGUCAUUAAAUUCUUUUACCAAACAUCUUCUUACCCAACCUCAAAAUAUACUUUUGUCAUAGCACACCAUAUUUGAAUCUUUGGAACUUCUUUGAAACUUCCAAAUAGGUUGAAAAGAAUUGAGAUUGUUAAUACAAGGAAAGAUUAUUCAAGGUUUGAUGAAGCAACAUGGCUUAAAAUUCAAAUCAAGAAAAUUAUAUGAAAAUAAUGAAGUAUAAAACAAAAUAAAUAGAAGUUUUUGAAUUAUAAUUAUUUUAAAACAAAGGGGAAAAAAAGUGAAGAAGCUUGAUUGUGAAAUAUUUCAACAGAUAAUUUUUAAUUAAAUAAUUUUUAAAACUUAAAUUUUUAAUAUAAAAAUCUUACAUUAAAAUUUUUUCUUCCUCGUGGUCUAAUAUCAUAUCAAAAGGUUGUACCAUACUGGUACGAUGGAUGUACUUUCUCCCAUUGAAAAUUGAUCUAAUUGAAGAAGAUAGAGACACGAGACUCUGUUCCUUCAAUAUCAUGAAAAGUCUCCUCUCUCUCUCUCUCUCUCUCUCUCUAAUUGAUGAGGUUUUUCUCACGACAAGAAAUGUCAACGACACCUACACGGCUUGGAAUUGAUCAAGCCCAUCAAAAUUUUGAUAAUGACGCUAAGCAUGUGACCAAUCUUCUACGGUUGUAGCAUAGAAUAUUAGAAAGAAAAGAUGGCAAGAGGUUUGAUGGCACUAGAUGGUGGUGGUGGUGGUGGAGAGCAUUUUGGCACUGUGGCUUCAAGCUCUAGGGCGGCCCCUGUUCUUGCUUUGCACGAUCAUUAUGUCCCUCUCUAUUAUAUCCAUAUAUGGUCAUAUUUGGUGGUGUUAGUAAGGCUUCUACUUCAGCUCGCAAGGAAAAAGAGGCGGUGAUGAGGAUGGUUCGAGAUGGUCAGUGUGGUGAGGGUAGUGAUGGCGGUGAGGGUGGUGAUGAGGGUGGUGGCGAUGGUGAAGAAAAUUGUGGUGGUUGUUUUUCUCUUUGUUGUGGAGAUGGUGGAUGUUUUGACUGUUGUUGAGCAAAUGGUUGUGGUGAUGGCGGAUAACCAUCACAUUCUCAGCAAUGGCAGCAACUGCACCGACUGAAUCCCACCAGAAUCAUCAUUGCAUACGUUAUUUAGUUGGGAGAAUUGUGUUUUGGGCUCAGCUGAGCCCAAAAAUUAAGUUUUGGUCCAUGUAACUAAACUAUUUAAGCUGAAAACCUAUAGGAAGUGUCAAAUUUGAAAAGAAGGAUAUGUACUUUUAUUAUUUCCAAAAAUAACCUUUGCUGAUUAUGAAAAAAAAAAAAUUAAACCAGAAUAUCCAAGUUGGAAUUUUGCCCUAAUUUUGCUCUUUCUUCAGCAUUUCAGCCCUAGACAGCCGUUGUUUUUCUCUUCCUCCUGAUUUUCUCCAUUGCUUGCAUCUCAUCUCUAUGCCCCUUUCAUUUUUUCUCGCAUUCGUCUCUCCCGAAAAUUUGAUUUAAGGCCAAAUAUAUUGUCUUAAUCAAUCUCUUGAUUUCAGUUGGGUGUCUCUUGUUCCAUCAUCGAUCCGCAUCAGUGUUGUCAUUCGUGUCAAGUGUCGUUGGCUAUUUGAGGUUAGUAGGUUCUCCAAUUUCAUUUUCUCUCGAUUUCGUCUUUGCCAAGCAUUUGAUUUCAACUCAAAAUACAUUGAUGUAAUCUCUCUCUCAAUUUUAGUUCGGCGUGUUCAUCUUGGUGCAGACCUUGUUGCAUAUUUGAGGUUAGUAGGUUGCCUAAAUCUUGGCCUAGAUUUUCUUGGUCCUAUAUUUUGUUUAAUCCUUGUUGGUAUUAGGAGAAGGAUUCUUGUUUUCUACUAACCUUCAGUUUACAAAGUGAAUGUUGAGUGUUAUUUUAAGGACAUUAAAUGAACAGUUGAGGCAAAGUAAGUGAUUUGGAAUUCCUUGCUGUAGAAAUCUCUUGGAAAGGGGUUUCCAUACUUCCUAAUUCUAAAUAAGACAUUGUAGAUUUGUUGUAAUGUUUUAAAAGAGCAAAUUUUUCUUUUGGAGCAUUGCUAAUUUGAAAAAUAUUUUGGUUGGAAAUACUUCAAAAUCUUGAUGGAAUAGCAGCACAAAAUUGGAAUUAACUCUUUGAUUUUGAUAGAUCUCGUCUCAAAUGCCCAAAGUUGGUAGUCAGACAGUUUGAGUUAUUCUAAGUUGUGCAAGUCCAUUUAGAAGUUCUAUACUAGUAGGAGGAAGUAUGCCUUUGUUUCUAGCUUAUGCUAGAGUUAUCAAGGGAAAGAGUUAUAAAGUUGAAACUUUUGAAAUUAUACAAGUCACUUUAUACUGCAUGGUCAAGGAAUCUGAUUAAACCUAAAUUUUCUUAUGGUGCAUUGGCUCACUACUACAAAAAUAGUUUAUGGUGUCACUAUUUACAGUGUCACUUUUAAAAUAAUGACACCAUAGGGUUUAUAAUUAAUAAAUGUGACACAUCAUAUAAAAAAUCUUCAAUUGAGGUAGUUAGAUGAUAUUAAUUUUAUAUUUAUAGUGUCAUUUUUUGGGAAGUGACAUCAUAUAAAAUAAAUUUUUUUAAGUAUUAUAACUUAAUGAGCCCACUUUUAGAAUUAAUAAUGAUGGAUACUAUAUAAAAAUCCCAUUGUUUCCAUAUCUCACCCACAAUCCAAAAAAUCUCAAUGUAUAAAUCCUAUAUAUAAAAUCAUGAUCUUCUUCAACCUUUUCUCUCACCCAUCCAUAGUCAACAGGCUCAAAACCGACAUUCUUUACUUUGUGGACUCCCAGGUAACCCAAAAUCUCUUGGAUCUAUCAUUUUUUUUCUUUUAUUAAUGUCAUUAUAUUAAUUGUUUCAACAUCUUUGUAUUAUGGUUUUUGUGAAUUGUGUUUUCUUGAGUUGUAGGGAAGAAAAAUUUAGGUUUAAUCUUCUAGCAUGGAAGAAAAAACUAUAGAUUAAUUGAUUUUUUUAAUCUAAACCAAACACAUGAUCAAGUCCUUAAAAAAAAAAUGAAAAACAGGAAAAAAUGAAUGAUUUUUAAUAUGUAUUUAUGUGAGAAUGACAGGUACAAAAUUUUUUUAAGAUAUACUAUCACAUAAUCUUCAUCCUUUCUAAAAAACGAGAGAGGAAAAAAAAAAGAAUGAUUUUUCUGUUUGUAUCUAAGUGGGAAUGAGAUAUAGAAUUUCGUUGAGAGUAUCCAACCCCAAAAGGACCAAUCCGGGAAGGCAUGUGUGGUAUUGACGGGAAAUGAUAAGAUGGAAAUCAUAACCAUAGCCAUGUUCUCUCUGUGUCUUUCUAUCCUCUUCAAUUAAUUCAUGGGCAUAGAUAUUUUAUUUAGUUUUUAUAUUUAGUUUAUUUAUAGUUUAUUUAGUUUCUAAAUCCAAUUAGUUAGAUAUUUUAUUUGAUUUUGUUUUUAUAUUUAAGUAUUUGAGUUUUGGAAAGUUUUUAUAUUUUUUUAAUAGAAAUAGAAAUUUUUAUAUUUUUUAUUAUUAGGAAUUUCUAUUUUCUUAAAUUGUAAAUAUCUAUCUCAAUAAGAGAUUAUUAAUAUUCAAAUGAAAGUGAUGAAAGAGAGUAAAUAUUUUAAUGCUCAAUUAUAUUUUAAUGUUAUUUUUUUUUUUACAUAGCGUUUAUUUAUGUUUUCAAUUUUGAAGUUCCCUUUCCAGUCCAGCACCAAAGUAUGUCCAACCUUAAAUGGGNNNNNNNNNNNNNNNNNNNNNNNNNNNNNNNNNNNNNNNNNNNNNNNNNNNNNNNNNNNNNNNNNNNNNNNNNNNNNNNNNNNNNNNNNNNNNNNNNNNNNNNNNNNNNNNNNNNNNNNNNNNNNNNNNNNNNNNNNNNNNNNNNNNNNNNNNNNNNNNNNNNNNNNNNNNNNNNNNNNNNNNNNNNNNNNAAAGUGAUGAAAGAGAGUAAAUAUUUUAAUGCUCAAUUAUAUUUUAAUGUUAUUUUUUUUUACAUAAGGGUUUAUUUAUGUUUUCAAUUUUGAAGUUCCCUUUCCAAGUCCAGCAACAAAAGUAGUGUCCAACCUUAAAAUGGGCAUGUGUGGUAUUGACAGGAAAUGAUAAGAUGGAAAUCAUAACCAUAGCCAUGUUCUCUCUGUGUCUUUCUAUCCUCUUCAAUUAAUUCAUGGGCAUAGAUAUUUUAUUUAGUUUUUAUAUUUAGUUUAUUUAUAGUUUAUUUAGUUUCUAAAAUCCAAUUAGCUAGAUAUUUUAUUUGAUUUUGUUUUUAUAUUUAAGUAGUUGAGUUUUGGAAAGUUUUUAUAUUUUGUUAAUAGAAAUAGAUAUGAGGACUUAAAGGGUUUAUAUUUAGGUAGUGCUUGAGCCAAUGAAAAUGAUAGUCCACUAUCUUGACCCUAUGCAUCACAAACCAUGUGAGGACUUAAAGGAUAUCGUAAACAUGUAAGUUCUUUCUAUUAUUUUUCAUAGUAUUAUUUUUAAAUAAAAAAAAAUACAUUCACCUCAAACACAUUUUUUUUUAUUAUUUAUAUAUAUUAAAACAUAUAACAUUUAUCUAUUUUAAAAAUGUACCCAUUGAACUUAUUUACAUAGGGCUCUUCGAAUAUCUGCAAAGAAAACAUCUAAGAGGGAAUCAUCUUAGCAACUAGUGCAGGUGACAUCCAAAAAUUUUUCUUUACACAUUAGCUUAUGCAUUUGCACCAUUUAUAUAUGUGAGUACUAAUGUUAUUUUAUAAUUGAUCGAUUAGUGUCCAAGACAAGAAGGAGGGUUCGAAUGUGGCUACUUUGUUAUGAGAUUCAUUAAAGAGAUAAUUUUUGAUCCUACAAUUAUUGCUUCAAAGGUAUUACUUAUUUAAUGAAUUGUACAUAGUUUUAGGCUUCCAAAUGUUAUGCAUUUUAAUGUUAUCUUCUUAUUUGAUUUCAGUUUGGUAAUAAAAAAAACAUAUUCUCAAGUAGAAUUCGAUGAAAUAGAGGAGAAUGGGCUACUUUUGUGCUACAACUAAUCAUGAAUCAUGUUGAUGCAUCAUGAUCACCAUGAAUGGUGAGUCCCUUAGCUACUACAUGAAUUUUUCCAUAGGUAUUGUAUAGUAAUGCUUAUUCUUUGAAUAAUGUUUCUAUUUGAAAAAAAAAAUUAAUUCUUAAAUUUGUUCAUUUAUGAUAACAUAGAUCCAUGUUUAUUUUCUUCAAUAAAAAUCUCUAAAACUCAUUAAAUAUUGAAAUGCAGGUAUACACUCUUGGGAGGGUGAAAUGGAGAAUAUAAAGAAAGAAGAAGGCAACAAGAUUUUGGGUUUUUAAAUGCAACUCUUAUGUCAUACGUUGUAGGACAUAAACGUUACUUUAAUUGCAACUGAGAAAUUUAGAUUUUUAGAUGGGACUUCUAUGUCAUUUUAUGGUUAGCCGGUUUUAUGCUUAUGAAAUGGAGGUAUACAUGAAUCUUGGGAUCUUUAACAUUUCUAAAUCAUGUUUUGGUAUGUAUUCACUCUUCUUUUUUAGUUUUGAUGGGUUUGAUAUGUUGGACGUACUAUCCUUUUGUGAACAUUUGAUAUACAAAUAUUAUUGAUGAUCAAUGUAUUAUGAGUUAUUCCAGAAACAUUAUAGAAAAAUGAGUUAAAUAUAAUAUGAUUGUUAUAUUUAUGGACAAAAUAUAAACAGGUUAAUCUUAUUAAUUCAUAAGCAUUACAAAAAUCAACAACUAAAACCAAUCAUAUAUUCUACAAUAAUUUACAAUGAUGUGAUACCAUAACUCAAAGGUGAUGCAUUUAAUGUGACAUCAUAACUCAAAGAUGAUGUAUUUAAUGUGACACCCUAUCAUCACUAGAAAUAUAUGGUGUCACUUCUGAAUGGGUCACCAUUUAUCUACUUUGGUGUCACUUCCAAAUACGUCACCAAUUGGUACCCUCUAUGGUGUCAGUGGAGAAGGUGACGCUAUGUUGUAGUGACACCUUAUGUUUAUGGUGACUCGUUAUAAAUGUCACCAUAUACCUUUUUCCUUGUAGUGGCUUGAGAUGUAGGCACAAGUAACAGAUUUAUCUCCUUUUAUCUAUUAGUUUUUCUCACCCUUAAAUGUGUUAAACUAUUGUUUAUGGUAUUGUAUGAAUCAUCUAAAGUAGGGCAUGAUAGUUUAGAAGAGAAUUCUAUAUUUGUUGCAUUUUUCAGGCUAUUAUCUCUUCAUAUUAUUUUGCAAAGCAAUGCUUUAUAAUUAAUAUUUAAAUCUCUCCAUUCUCUUUGAAUAGGUUUGUAGGCAUGUCUGAUAUAAUAGUACCAAUAGAAAUUGUCAAAGGGUUUGAGUGAGAAUGAGAAUUUCUUUUCUGCCUAGUCCAAGUAUAGCUCAAAGCUUAAUAAAACAUGGGGGAUUAAUAAAAUGUGUGGCUUUGUUGAACACUUGACCUUUUAUUUUUGAAUUCUGUUUACUUACUUUGCAGAUCACCCCGAGGAUCGAAUAAAAUUUAAAUAGUUGAUAAUAGUUAAAGCCCAUUUGCACAAUGUUUUUUCCUUUAUUUAGAAUUUCUUUUGAAAAUGGGUUAUUUUCAAGUUUUUAUGAAAUAUUCUUAACAAUAAUUGAAAAUAUAAAAAAUAUUUUUGAAUUUUUUGGGGAUAGUAUAGUUUAUAAUAUCUUCAUAGAAAAUAAGCUAAGAAAAAUACUUUAUAGACAAGAUUUUAUCUCUAAAAAUAAUUAAAAAACUGUUAUCAAAUUUUCAAAUAAGCCAAACUAGUUGUUGGUUUGUUCUGGAUCAUAUUGACCAGGGGUCAUCUGUUACUAGAAUUUCUAAGAGAAAAAGAACAAGCACAACCAAUCCUAACCCUUUUUCCUGAAUUCUUCCCUUUGUUAUUUCUAUUCUUAGAUUUUGAUUGGUAGUGUUUUUAAAAAGUAAUUUUAUUCUAACAAGUUUUUUUAUUUUAUUUUUAUUUUUUAAAUUAGGUAUUUGAUAAAAUUUUUAAAACAUUUUUAAAAAUUAAAAUUUUAUUUAUAGUGUUUUUCUCCCAAAAGUAGUUUUAUUUCCAUUAAGAAUAGUUUGAAAAGAAACAUAUCCUAAAAUAUUUCUAUAGAUAACAUCUCCACUAAAAUUGCUUAGACCAUGGCCUUAAAAUUCUUUUUGAAAAUAAUUUUUAUAAACUUAUUAAAGAAACCUUCAAUUUGAAUUUGUCAAAACAUGAAUUUAAAAAUUGAUAAUGCUAAAAUUUACUUUACUCUGCAUAGAUAUAAUAUUUGAGAAAAAUAAAAUCAUUACCCCUUUGAAUAGAUUUAAAAAUUGUUCGUUUUCAAAUGAAAAUGAAUUAAAAGGAGACUAGAAACCAUUAAUAGCUUGUUGUUACAACCUUGUCUUAGAUCUUCUUGCAGUAUCCAGUUAGGGAGUUAGCUUUUUAACUGCUCAGUAUGUUUAUAUUGAUUUUAUGAAGGUUGUAAUGUAUGUUAAUUGGUUGGUGUUGAACAAUAGCCAGAGUAGAAAAAGAUAAAAAGAAGCAACCCCAAGGACUAGAUGGAACUUCAGCAUAACACGGUUGAACCAAGUAGGUUUUGGAUCAUCAACCAACAAUUUAAAAGCCCUUCCAGCACCCACAAACACUGGGUUUUUAGUUAGCUUGAAUUUAUCAAGUGUCCUCAAAGGUUUCAUAUUUUUGCAGGAAGAAAUAUUAUUCUUUUCAUCUUUUUUACUGUUGGUGAUUGCAUGAAAAACAAAUUUUAGGUUUCAUUUUCAUUUUUUUACUUUAUUUUUAUUUUUUGCUUUUUCUUUGUCCAAUUGAAUGUACCAAAAAAAUAAAAGAUAAUCUUAUUUAUUUCUUUUCUUAUUUGAUAGGAUAAAAUUAAAGAAACGUUGAGGUUGUUAAAUCACAUAUGAAAAUAAAUAUAUGAAGCAAUGGAGUUGUGAUAGCAACCUUUUUAAAAAAAUUAGAAACAAACAUUUUCAUUUAUCAAUCAAUUAACAAAUGGGGGAUUAUCCAAAUCCAUUGAUGUGGUAUGUAGAUACAUGAAAGUAUUAUAACAACAUUGAUAUAAAAUUAGCAUAACAUGGCCAAAUUAAUUAACAUUUGCUUAUAUGUCUUUUAAACUUGGAUGAAUGCAGGGCAAGUUGAAGAAAUAUAGAUUGAAGAUAAUGGGCAGAUUGCUGUUUUCCACACAUAAUGCACAUCGACAUCGAUUUAUGGUGGAAUGAUGGGGACUGUUAAAUUGGAUGUGACGAGGAUAAUUUCAAAUUGAUUUUGGAUAUAAUCAUAGUUGAAAAGUUGUAUAAUAGAAGUAUAUUAUAUAUUGCUACCUCAGCUAUAGGUGUAGAAGUUGACAGUGUCAUCUAUUAGGCAAAGCUAAUGUUCAAAAAUGAAUGUAAUUGUAUGACAAUUGUAUAGGGACUUUGGUUGAACUGUAUUUUUUUAAAAAGUAAAUUGAUUGUAUAAGGGAGUAUUGUCAUUUUAAUUAUGUAUGAAAUUUAAUUAAUGUUGCUUUUAUAAUUGAUAAGAAGGUAUUGGGUGGUGGGUGUCUAAUUGAAUUAAUUUUCUGCUUGUAGUAAUAUAUUAUGUCUACCAUAUUACAAACAACAUAUUUUAUGCCCAAGUAUGUUGGGUUUAUUUCUAUACUUCUAGUGGGGGCAGUACAUAGGUAAAUGGAUGUACCUUGGGGAUUAAAUAUCUCCAUUAAAAUGAGGUAUUACUUCCAGGUAAUAGGUAAAGAAUUGUAAUGAAAACCCAUAAACUCCUUUAAAUGCUAGUUACAUGGCAAAAAUUAUAUUGUUCAAACUAUAUAAAUGUUAUAACCUCAAUUUUAACACCAUUGCCUGGUUCAAAGCACCGUGUAAAGAACCUUGAUUCCAAACGGAUAACAACCAUAUUGUUCAAUUAUGUGUGAACACAUAAAUUUUAUAUUUCAUUUAUUCUUCAAAAUUAUUUAAAAUCCUUGAAGAGAGUCUGCCUUGUACAGUUAGCACACAUACCUUGUACACUUAGUGUAAAUGAAUUGUACACCUGCACAAUUUACAUACAACUAUAAUGCAAUGUGUGCAUAUGGAUGGGUUAACUAUGAUUCCAUUAUCAUUACUUAGGAAAAGAGGUAAAAAAAAAAAAAAAAUCAAACCCAACCAUGUAUACCUAAUCAUCAUUUAUGAAUACAAGGUGAUGGAAUGAACAUAUAUGAGGUCAAAUAAAUGGAAGGGCUGCAUGGGAUCAAUCAAUAUGUGCGAGAAAUGUUUUUUAUCCUCAAAUGAGGGAAAUGAGCAAGCUAGUUCGUCAAAAUCAUUUAAAAAACUUCGAGACAUAUACCCUUAUAUACCCUUAUACAGUUAGCAUAUUUGUUUUGUACACUUAGUGUAUCAAUAUGUGCGAGAAAUGUUUUUCAUUCUCGAAUGAGGGAAAUGAGCAAGCUAGUUCGCCAAAAUCAUUUAAAAAACUUCAAGACAUAUACUCUUAUACACCCUUGUACAGUUAGCAUAUUUGUUUUGUACACUUAGUGUAAAUGCCUUGUACAGUGAUAGAAAUUUCAUACAGCUAUAACACAUGAAUCCAUACGGGUGGGUGAACGAUGUUCCAAUUCCAUGAGUUAACAAAAUAUCAAAAAAUUGCUGCCAAAUUACAUUCCUCUUCAUCAUUACUGUGGUAAGUAAUAUGAUGAACAUGUAUGAACUCACAAAAAUGAAUGGGUUGAGUGUGUAAGCAAGUAAUGUGUGUGAAGAAUGUCCUUCAUCAUUGGAAAAUGGAAAUGAGCUAGCAAGUUCUUUAUAUGCCUUUGAAAUCCUGCUGGAUAGAUACCUUGGACAACUUGUACAGUUAGCACAUGUACCUUGUACACUUAGUGUAAAUGUCUUGUACACUUGCACAUUUACAUACACCUUUAAUGCGAUGUGUGCAUGUGGGUUGUUUAACUAUGAUUCCAUUGUCAAGCCUCAGGAAAAGAGGUAAAAAAGUUCUAAUCGAACCCAACCAUGUAUCUCUAAUCAUCAUUUAUGAAUACAAUGUGCUAAAAUUAACAUGUAUGAGGUUAAAGAAAUGCAUAAGUUGCACUUAAUCAACCAAUAUAUGUGACGAAUGUCUCUCAUUCGUUGAAAAGGGAUAUGAGCGACUCAUUUCCACAAAAUCAAUUGAAAUCCUUCAAGACAGGUAUCCUAAUACACCCUUAUACAAUUAGCAUAUUUUCCUUGUACGCUUAUUAUAAAUGCCAUGUAUAGUGGCAGAAAUUCGACAUAGCUAGAAUUGAAUGUCCCCAAUCCUUACAAAAGGGAAAUGAGCAAGCCAAUUUUUAAUUAAAAAAAAAAAAUUAAUCCUUCAACAUAGGUACCCUUGUACACCCUUGUAUAGUUACCAUAUUUCUCUUGUACACUUAGUGUAAAUAGCUUGUACAGUGCCAUAAAUUGAACAUAGCAACACCUGAACGUCUGCUCAUACACGGGUUAAUCAUAUUUGUGAUGUUUUGGUUAAUCAAAUGGGUAAAAACUAAAGUCUAAAUUUGUUUCCCAACUACUAGUCAUCAUAUUAUUGAAAAACAACUACUAGUCCACAAGUCUUACACAAUAAUCAUACAAACAGAUCAGUGAAUGAUGCACAUGAAAAACCCUUCUAUUGACUUCCUACAUGCAAAACAUUUAAUAUUCACAAACAAUUUUCCCUAUUAUUAUUGUCCUACUCAAACAUAAAGGAGUUUCAAUCAUAUAAUUAAUGGGGUCCCAAACAUAAAGAAUUUUAACAAAGAUGGAUGUGACAAUUCAUCCCUAAACCUAAUAAAAACACUCUCAAUCCUCCACAAACUUGGGUUUCAAUUCCAUAAACUAUACUAACCCGAAAACUAUUUCAACAGGUGGAAUAAAUUUUCAUGUUCAAAUGAGGUCAUUGGGCAUAUACCCCACUACCAAUACUACAACGACUUUAGAUAUUCAAGGGAAUUAUUGCUUUUCAGAUCCGUUUGACCUGAAGGAAUUGUUGAGGCAUUUCAUGAACUUCACUCAGUCUUCUUCCCUAAACUUCACACUCUCUUUAUAUGAACCAUACUCAAAUCCUCUUUGAAUUUAUUAUAUUGGACAAUAGACCUAGGUCAUAGCCACAUACACAUUUUAAAGAUAUCUAACACGGCAACUUCAAUUGACCACAUUUGAAACCUAAAAUUUACAAACAUCUGGUAUGGAAAUUUGAAGGGUAUAUUUGUUUAUUGAUAUUUUAUAUCAUCUCUCUUAAUUAUGCAACUUAUAUGGACCAAAGGUUAAUUUUUCAUUAGAAAUAAGCAUGCGAGUUCUUAAAAAGCAUUUGAAAACCUUCAAGAUAGGUAGGCUUGUACACCCUUGUACAGUUAGCAUAUUUGUCUUGUACACUUAGUGUAAAUGCCUUGUACAAUCACAGAAAUUCCAUAUAGGUACAACUAAACGAGUGCUUAAGACUAGGUAAACAAUGUUUCCAUUCUCAUGGAUUAGGGGAAAUGAGGAAAAAGUUGACCCUAAUUUCGAUUCAUAUUCAUGAUUAGUGGAGGAGCUAAUAAAAUGAAUGAACAUGGUGGAUGUCAAAUAAAAUGCAUGCAAUGGGUGUGUGGUCAAGCAAUGUGUCUGAGAAAUGUCCCCCAUGAUUGGAAAUAAUAAAUGAGUAAGUUUUUCAAAAUCAUUUCAAAUCCCUUAAGAUAGACAUCCUUAUACACUCUUGUACAGUUAGUAUAUGUGCCUUAUAGACUUUGUGUAAAUGCCUUGUACAGUGGCAAACAUUUGACAUAGCUACAACAAAAUGAAUGCAUAUGGGUGGGCUAACCAUGUUCCAAUGUGAUGCCUAAGGGAAAAGGGGGAAAUGAAACCCAAUAUAGGUUCCUAUUCAUCAUUAAUGUGGGAAGUCAUCUAAUGAACAUGUAUGAAGUAAUAAUAUUGAAUGGGAUGAGUGAGUGAUCAAGAAAUGGGUCUGAUGAAUGUCCCUCAUCCUUACAAAAUUGAAAUGAUUUUAAAUGGAUUUGAAAUCCUUUAAUAUAAGGUACCUUUGUACACCCUUGUACAGUUAGCACAUUUACCUUGUACACUUAGUGUAAAUGUCUUGUACUGAGGAAGAAAUUCCAUACUACUACUAAAUAUCUACUCAUACAUCGGUUAAUCAUGUUUGCAAUGUUUUGGUUCAUAAAAUAAGGAAAAAUUGAAGUAUUAAUUUCUUCCUCAACUACUAGUCAUAAUAUUAUUAAUUUUCUACUCAUAUAUAAAGGAGUUUCAAUCCUACAAUUAAUGGGGUUGUGCUUUGGAUCAUAGUAGAAUAAUUUUCACAAAUAUGAAUGUCACAAUUCAUCCCUAAACCUAAUAAAAACACACUCAAUCCUCCAUAAACCUAGGUUGGAAUUCCAAAAAAUAUACUAACCCCACAUAUCUACUCCAAAAGGCCAUAUACGCUAUUUAGCAUAUUUUCAUCUUCAUAAGCUGUUGCUGGGUCACUGCUAUCAUCACGACCACACUUGUAACCACUUUAGAUCUUCAUCAGAGUUCUUCAUUUUCUUCGUUUCGUGUGGUGGACCAACCUCACAAUCAUGACAACCAUCUUCUAUGCUUUCAAGAUACGUUUGAUCUUAAGGAUAGCUAUUCUGGAGGAAUUACAUCAUCAUCAGAGAAUCUUCUGCCCUAAGCUCAUCAUUGCUCUCCGUCAACCAUACCCGUUUGUUCUCUCUAGACGAUUGAUCCAACAAGCAGAUUCUAAAGUCGGAUUUUUGAGACAGAUAACAUGCCAUUUUUUAGGAGAUCUUCUCCAUUUCUGAGUUGCUUACAAUCCUUGACUGUUGAAGGAAUAGAUUGGGAGACAUCGAAGUCGAAGAAGAGAAAGGGGUAGAAAGUGGUGACUGACCUUUAUUUCAGAUUUUAAAUACUAGUGACAUGGCAUUUUUUAUUUAACAAAUAUGAAACCCAUUAAUUUAAAAGCAUUUGAGUUGGAAAUUUGAAGGGUCUAUUGGUCUUUUCAUAUCUUAUAUCCUUCCCAUCAAUUAUGAAACUUAUAUGGACUAAAGCUUAAUUUUUGAGCCCAAUUGGGCCCAAAACACAAUUCUCCCUAUUUAGUUUUGGUUUAGAAUGUCAAGGUACUACCCAUAUAAAGGACGAUUCAACUUAUUCCCUAAAAAUUAUUCACUAUUUAACUUUAUUUUAAAAAAUUAUUUUCAAAAAAUAACAAUUAAAUAAUAUUAUAAAUUUUUAAAUAUAUAAAAUCAUUUUUAAAUCAGACAAUGACUUUAAUUUUAUUAAAUUAUUUUUACUUAAAAAAAUGUGAAAAACAAUCUCUAAUGAAUUUUGUUUGUAGAACUUUCUAAUCAAACAAGAAAUGAUUUUGUUGAACAAGAAUUUUAAUGGUAACCACAUGAAACAAAGAAAAAUUAUUUUUUAAAUAUUUUAUAAUUUCUCACGUGAUUUCAAUUUUCUUCAACAAAAGAAAAAAGGUUUUUUAUAAUAAAAAAAAUCCAAUUUGAAUUUUCAAAUUUAAUGUUAUGUCAAUGUUUAAAUUUUUUUUUUUAUGUAGCUGCUUUAAAUUGAUUAUUGGAAGUGAAUAAAAAAAUGUAUUUUUCUCUUAUCGUUUAAUCUUUUUAUAACUAUUAAGAAUGGGAUUUGCUAAAUAAUUGUCAAAUACCUAAGAAAUGGAAAAUAAAAUAAAAUAUCUCUUGUCUAAGUAUCAUUUUUUCAUUACAUGAGCCUACUUUUGAAUUAGAGGUUCAUUUAGAUUUAUUAUUUUUAUUUGUCUAAUUUUAAUUAUAUUUGAUUUAAUUUUAUAAUACUUUAUAGCAAAACCAAAUACAAGAAUAUUUUUUUUAUAUAAUUUUACUUUUUCUUUCUUUAGAUAUACUUUCUAGAAUCAGAAAUAACGAUAUGUGUGAAAAAAAAUGAAGAAUUUUGAUUAAAAGUUUCUUUAAUAUAAGAUUCGGUUUAGUCAUGUGAUUUAAAAACAAUUUUUUGUUUUUUAAAAAAAUUAUUUUUAAAAAUUUUUAACAAUGUUUUACCAUUAUUUUCUAAAAAUAAUUUUUAAUGAAUAAGUAUGAGUUAUUUUUAUCCGUUUUUAAAAAACAAAAGAAAAAUAUGGGUUCAUUUAAUUAUAUUUUUUAAAAUUUGUUUUUAAAAAUUAUUUUUAAGUUAAAAAAUAAAAAAUAAAAACAAUUUUUAAAAGAGAAAACAUGUACAAACCAGCAGUAGAAUUUUCACGAGUACGAUUCCAUUAAAAAUUGUAGCGGCUUGGUAAGAUGGAUGGACUUCCUAGUUUUGAAAACUAACCAAUUUAACAAACCUUCAUCCCACGUAUAUGGACAAGAAGUCAGCCCCAAUGGCCAUUGUUUCGUCAUCCACUUGCUAACCUAUUAAACUCGAGAUAGAAAAUUCAGCCCACGCAGGGCCCCGCCUUGAAAAUUUCUUUGAAGCUUCAGAUUAACAAGAUCUCUUGAGGACAAAGAAAAACCAUUCAAACGAUAAGGUUGAGUGAGCCACAGUGAUUGGACUUGAGAAAACUCAUCAAAUUUUUUAAAAUUACACCAAGACUGACCUUGGCCUAUAAAUAUGUCCAAUCUUCUACAACUAUAGUAUAGAUUAGAAAGAAACGAUGGCAAGAAGUUUGAUGGCACUAGGUGGUGGUGGUGGCGGCGGUGGCGGAGAGCAAGUAGGCAUGGUGGCAUCAAGCUCUGGGGCGCUGCUCUUGCUUUGCAUGAUCAUCAUGUCUCUCUCUAUUAUAUCCAUGGUCAUAUUUGCUUGUGGGGAUUCUUCUACUUCACCUCGCAAGAAAAAAAGGAAGGACGCAGGCGAUUGUGGCGAUUGUGAUUGUUAUUCUCUUUGUUGUGGAGAUGGUUGUGUUGGAGGUGGUGGCGGUUGUUGUGUUGGAGAUGGUGGCGGUGGUUGUGGAGGUGGUGAUGGUGGUGGUGGUUGUGGAGGUGGCGGUGGUGGUGGUGGUUGUGGAGGUGGCGGUGGUGGUGGUGGUGGUUGUGGAGGUGGAGGUGGAGGUGGAGGUGGAGGUGGAGGUUGCUGAAGAAAAAACAAAAUAGUUUUUACUCAAAAGUUUCCCAUAUUCAUCUUGAUUCGAUGUUAGAAUCCAUGUGAGCAAGCCUUAGUCGAGGUUGUUGUACUUGAUAUUUUCUUUGUUUUGAAGCUCAUAAAUGAAUGUAAUAGAGAUUUCAUUGUUAUAUAUAUAUAAUUUAUUGAUUUUAAAUUCAUAUUUUAGUUUUUAUCACUUUUUUUUUAUAUAAUUUCCUUCAAAUUCUUAGGAAUAUAUAUAUAUAUAACUUAUUGAUUUUAAAUUCAUAUUUUAGUUUUUAUCACUUUUUUUUUUAUAUAAUUUCCUUCAAAUUCUUAGGAAUCCAAGGAUCUAAUUUUUUUUUUAAGAAACUUGAUUUUAAAAUGUUUAAUAGAACACGUGUCAUUCAAUGUUAUUUUUAAUUUUUUUCUUUAAUAUAAAAUUUUCACAAAUAUUUUUGACAACCACAUGGUCCAUACCAUUAACAAAUCUUCAUCCCAAAUUAAUUCUUACGUUCAGAAAGUAUACAAACAAGUAGAUCAAGACCUGAGAUUUUUUGUUCCUUAUCAUGAAAAGUCUACUCCUUUAUGUAUAUAUAUUAUUGAUCAUGAAAAGUCAGCAUCAACCGCCAUUGUUGCUUCGUCAACUUGCCAACCUCUCAACUUGAGCUUGAAAAAUAAGCUCACGCAGGGCUUUGAAAAUUUCUUUGAAGCUUCAUACUAGCAAGAUUUCUUAAGGUUAUGUUUGUUCCACCAAAAUUUUAAGGAAAGAAAAAAAAUACGAAGGAAAAUGAUUUUUUCAUGUUUGAUUGUCCUAUAAAAAAUAUAAAAGAAAAUCAAAUAUAAUUAAAACUAAUUAAAAACUUAUGUAUUUUUAAAUUAUUUGAUUUUUAUAUUGCUGAAUUAAAAUAAAUAAAAUGAAUUUGAAGUAACAAAAAAAAUAAUUUAUUGAUUUUUAAUCUAUUUUUUAUUUUCCUUCACUUUUUCUUUGUAUUUUCUUUCUCUUACAUUUUCCCUCAAAUUUUCUAAGAAUCAAACAUAAUAUAAGAGAACAAAGAAAACCUAUUCAAACUAUAAGCUUGAGUGAGCCCACACGGCUUCGAGUUGAGAAAAAUGAUCAAAAUUUUGAAAAUUAUACUAAGCUUGGACCUAACCUAUAAAUAUGUUCCAUUUUCUACAUAUGUAGUAUAGAUUAGGAAGAAAUGCGAAGAAUUGUGCUUUCAACCAGUUGACAUAAUAAGAGGCCCAAGUCCUCCUAUCACCCGUAUUUGAUUACAAGAUUAUAAGGAUAUGAAAUAGUAAUGGACAAAAAUACUCAUUUUACUUAUCACAUUAAAUAUCCCAAAUAAUAGUAAUGGACCUUCCACAUGCUUCAUUCAUUUUUCAAUUUAGUUGUUGACCCUUGCGAGUCACAUGCUGAGGCAUACCCUCCUUCCCCGAGAGCACCAAACCUUCCACAGGUUUCAUUCACUUUUAAUCUAGUUGUUGACCCCCACGAGUUGCACACUAUGGCAUGCCCUUCUUCCCUAGGAUCAUCGGACCUUUCAGAGGCUUCGUUAUCUUUCGACCUAGUUGUCGAUCCUCAUGAGUUGUCAUACUGGGGCAUAUCCCCUCCAACCGAGUUUGCUUGCAUCAUCAUCUUAGUUAUCCUUUGGCUUUGGGUCACUUGAUCAGGUCUUUCAUUCUGUCAGUAUCAGUUUGAGUUUCAAGACCGCACUUAUAUCGAUCGAUCAUCAUCUUAUUAGUUUUAGUUUGAGUUUUGGGGCUGCACCCAUAUUGAUCAGUCAUAUUCCUGUCAGUUUGUGUUUAGUUUGAGUCGGGACCGCACCUAUAUCUAUCGGUCACCAUCUUGUCAGUUUGAGUUUGGAUUUUGGGGCCGCACCCAUAGCGAUCGUCCAUAUUCCUAUUAGUUUGUGUUCAGUUUGAGUUGGGACCGCACCUAUAUCGAUCGUUCAUCAUCUUGUCAGUUUAAGUUUGCGUUUUGGGACACACCCAUAUCGAUUGGUCAUAUUCCUAUCAGUUUGUGUUUAGUUUGAGUUGAGACCGCACCUAUUUCAAUCGGUCAUCAUUUUGUCAGUUUGAGUUUGUGUUUUGGGGCUGCACUCAUAUCGAUCAGCCAUAUUCCUAUCAGUUUGUGUUCAGUUUGAGUUGGGACUUCACCUAUAUCGAUCGGUCAUCAUCUUGUCAGUUUGAGUUUGAGUUUCGGGACCUCACUUAUAUCGAUAGGUUAUUUUCUUGUCUAUUUGAGUUCAGUUUGAGUUUCAAGACCGCACCUAUAUCGAUCGGUCAUUCAUCUUGUCAGUUUGAGUUUUGAGUUUGAAUUUCGGGAUCGCACCUACAUCGACCAGUCAUAUUCCUAUCAGUUUUGUGUUCAGCUUGAGUUGGGACCGCACCUAUAUCGAUCGGUCGUUGCUUUGUCUGAUUGAGUUGAGUCUUGUUCAUCUUCGAGUCAUGCCUACGUAGUUAAGUCUUGUUCGAUCUUGAGUCACAUCCCCUUAUUCGGAUUCAUUCUUUUUAGAGAUCGAUAAUUCCUUAUCUUGCUUAUCAUUAAGCCAUUCAUCGUGCCAUAGUCUGGUGUUACACCCAUCACUUUGGUUGUAUCUUUGGCUAGAGUCUCACCUCCCUAGUAUGUGCCCUUAAUCUUGAGUUUUUCGUGUUAUUGUGUUUAGACCAAAAUUUGGGAUCUUUUCUAUUCUUCGGUAUAGUUUACUUCACUCCAUUCAUUUUCCAGGUAUCCAUGAUUCAUUCAUUACACUCGUGAUCUCACUGAAGAGGGGCAUAUUUGUAGACCCUCGUUUUGGCCUAUGAGUUUUUAAGAUAUUUUGAGAGCAUAGUUUCACCACUUUGGGGAGCUUUUGGUAGCUGGUAUGAGAGAGUGGCAUGGGAGGAGUGAUAUUUUAGGUAGGCAACCAGAGGGUGAAACGAGGCAUGAGAAUAUUCUGGCCAUUAGAGGAUAUAUUUUUUGUAGCUUGGGGAGCAAGUUGGAGUGGAGCAGGUAGAAAGGGGAAGGAAGGUGAAAAGGAAAAAAAUGGGAGGAUAGCUGGUGAGGGACCAUAGGGAGCUCAGUUAGAAAACCAUGGAAGACAGCCUGUAGAGAGUGAACUUUAGGGCGAAACUUAGAGAGGGUUUUGAUUACUGGUCACAGAUAGAGGGGAGAAGGAGUUGUUGUCUAAAACAGGAAAAAGAUAGCUGAGGAGAAAUAUAGGAAGGUCGUGUUGUGGACCUCCAGUUAAGGCCACCUUGAGCUAUGUGUAUUUCCAUUUCUUAAUGUCAUGCUUCAUUCUCUGCUAAUCUAUGAAUAUCGUUUCGUGGUUUACUAUGGACAUCAAGGGUCACAGGGUUGUUUUGGUUGAACAUGAUUAUAUGCAUAUACUUGCUCUGUUUUAUUCUCUCUCAUAUUCUUGAUCUUUUCCCCUGUAUAUGUGUAGACCCUCAAUUUUGUCCCUUUAGCAUAUGUCUUUAAAUUCAUUUUUUAUGCUCCAUAGUAACUCCUUGGUGGCCCAUUAUUACUCAUAUAGCUUACCUUUUUUCUAAGCCACCUCGGAGAUUCUGGUUGAGGGAUUAUCUGACCCCUUAUUGUGAUCAUUGGCAACCCUAAUUUAGACUCAAGCUUUUCAUUCACUUUUAGGAUAGUUUUAGAUACACUUGGCCCAACCUUAGGCUUAUUUAGGUUCACCUAAGCCCUUUUAGACGCACUUGGCCCAUUAAGACCUUUUUUAGUAUGACUUGUAUGACUUGCAUGACCCGCAUAGGAUUAACUGUUUUAUUUCAUUUCAUUUUAUUAUGUUUUACCUUAUUUAUUUUUAUUUUAUUUUAAUCUUUAAUAGGUUGUAAGAUUGCUAACUUUUUUUUAUUUUUAUUCUGUCUAUUUUCGUUUUUUUAUUGUUUGGUAAGAGAAUGGGGGCUACUAUUCAACUCUUACUAAGGUAUGUGCACUCAAAAAGGUAAGAAAACUAUUUUGUGAGGGAAAAAGGAAUUAAUGUGGCGGCAUACAUAUGGAAAUAAAAUAUCCUCAUUCUGAUUUUCGAAAAAGGAAAGGAAAUAGAAGAAAGGAAAGUGGAUUUUCUUUAGCAUAUUUGGUUUGAGAGGCUGAUACAAAUAUAAGUGGAAAAGGAAAAGAAAGAGGGGCACGCAAAAGAGGAUUCUGAGGAUUUUUGGGGGGUUUUUCAAGGAGAAAACGAGAAAAGGGGAACGCAGGGAGAGAUAGAGAAAGCAGGGAAGAAUAAAGAAAAAGAGAAAGAAAAAGAAGACUUAUUCUGAUUCUAGAUAAUUUUCUUCAGAAAAAAAGGUAUGAUCACUGUCAUUUUUUAGAUUCUCAAUCUGCUUUAUCACUUUGCUUUAUUUUCUGUUGAUUUUCUGGACUUUAACUUGUUGAUUGGCAUGGACUUUAAUGUUCAAAUUGUGAUUUUCCUGAGUUUGAUUUUGUUUUCAUAUCUAUUAUGUUUCGGUUCUUUUACGCUCUCUUUGACUUCUCCCGAAGGAAAAAGAUGUAUGGUUUGAUUUUGAGCUUGAUAUUUGAUCCAUCAUAUCAUUGCUCUCUACUUGUCCCACCCAACCCUUAACCUUUGAAAACUAUCUGGUAGUUUUGGGAUAAUGGUGAUAAAAAAAAUGUUUGUCAUUAACUUCAAGUGGUUUCUGGGUUUGAUGGACUUGGAAAUCAAAAGUUUAAGUUACUGGUCUGGUCUUUGUUGCUGCCGAAACGGUUGGGUGAUUUGGCUUUAGUGAGGCUCCUCAAGAUUUCUCUUUGAGUGCUCUGAUGCUGUUCAACAAUGUUGAUCGCUUAAAGAACCAGAAAGGGCUUCAGGUUUUCACUUUCAAGCAGCUACAUUCUGUGACUGGUGGUUUUGGCGAAUCUAAUGUGGUCGGUCAUGGUAGGAUUGGGUGGUUUGGUUGCUUGCCAUUGGGUGUCUUCAUCAAUUUGUGAGCCAAAUUUGGUGUGUCAGACGGCAAUGGUCAGUGCAUGUGCCAAGGUGGGAGAUUUUGCUUUUAAGCUGUUUGAUAAAAUGCCCCACAAGGACCCUAUUGCAUAGAAUACAAGGUGGGAUGAUUUAUUUGAGUCUUCAGGGAAUUCUAUCACUGAGUGUGCAAAGCCGUCCUCAACGCAUGCUGGCUCUCCUGUGUGCAGUGGUUCUGGGAACAUGAAUGAUUAGACAUCGUAUGUUUCAAGACGGGAAAUUUGCUGCAAGGAGAGGAGUGAGACUUCUCGAGAUGCUCUGUCACACAACAAAGUUCGUAAUCUAAUAUGAAGUACCUGAUUGUGGCACUACGUUUAGUUUUGCUGCAGGAAACUCUUUUGGUGCAACACCUGCAAGCUGAAGUUUAAGGUGUUCUUCUUCCAUUUGCUUCAUCAGAUGAAAAUUCUGAUAUAGAAAUACACGGAUAUAGUUCUGCAAGUAUUGAUGAGAAUGAUGUGGUUGAGGUCAUGUUGCCUAGAACUUCAGACAAUAAACACAUUGUUGGAUCUUUCAAAAGAAAAUUCGACUCGCUCCCAACUCCAAUUCAUAUCCUCUUGAAAGAAUGAAGUCCUCUAUGGGCAAGACAUGUCGAGUUGCUCAGAAAGUGCUUCUGUCAUUUAUAUUUUAUUGCGUCAACUCGGGAACGAACAGGUGAACUUCGCUUGAGGUGAGAUGCAGAGAACCAAGGUCCUCGAUUAUUCAAAGCCAAAAUGAAAUCACAUCAAAUGCCUAAACAGAAUGUUUUCUGGAAGUGGAUUACCCUAAAGAUGCUGAGCAUAGUCAUGUAGACUUCAGUAUAUCAUUGAUCAAUCGAAGGUGAUUCAGGGCCUGUAAAAAUGUUUGAGAGAACUAUUAAUUUGGUAAACGAUCGGAUAAUUAACUAUCGAUUUGAUCCGUCUGAAAAGUGGUUGGUUUCGAUUGGAAUUGCUCCGGGUUCACUUGAGAAACCACAGUUUAUCAAAGGGAAUAUGCAGCUUUUCUCUGUUGAACAGCAUCGUAGUCAAGCUCUUGAAACUCAGGCUACAUCAUUCGCCACAUGUAAAGUUCUAUAGAAUGAUCAAUCCUGUGCACUUAUUGGUUUUGCCACAAUAUCCUUUAAUGCUAGACAGAAUGGCUUUCCAGCUACAAUGCAGAUAUCAUUGAGUCUCUUACUGCUGCUGGCGGGAAGUUCAUCUUUGUGCAAAAGCUUCGUGACUUUGUUUCUGUUACAUGUGACGUGUUGCAGCAUAAGGCUUUUCUUUUUAUUGAGGGACUUGAAGAGCAAAUACAGAAUCUUCAUGAGGAGAGUGUAUCAGCUGUCUUAGAAAGAAGAACUACUGAUAAUGAUGAGAUGAUUGAAACACAAGCGUCCAUUGACGAUGCAAUGUCGGUUUUCACUAAAAAUGGUUCUAAAAAGGCAACAGUUGCUGCUGCUGUUCUUCUGAGAGAACCGAACUGAGUAGCACACCAGCAUAUUGUUACGGCCCAUGAGCAUCAAAAGAACCAUAGCAGGGGAGCCAAAUAACCGGGUGGAGACUACCAGAAAUCAUGCUUAAGAUGACGUUGCUCAAUCCUAUGCCAGCGGAGCUGUUUCUAAUGUCCCAAAACCAUUGUGUUAGAUGACACUAGUCCAGCCACUCUAAAGAUCAAAAAAAGCCUAUCGAGGGAGUUGCCUCAUCAGGAAAUGGGUAAAGGAGAUUUAAUUUCUAUUGAUGUUCUUAGUAUCAGGAACUCUUCAUCCUUGAGCGCCAAAAGUUGUAAGUCUAAAAUUUGGAAAGCCAGCUAUUUCUUCUGAACUGCAUGUGUCUCUUAGUACCAUAGGUCAGCUGACCUCAAACGUGAAAUCUAGAAAAGUUGACACUGCUUGCACAGUGGUAGCUAGCUUCUCCUUCAUGCUGAACAAAUUUACAAGGAUUCACGAUCAGUUGAAGCAUCCACAAUUUUUGGUGCUGAAGAUGCUGCCCAUUUUUGCGAGUGAUGAAGCGCUACCUGGAGUCAUUCUGUUUAGAUUUGAGAUUUCAUACAAUUACUAGUGUACAAUCAAACAAGGACAGGGUUUCAUUACUUCUCAAGGAUAGCUUUAUUGAUUCCUUUCCCAAUAGAGACAAACCAUUUAUCAAGCUAUUUGUAGAUACAUAACUAUUCAUUGUUCUAUCAGAUUAUCAUCUGUUAUGCUUUGAGAACGAGCAUGCCUAAACUGUACCAAAUACAUCAGUUCACAACUUAAAGAUGGAAGCCCAGAAACUCAAUGGAGAAAGCAGCAGUGAAAAACAGAGUGCAGAUUGGGCCACUGAUGGAGGACGACUUCGACAUGAAUGGCGAUAGAUCUGUCCAGCUUCUUUGCCGCUGCACAUGCUGCUAAUAAUGCUCAAGCCGUCAUUAUGGCUCUUUGGGAGGAGUAUGAGAACAUUCUUGAUGAUGACAAUCUACACAGAUGCUUUAUUUCAACAGAUUCACGGAUUGAAAAACAGCGGGAAUGAAGAUUCAGCAGAUGAUGAAAAUAUAGAUAUGCAUGAGCAGAAGUGACCUAUUGAGAUUGCUUGUUUUGAUAUCAAGAACCGACUUCCAUCAGAAACAAUGCAUGCUAUCCUACAGUUGUAUUCUAUUCUUACCAGAACUCAUUCCAUCCUUUUUUUUAUUUUUCUCAAUGAAUGAGGAUUGCUCAUGCUUCCACCUUUGCCAACAAGUACUCCUCUUUCUGGGUUUGACAAUGUUGCUGCUAAUAUAAUCCGGUAUAUCCCUGAAGUUCCACGGUACAAAGAUCACCAAAGAAGCUGAUAUGGGUGUGAAGAUAAAAGCCUACAGGUUUAUACAAAGCUGAAAACACUUAUUCAAUGACCUGUGGCAGUGGAUAUUUUCUUCAGAACAUGAUACAUUGGAUUUUAUAUUAAAUGAAGGCAAAAUAAAAGAAUCAACUCCGUGGUUGUUUGAAAAGGUGAAGAAGUAGAUAAUUACAGGAGCCUGAACUAUUCUGGAAGUGUUACUCAGAAUAAGAAGCCGUCCCAUUUCCAGCUAUAUUCAUCAGUAGAAAAUAAUGAAGCAUCCGAUUAUUUGUAGAAACGUGCCACUGUUUAUGGGCAUUCUGAAUACGGUGUGCGGUUGAGUUGAUAAUUCGUCAUCUGAUAGCACUAUCCCUAAAAGUCCUAUAAACCAAACAGCAUCUAAGGUAAUGUUGACCCGAAUGAUUAGGCUCAUAUUCAGAAAAAAACAGAAUUUGAUCCAGACUUUAUUUCCUCUGGUUUUGCUACAAAUAAAGAAGCUGAAUUUCCGAAUUGCACAAGGACCUCUUAGUUCUGAUUUUUCGAUAGGUGCCAAUCUUACCACAACGGAAGAUGUCUAGAAUAGUUUUAAUGCAACACAACCUAGUCUUUGUGGAGGGCUAAGCAAUGUCGGGGGCUAUAUAAUACUGAUCAUCUUCCCAAGCGUUAUUUUCUAUGGCUGAGUUGUUUUCUGAAGCUGAAACAUAAAGACCUUCUCAAUAAGGCCGCCUCUGUGAAUCUUGCCCAGCAUGCUCAAGAGUAAUUUUGGUGAAUUAUUGUAUUAUGCUAGCAACCAGAAUAUAGAUUUCCAAUGCGCCCGAAAAGAGAAGAAUACGGUUCAAAGAAGCAUAAAAAUGAUUUCUGAGUAAUAUUCAUUCUUUGAGGGGAAGUUAUAUCCAAAGAAGAUAAAAACAUUGAAAAUGAAGUAGAAUUUCAGAUUGCAGAAUGAUUUUCAAACUCUGGGAAUCCAAAAAAAACAGAGGAACCCCAUCAAGCAUUCACUUGACAAGCAAGGAAAGCCCCUGACUAGAGUAUUUGUAGAAACUUAACUGAGCUGCUCAGACACGGACCCAAGACUUAAAUCUUAUGACUCAUGGUAUAAAAUCUGGUUUCGAGCAGAUAGUAGUGAUGGCUCAUGAUUGGGACGUGUUGCAUGAGAAUACGUUUGAUGACCUGCCCGAAGAUAUUGACUUAAGCGAACCAACGCUUUCUUCAUAUUUCAUUUCUCGGUGUGGUGAUGGAAAAUACUUUGUGACACUGGGGCACUGCACACUCCUUCCUCACACAAGAAGCUUAAGGUUUGAGAAAGAGAUGCAGGGGUGCUGCAUGCUGCUUUAGAAUCAAAGGCUCCCAUGAGAACAGUUGUGGAUUGGAUGCCUAGUGGAGCUAAAAUCGCUUUGGUUUAUGACAAGAAAGCUGAAAAUGGAUAUUUGUCUGUUGUAGAGCUUCCUCCUCUUGAUAUUUGGGAAGAACUAGAAGAGAAAGAAUUAAGUUUUGAUGCCUCAUCUUCUGAAAUAAUAUAUGGGUCAUUUGUAGAUCUCAUGUGGAUGGAUGCACACAUACUUCUUGGUGUUUCUCCUUUCGGGCUCAGUCACAGCAGUCACUUUUCACAAUCUCCGUCCAACAAGGAUAUGCUUCACGGGUAUUAUUUGCAGGAUAUUGAGCUUUGGUAUUCUGAGGAUCAUGUCCCAAGUUUGAGAUUCUGCUCACGUUGGCAUGCAGAGAUCGCCAAUCAAAUACCUCUAGAUGGAAUCUCAUUUGGGCCUUGCUCCUAAUCCCACAAAAGGGUGUUCAACAUUUAUUCAGUUUGAUGGUGGCAGAGUCUUUGAAAUAUAUACCAAAUUUAGGCAUCAUGGGAGAAAAGCCUGGAAUUCUCAAGAAAAUGCUUACGGGCUCUGUUAUUUAAAAUUCGAUCCUUUGUGUGAAAUGGCCAAGAUACAAGGCUUGUUAUCAGAUUGAUUUGAUCAUGAAAGAUGCAGUGCUGCACUCACUAGCUUGAUUGAUUGGCACCAAUGCUGGCGAGUUUCGGAGCAUUCCUAUCAGCUUUAAAGAGCCUAUGAAACGGUAUAUUGUAGAUGGAGACUUGGAGUCAGUUCUUCAUGCAUGAAACAAUGAUGGCAAUAUUAUGCAGCAGUGGCUCAGGACCCAGAACUUGUUCCAAUGCUGUGUUUAAUGGGUGCAGAAUUUAACUUACAGGCCACAUGAAUCGAACUCUAUUAUGGCAGAUUGAGGAAAAAGUUGAAAGGCUUAAUCAAUUGAAAACUAGCAGAAUACAGAAAACCUCUCAAUGCAGAAAACUGGAAAUUUUGAACCUUCUAUUCAGUAUUUGGCUUAUGUUGAGGAGAAUCCAGUUGAGUUUACAAAUCAAGAUGUCUCUUAAGUUGAAGCAUUUGACAGUUGAACACUUUUGUAGUGAAUUGGUCCCUUCUAUCCAGAAUCUCUCGGCUUCACUUCAUGGCAACCUUGCUAUACACACCUUCUCCUCUAUUCACUUCUUUGAUUGGGAACUUACUGUUUUAAAUAGAAUUUUCGAACCAUUGUUCAACUAAACAUUCUCGGCUUUGAAAAAUUCAUCUUAGGUCUUCUCUAGGUAUAAAAUCCAUAUUCUAACACACUCUUGCUGCCAUUCUCCUUCCGGCAUGCAUUUUCACUAUUUUAUUCAAUUUUCAACUGAUUUUCUUGAUUUUUCUCAAUUUUCUCAAGCAUGAACAAACUCCAUAAUUCCAAGUCAUGGAAUUUAUGGAAUCAACUCAUGCGAAAUUAAUUAGGGCUUUGGUGGGGGCCCGACAUUCAUGAUACCUUCUUCAAUAUUGUUUGCUUGAUAUGUUGAUUUUUGAUUCUUCUUGAUGAAAUAUUUGAAUUCACUUAAUAUUUAUUGUUGAGAUACCCUUGUUCCCAUAAGACGUGUGGAUGUUCGCUAAUCAGGUAUGCUCUUCUCACCUUACAACUCUAAAAUUCUAUGAAUGUGUACGUUAUCAUGAGCUAUGAUCCUGUUUGAUGGCAUGAUUGAUUGCCUUGAUGCUUGUUUGAUCAUCUUUGACAAAACACAUAUUAUGUGUCAUAUUUCCAAACUAAUCUCUGAUGUUUUGUGAUAGCGCUUGAGAGGCAGUCCAGGUACGCAUCCUAACCUUCUUUUAUUAUGAUUUGGUCUUGUUUGGCAUGCUAUUUUAUUUGGAAUCACCUAGCCUGCUUAGGUACUUAUAAUUAAUCAAUUAAUUGUCACAUUUCCCUCAACUUAAUUAGUAGAGACCUUUUUAGGGCUUAGAGGGGUGUUACCUUUUAAAGGUACCUUCCCAAUAGGUAACCUGAUCCCCGGACUUAGACUCGGGUUUUUCAAAGACAUGCUUUUUCCAAAAAUUAUGGAGUCACAUUUUAGGGUUUUUCUUUCUUGUUUUAUUUUCCCUUUAAAAUAAAAAUAAAAUAAGUGGUGGCUCCAACUUUUUUCCAAAAAUUAAUUUUUCACAAAUAGAAAGCGAGUCUCGCCAAUCGAGUGGGGGCGCACAUGAAAAAUGCGGGUCCACAAUAUGGUUGGAUUCUUCUUUGGGUUUGAUGUUUGAUAGUUAUAUUGAGAACUUCCAGUUUAUCCCACCUGUUUUGAGCCCAUGGGUCGAUCUUGAAAAUGUGGCUCCAUUGGGUUUCUAUUUUUCAUGGUUGUUAUCUUUCUUCAUUCUCUAUUCUUCUUUCACUAUUUGUUUUGAUCAAAGAGACACUCCAGUUUCCUGGUAACUGCUUCACCAAUGCUUUGUAUGAAUUGAGAUUUUCGAGAUGACAAAAAUGGGUGAGCUUUAUGCUAGAGGAAGUUCACAGGAAAUGUCAAAUGAAAAGAACAUAAAAUAGGAUGAUUGAUGCUUUGAUUAUGAAAGUGCUUCCAGAGGAGAGAAGUUGAAUGAAAUUUGAAAAGUAAAAGGAGAAAUCCAAUUUGAAUAAAGAGAAUGACUUUUUUUUAGUGGUUGUGAUAUAGAAAAGGGGUCACUAAGUGCUCAAACAGAUGCAUAUUCGAGCACGAUUGGCUAUUUCAUUGGUGACAUAUGCAAGUCUUGGUUUGAAGGAUCCCCUAAAACACCAGAAAUCAUACUUCGUGUUAUCCCACUGUAUUCCAAUAAUAUUAAUUCCAUCUCUCCAUGCACGUCAGAAUUGUCGCCUUCAUUCUCUCUUUCUCACAAAUGCUACCCUAUCACCCAUAUCUAUUGUACUUUAUUUCUUGUGCAUAAUAAACCAUCUCCAAUGAUAAAAUAUGACAUUCCGUUACCCCCUGCCCCUUGGAAUGUUUGAGAUUUUUCCCAUCCUAUUCCCACUUGCGCAUAGAGAUACAUGACCAUUUUGUGUGUGUUAUUUUCAAAGCCUUGGUUGCUGAAGGAGUUCAUGAAAAUCUGGUUGAUUCAAUAAUAGGGUUUGUUGAAACGGAAGAAGCACUAAUGUCUUCAGUUAACAAGAUCACAUUUGUUGAAUCACCAAAUGUGCUUCAAAAGCCAUUAGGUACUACCUUAAUAGCCCUUAGGUACUACAUUAAGGGGCCUUAGGUACUACCUUAGCUAAAGUUGGGGUCUACCUUUCCCAAGCCUCGGGUCUUCCUUUGUAAGCCUUAAACUAUGCCAUUAUGUGGUUCUCUUGUGUGCUCAAGUGGUUCACCUUUGGUUUUUUGGGACUGUACCUUAGGUACUACCUUAAUAGCCCUUAGGUAUUACCUUAAGGGACAUUAGGUACUACCUUAGCUAAAGUUUGGGUCUACCUUUCCCAAGCCUCGGGCCUUCCUUUGUGACCCCUAAAUACAUCAAUGUCGGCACCGAAAGCAAACUGAAUUAGGAACUCAUGAGCCACAUCCUUCCAGUUGCAAAGUCUCGAAGGCUCAAUUGAGGCAAACCAUCUCUAAGCAGCCCCACUAAGUGACAAGGGGAAAAGGGCCACCAACUAUGCAUCAUCUAUCCCAUGUGCUCUCAUGACUAUGCUGUAUAAUCUUAAGUGGAUCUUGGGACAACCAAUCCCACUAUAACUCUCAAUGUCUGGCAUGCGAAACUUGGUGGGCAAGCUAGCCGCUGGUAUGUCAUCCCUAUCAUUAUAAGUCAAACCUUCAUCAUGUGAUUUGAUUUGCCUCAUCCUGGACUCAAGCCUCUCAACCCUGGCUUCAAGCCUCUCAACCCUGGCUUCCUGCUCGACUAAUCUAUUAUCAUCAUUAAUAGUAACAAUAGGAGGCAACAUUAUGACAUCAUAUGGUGGAGUAGUCUCACAAUGAUCUGAUAGAUGGAAUGGAACGCCAUGUGAAGUCCCAAGUGGAAGAACCUGCGCUGUCUGAGAUGCAUGGGGAACUGUCUCGUAAGUGCUAAUGCCGACUGGAUGAUGAUCCUGGCAAUAGCUCUCUAUCUGAUCCAAGCGUCUACUGACUCCUACCAUGAACUCCUGAAUAGAAGCAAGUGUGGAAGCUAGCUCGUCUGACAUCUCAACUGAAUUAUCUGAACUUUUAUGUGAAUCUACUAUGAUCAAUCGACCUCCAACUUUCCUCCAAGAAUAUGACUCCAGACUCAACCAACUCCUAAAAUGACUCCCUAGAUGGCUAUAAAUGCGACUAGAGAAUUUGCGUCAAUAAUCCAAGAUGAAAGAGGUGUGAGAAGCAUACUAUCAUGAGAUCGAUACUCCAUCUAUAACCACAUAUCCUUAACUCAACCUUCAACUCGAGCUCCAUAAAGAGAACAAAUGAUAAGGUGAUCAAGGCAAAUCUCUUGAAAAAAGUGUAAAUGCGGAAAACUUGCCUUUCACCUUUCUAUAAUGAAAAUAUGAGCAUCAAGUCGAAAAUCGAAUCAAGAAUCAAACAAAGAAUAAGGUACUGGGCUCGUGAUAGGUAUACAAUGUAAAAAAAUGAUCAUGAUCAAAGAACAUAUCCCAAAGCAUCAAGCAAAUGACAACCAACUAAAAAGGUGUGCCAAGCCAAAAAAAAAAGACGAAAACGCUAGGGAGAAAACAUGUCAAACUUAAUAAGUGAAAAGAAUAAUCUAAUGCAACACAAUGAAGGAUAGUCCAAACUGAUACACAAACUCGCACCAAUCUCUAAGCAAGCUCAAUUGGAAACCAAAAGAUGGAGUAUUGGAUUUGAACUGUAACUAAAGAGGCUUUGAAGGCCCUCAGAUGCACCCACAUAUAAAAAAUAAGUCCUAGUCGAAAGAUCUAAGGUUCAACCCAUAAGGUCAAGAAGGCUCUAAAAAGAAAAAUGGACUUUAAAAAAUCCUUAGCAGAAGCAAUCGUACCCUUCGAUGGUACGCAACCCUUUGCACACCUCUGAAGAGACGGGGCACUUCCAUGCAAGGUGGUCAUCACCUCCACAUAUGCACUACCUCAACAUCCCAGGGAGACUCUUAUGGUGAGGGCUCUCCUAAUGGCUAGCGUAUCUCACAACUCUGACCACUCAUCGACGAUCUAAAGUGCACAGUGAGUGGUGUGGGUGCAUCCAAAAAUCCUAUGGAACUAAAGGAAAACACACUGACCACACAAAUAUCCUGAAAUCUAGCUUUGGGUUAUACAAGUCUUCAAAGGUCGGACUACAAUCAACAUCAAUGUGUCGGCCACCUCUAGAAUGCUCCCAAACAUAGAUAUAGCCCAUUGCUAGACUCUAUUCCUAAUCACUACCUCAGUCGAAGAGCAAACAAAGCAACAAGUCUCAUAUCAAAUACGAGAUCAAGGAAAACAAAGUCAACCAAGACUGAAGACUUGGAGAUGAAGAGAUAUAUGUGUGUCCCACAUAGACAAACAACUCAUGCAAUCACACAAAAUGAGAGAAGUCAUGCAACAUACAGUCAUGCAAAUAACAGGUAUAUCACUCAUAUCUACACACAAGUUAGGCAAGAGUAUGAUAAUUGAGAUGAAUAUCUAGCAAGGAUAGCAUGCUCCAUGAUAAUCAAGAUAAUAUACAACCAAGAGAAUCAAUCAUGCCAAGAUGAAUGAGAUAAGCAACAAAAAGAAUGUACAUGUCAAGGUGAAUAGAGUAAUCAAACAGCUAAGAGAGUCAAUAUGUGAGGAUAGUUGAAAGGAUCAAUCAAUAAAAUCAACAUGCAAAUGCCUCAAACAAAUACAAUAACCAAGCAUGCAUCAAGGAUAAUGAUACCAAGAGCUCUUAAUGUGCAAUCAACAAUCAAGCAAACACACGCGCAAAGAAAGGUGGGUACCCACUGAUCGACCAAUCAAACGCCACAUUUGUCUCAACCUAAGUUCGAGCUUGACCCUUAAAAAUCCCCAGUAGAGUCGGUAUUUUGUGGACCCCGCAUUUUCGCUCGAUGUGUUCCCACUUGAUGGCACAACUCGCUUUUUAUUUAUUCGGUGAAAAUAUAAUUUUUAGAAAAAAACUUGGAGUCGCCAUUUAUUUUUGUUUUAUUUUUUUUUAAGGGAAAACAAAAUAAGAAAGAAAACCCUAAGUGUGACUCCUUAUUUGGAAAAGAGAGUCUAUGAAAAACCAAAGUCAAGUUCGAGGGUUAAGUUACUUAUCAAGAAGGUACGGUGAAAAAUUGAAGCACCCUUCUAAGUCCCUAAAAACGGGUCUCUACUAAAUAAGGUGAGGCAAGUAUGACAAUUAACUAGGAAAUCAAUGGAUACCAAAAUGAUCAUAGGUCAAAAGCAAGUCAUAAUAAUGAAUAAAUAAACAAAGUGAGAGUGACAGCGUACCUUGACAGCAGGUAAUAAAGCAAUAUCAUGAAACAUAGUUAGUGCAUGAUAAUGAAUACAAAAUAUAUCACAUGCAUAUCAAAGAGCAAGACAAAAAUCAAGCAAUAUUUGUUAAGCAUAGCAGUUGACAAUCAGAAGAGAAAGCUCAUUUGUAGGGCUCCCACCAAAGCUCAAUUGAUUUUGCAUGAAUUAAUCUCAUAAGUUCUAUUGUUUUUGGAGUUACGAAAAUUCAUUCAUGAUUAUUAAAAAUCAAGGAAAAAGAAAAAAUAUUUUAAAAUCAAAGAAAAUUUGAGAAAUGUGCUUACUUGAAAGCAGGUUUAUUUAAAAACGAAAUUUUUAGCAACUUAAAACCCUAAUGAAUGAUGAAAAAUGGUAGAAUUAAGAAAAUAUUUGAAAAUUGGAGUAGAAUUAAAAUUAUUCGAAAGAAAAACUAGAGUUUUGAAAUUUAUUUGAAAAUUGAAGUCUCGAAAAUUAUUUGAAAAUUGAAGUUAUGAAAAUUAAAUUUAAGAAUUGGAAUUUUGGGAAUCAAAUUUGAAAGAAAUUGGAAUUUUGAAAAUUAUUUGAGAAUUGGAGUUUUGAAAAUUGAAUUUAAAAAUAAUUAAAGUUUGGAAAUUUAAAUUUUUUAAAAUUAAAUUUAAGAAUAGGAAUUUUGGAAAUUAAAUUAAAAAUUGGAGUUUCGAAAAUUAUUUGAAAAUGGAAAAAUUAAAUUUGGAAAAUUAUUUGAAAAUAAAAGUUUUGAAAAUUAAAUUUAAAAAAUUAGAAUUUUGAAGAAUUAUUCAAAAAUAGAAGUUUUGAGAAUUAAAUUUUAAAAUAAUUAAAGUUUGGAAAGUUAAAGUUUUUAAAAAUUAAACUUAAAAAAUUGGUGUUUUGAAAAAUUAAAUUAAAAAUUGGAGUUUUGGAAAUUUAUUUGAAGAUGGAAUCUUUAAAAAAUUAAAUUUGGAAAUUGGAACUUUGAAAAAUUAUUUGAAAAUGGAAGUUUUGAAAAUUAAAUUUGAAAAAUUGGAAUUUUUAAGAAUUAUUCGAAAAUGAAAGUUUUGAGAAUUAAAUUUGAAAAUAACUAAGAUUUGGAAAAUUAAUGUUUUGAAAAUUAAACUUAAAAAAUUGGAGUUUUGAAAAAUUAAAUUAAAAAUUGGAGUUUUGAAAAUGGAAUCUUUUAAAAAAAUUAAAUUUAAAAAAAAAUAGAAAUUUUGAAGAAUUAUUUGAAAAUGGAAAUUUUGAAAUUAUUUGAGAAUUGGAACUAUGAAAGACUAUUCGAAAAUGAAAGUUUUGAAUUAUUGGAACUAUGAAAGGUAUUUGAAAAACUAGAGUUAGAAAAGUUAUUAAAAUAUCAAAAAAUAAGAAAGGAACAAGUGCCUAUUGGACCGUGUGCCAAAGUGACCAUGCAAAAUGGGAGGUGAGGGGCCUUUAAAUAAUGUUCAUGGGCCUUACGCAUCCUGGUAGCACUAAAAAAUAAAGCAUUCACACGUGUGCUCCAUACUUGCAUGAGCCAGUCCGCAUGUAGUAGGGGCCCUCUUUCUCUGUUUCAUCACCAAAGAGAUCAAGGUCAUCGUCAUCAUCUCCGGCAGGAGCAACCUCCUUCACUUCAUUGGGAGUAGCUUCAACAGGAGUAGCUUGGCAGCCUACUCUCACCCCAAUAGCUUUUCUGGGGAAUUCUUUGGGCAAGAUGCGAAGAAACACUACUGUACCGCUUGUUUGCAUUUGGGAAGUGACUUCCAGACUUUUCCGGAACCACGGCGUAAACAUUUACAUCAUCCUUCGUUAGAUGAUCCCUAGCGAUGUAGGCUUUUCCAUAGAGGAAUUCGUUUAGAGACUGGAGACCAAUCCCAGCGUGUAGACCUGAGAAGGUGAUGGCCACUGAGUUCAACGAAGAUGUGAGAGAGAGAGAGAAAGAAAGAAAGAGAAAGGGGUCGGAACACCGGAGCUUAACCACUAGAAAGGAAGACAUUAAAGGUUGUGGGCAAAUAAGAAAUGAACGGUGACUCGAAUGUAGAGAGAAGCUCUAAAAAAAAUGAAAAGAGGUUGGCCAUACCCAUGCAGUCCAGCAACUCCAUGUAACAGCUCUUAAAGAAGGUGUUCAAUAAUGGCUCCCAAAAUAGUGGACGAUGUACCCAGGAAGUGUGAUGAAAGUUCUCCAUUUCUCCACUUACAUAAAUGGACUGGCCUACUUCCUCAUUAAUCAUCCAUCGGAACAAACAUGUAGUGCCCAACCCUUACUCUCGGUCAACACAAUAAUGUUAAAAAAAAGUCAACAAAAAAUAGAGCAAAAUAGUGAAGAAAAUAAGAAAAGAAAAAAAAAAAAAAAAACGUUGUGGCCAUACCUGAUAGGUCUCUUCUUGAGCCCAGCUUCCAACUCCCUUUCUCAAGCUCUCUCCCCAAAAGUCUCUAUUCAGCUCUCAAAAUCUUACCCCUCCAGAAUCUGCCGACCCGCCCGGUUCUCCCCUUCUCCCAGUUUUUUUUCUUGUCUACGUUUCUACCUCUUCCACUGCUCCUCUACUCCUUGCUCAGAAAUGUCUCUAUCCCUCAACCACCACCAUGGCAAGGUGGUGAUCCUUGCCACACGUGCCAUGCAUGCAGUUUAGUCUUUGAAGAAGCCGACCCCCACUCCUCCAAGACGCUGCCAGCUCUUCCCGGGAUGGUAAAAAAAAGAAAACAAAAAACCCUUCUCCACAAAGGGGUGUAUUGAACAACUUAAAUUAAGUUAUUAAGUCAUUUUAAAUCAUUAAAUUAAUUUACUAACCACUCUCUUAUCCAACCUCCAAAUAGACUUUUGUCAUAGCACAUGGAAUCUGAAUCUUUGAAACUUCUUUGAAACUUUCAAAUAUGUUGAAAAGAAUUGAGGUUGCUAAUAGAAGGAAAGAUUAUUCAAGUGAAGGUUUAAGGGAGGAACAUGACUUAAAAUUCAAAUCAAGAAAAUUAUAUGAAAAUAAUGAAGUAUAAAACACAAUAAAUAGAAGUUUUUGAAUUAUAAUUAUUUGAAAACAAAGGGAUAAAGGUGAAGAAGCUUGAUUGUAAAAAUUUCAACAGAAUUUUUUAAUUAAAUAAUUUUAAAACUUAAUUUUUUAAUAUAAAAAUGUUACAUUAAAAUUUUUUAUUCCUCGUGGUCUAAUACCAUAUCAAAAGGUUGGCUCUGAACACCAAUCUAAAAAUACGGCUCUAAAAGCUAAACUGUAGAUAUAGCUCUGAAUACCGAAUUGAAAUCAUAGCUUUAAACGCCAAACUGAAAUCAUGGCUCUAAACGUCAAAUUGAAGAUAUGGCUAUAAACGCCAAACUAAAGGAGAUAUGAUGGCUCUGAAUGCUGAACUAAAAAUAAGCAACGACUCUAAACCCCAAACUAAAGAUGCGACUCUAAACACCAAACACUGAGAUAAAAGCAAUAUCAUUGUCCGCGAUCAUUUAUGCACAAAACCAAAAACUGCAUUGCGAUAGACAAGAGAUUGAUUAAAAUUAAAUCAUAAUAAAUUAUUGAAUGAUUAUAAUUAAGAAUAAAAUCACGUCUUAAGUGGAAUUUUGCCAUUAAAUGGAGGGAUAAAAUCACUGGUGAAGCCAAUAUAUGCCUAAGUAGGUUUGAAACCAUUGUUUCGAGUUGGAUUUAAACCCAAACUAUAAGAUUUAGGGCCUAUUUUAUAACUGUUUUUUAAAACAAUUUUCUAUUCUUUAGAAAUAAAAUAAAAUAAAAAACAUAUUUAAUAACCCAAAAACAAAAAAUAGUUUUUUGUUCUUAAAAAAAAAAAAACGGUAUAUUUUUUAAUAACAUCUUUUAAUGUCCAAACAGGUUUAAAAUCAUUGUUUUGAGUUGGAUUUAAACAUAAACUACAAGAUUUAGAGUCUGUUUAAUAACUAUCUUUUUAAAAAAAAAUUCUAUUAUUUAAAACAAAAAAAAACAUAUUUAAUAAUUAAAAAACAAAAAAUAGUUUUUUGUUUUUAAAAAUAGGAAACUAUGUAUUUUCGAAUAACAUCUUUUAAUUGUUUUAAGUUAUUUUCACUUAUUUUUGGAUGACUACUAUUUUAAAAAAUAAUUAUAUAAAUAUAGAGAAUAAUUAAAAAUAAAGUACUACAUAACAAAUUAUUUUUUAAAAACAUAUUAAAAAGCAUUAAAAAAAAGUUGAAAAUAUUUCAAAUCCCAAAAGGACCUUUAUUCCACAGAAGAUUAAAGUAAAGUUUUCAAAAACUAGUUUUUAUAAACGGUUAUGAAAUAAAUUUGUUAUAUUUUGCUCACCUGCCUCACAUUUCUGGCUCUGUCACCGGAUAAAAUCCUUGCCGCCAACCUAAGAAAGCUCACCGCCAGAAAUGGUGCCAUCUUCCUUUAGAACCUGGAAUUCCCAUGCGCCACUCGUUUUGUCUAUCUCCUCAUUCACCGUGGGAUCUUGAUUUACCUUUAGAUUAAAUUUUUAAUAUUAUUGUUUAUCUGCUGUCUUUUAAAAAUAAAAUAAAUUAGAAAAUAAUUUUGUAAAAAUUUAUAUUAGUUGUUUUAAUUUGAUUUUAAAAAUAAAAGAAAAAUAUGAGUCUACUGGAUCAUAAUUUUUAAAAAUUUAUUUUUAAGUUAAAAGGAAUAAAAAACCGUUAACAUGAACAAACGAGUCCUAAAAUUUUCGCAAGUAGUUUUGACAACCACGUGGUCCAAUUCCAUUAAAAAUUGUAGCAGCUUGAUAAGUGGGUGGACUUCCUAUCAAUUCAACAAACCUUUGUCCCAAGUAUACAGACAAGAAGACCAAGCCCACAGAUUUUUUCUUCCUUAUCAUGAAUAGUCUACUCCUUUAUGAAAAAUAUCAUGAGAAGUCAGCAUCGAUGGCCAUUGUUUCGUCAUCAACUUGCUAACCUCUUAAAGUUGAGAUUAAAAAAUUCAGCUCACGCAGGACAAAGAAAAACCAUUCAAACGAUAAGGUUGACUGAGCCACACGGAUUGGAGUUGAGAAAAACCAUGGUAUAGAUAUGUCCAACGAUAAGAAAAACCAUUAAAAUUACACCAAGCCUGACCUUGGCCUAUAAAUAUGUCCAAUCUUCUACAACUAUAGUAUAGAUUAGAAAGAAACGAUGGCAAGAAGUUUGAUGGCACUAGGUGGUGGUGGUGGCGGCGGUGGCGGAGAGCAAGUAGGCAUGGUGGCUUCAAGCUCUGGGGCGCUGCUCUUGCUAUGCAUGAUCAUCAUGUCUGUCUCUAUUAUAUCCAUGGUCAUAUUUGCUUGUGGGGAUACUUCUACUUCACCUCGCAAGAAACAAAGGAAGGAUUUCAAAUGUGACGAUUGUGAUUGUUUUUCUCUUUGUUUUGGGGAUGGUGAUGGUGGUGGUGACGGUGGUGGUGAUGGUGGUGGUGGUCAUGGUGGUGAUGGUGGUGGUGGUCAUCAUGGUGGUGGUGGUCAUCAUGGUGGUGAUGGUGGUGGUGGUCAUCAUGGUGGUGGUGGUCAUCAUGGUGGUGGUGGUCAUCAUGGUGGUGAUGGUGGUGGUGGUCAUCAUGGUGGUGGUGGUCAUGGAGGUGGUCAUGGAGGUGGUCAUGGUGGUGGUCAUGGUGGUGGUCAUGGUGGUCAUGGUGGUGAUGGUGGUGGUGGUGGUGGUGGUGGAGGUUGCUGAAGAAAAAACAANAAUAGUUUUUAUUCNNNNNNNNNNNNNNNNNNNNNNNNNNNNNNNNNNNNNNNNNNNNNNNNNNNNNNNNNNNNNNNNNNNNNNNNNNNNNNNNNNNNNNNNNNNNNNNNNNNNGGUGGUGGUGGUGGUGGAGGUUGCUGAAGAAAAAACAAAAUAGUUUUUAUUCAAAGUCUCCUAUAAAUGUCAUAGAAAAUAAAUCUCAAAAUUCUUCUUUAUCGUAUGUUAAAAAAAGUUUCUCAUAUUCAUCUUGAUUCGAUGUUAGAAUCCAUGUGAGCAAGCCCUCUAAUCGAGGUUGUUGUAUUUGUUGAUAUUUUCUAAUCGAGGUUGUUGUAUUUGUUGAUAUUUUCUUGGUAAUUGAAGCCCAUAAAUGAAUGUAAUAGAGAUUUCAUCUUUAAAAUAUAUAUAUAUUAAAAAAAAUUUAUUAAAAAAAAAUCAAAUAUUACUAAAUACACUUUUAAAAUAUUUAACACUUUGUAGACCCUCAUUUUUGCUUUGUUUAGCACACGGAGGAAUGGCUGGGGGGGGGGGGGGGGGGGGGGGGGAAAAUUUUUUAAAAAAGAUUCUUAAAAAAACCGGGGGGGUGGAGGGGGAGGACCCCCCCCCUGGGGGGGGUUUGGACACCCCCCCCUGAGGGGUUUAAAAAAAAAAAAGCGCCCCCGGGUUGGGGGGGGUUUUUUUAUAAAAGGGGGGUAGGGGGGGAAAAAAAGAAGGGGUUCUUGUGGAAAAAAAAAAAAAANNNNNNNNNNNNNNNNNNNNNNNNNNNNNNNNNNNNNNNNNNNNNNNNNNNNNNNNNNNNNNNNNNNNNNNNNNNNNNNNNNNNNNNNNNNNNNNNNNNNUCAAUCGGAAAUAUGAAUCAUAAGAUGAUUGUAAAAAUGCACUUUUAAUUUUGCUUAUCCCAAUGGUGUAAGUGCAUUAUCCUAUAAUGUUUGAAGGCUAAGGUGGUGUUUAUUUUUUUGGCUUUUUACUAAAAGCAAUUUAUUUUCAGAAUUUAGGUUGUUUGUUUUUCUAUUUUUUCAUGACUUAUUAUAAACUUUUUACUAAAUAGAAAAAACCAAAAUAUGUAACUUUUUCUAAAUAGAAAAAAUAAUAUAUUGGUGGCGACCCCGCAUUUCGACUCAUCUCAAUGCGUUUCCCACUCGAUGGCGAGCUCGAAUUUUAUUUGAAAAAAAAAUGAGUGGGGGGGAACAGUUUCUAAGGAUGAGCUGCUAGAGACGCGUGGCUGGCUGAGGGAGCUGACCAUCACCAUGGUGGUGGUUGGGACGGCGACGGGCUGAGGGUUGAACAUGAGAGCAGGUCCGUGGCUUGCGGAGGAGUUUUUGACUAAUGGAGGUUGAAGGAGGAGAACAGGAGAGGGAUCUUGCAGGAAAAAAAAAAAAAGAGCUAGAGGGGGCUCUCGAAAGGCUGUUUUUCGGAGAUACUUAUAGAGGGUGAAGAUUUCAUUGCCGAGGGGGGAAGAACUCUUCUAGUUGUUACAGAGAUAUUGAAGGGAGAGGUUUUAACUGAGCUGAGGGGAUCGAGGAAGAGGAAAGCUUAUUGAUCUUUGGAGAUUCAGGUAUGAUUUCUUUGCGUACUCCUUACUCCUACUUCCUCAUUGUUUUGGCCUUGAUUGUUUCACCUCGCUGUUUGAUUAUUGUCAUUUGUUUUAUGACGCUUGGAGUUGCAUGAAAUCUGAGUUUCUUUGCUUGCUCUGUUUCGUCCCUUCUUGGUUUCUUGAACUCCUUUGAUCAACGACUACCAUGUCGAUUUGUUUUGUUUUAUUUAGCUCGUUUUUCUAGUCAUGUUAUCUUUAUUUUUUUUAUGUUUCUUCCACCUAUUCCGGAUCCUUGGAUUAAUAUAUGGAGUGGGGUCUGGUUCAAAAGCCUACAGGUUUUCCUAUAGUUGUGCUCUGUUUUUUUUUUUGUUUGUUUGUUUUCUUUACUCUGUGCCUGAAUGAUACAUGGUCCAAACUCUCUCCAUUUCCUUUCCGUCUUCAUGAUCCUUUGGUGACUCUGUUGAGGGCGCUUCAAAAUCAGCAUUUACUGGCGCGUCAUUUUGUUGCGUUUAUUGGACUGUUAUUGGCUUGGUUCAAAGCAGUUGGAUCUAGCUCAGAGCCUCGAGAAAUUAUUAUGGUCAUGUCUCCAGGGAUGUUCUUUAGUCUUGCAUUGGUUCACGAUGGUCUAAGACUGUAUUGUGUGCAAAUACCAGUGGUUUUUUUUUCUCUUGGAUCAUCAUGAACUUCAUGUAGCUGGGAAAGAAGGGAUUUAUUAAAAUGUUCUGCUAUCUCUAAGCUCUCAAAUGGAUUUGGGAAGGUAAAGGAUGUCAGUUCAGUGGCUUGUGUUUAGAGAGGUUGGAUGAAUGUCGAUAUUGGUGAGACUAUUUGUAAAUCAUGUUGAGCACAUUUAAGUUUCAUCCCUUGACCAUCAGAGGCACUUGUUGAAGUUGGUAACGCUGGCGAAGCUUUUGGUAAGUGACUGGACACUGAGCAUGAAAUCAACAGUCCAUAGAGAUGGGAUAUUCGCCUACAUUUCCUCAUCACCAUGCCUAUCUCACUCACCUAUCACCUAACCCUCUCUUCAAAUCUCAUUCACGUGUCUAGCCUAUUACCCCACACAUAUCUAUUUCAUCUCAUACCCAUGCAUGCUAGCCAUCACACUUUCUCUCUCUUCACCACAGUGUCUCUCCUCCAUAUCCAUUUCACGCCCACUUACACCGUCUGUUCCAUCACCCUCUCAAGUGCCUAUAUGCCCGUCACCACACCAAACCCGUUUAUUUACCACCUUUGCAUGGCCAUGCAUGGCUGCAUCACGCUCACUUCGUGCCUCCCAAACACCAUAUCUAUAUUUCAUUCUUCACCCGUUCAUCAUACCCAUUUCCUGUCCACUCCCUCACAUCAUUCUCUACAUAUAUUCAUCACCUUUCAAACCCCAUACCUCGACUUACCCAUAACCCUUUCCAUCACGCCACUUUAUACCCACAUUUCAUACCCUCCGUGCACUUUGAUUUCCCAUUAGUUUAUAUCACUCCAUACCCCUCAUUCCACACAUACGCUCAUCCCUUCGUUUUCUCUCUCUACACCACCACCCAAAGCCAUUGGAACUCCUCAUCACUUAAGCCCACACUCCUAUUCAGCUUCUUCACACCCAUCUACCCGCAAACCCCAUCCAUAUUAUCCACAUCUCCAUCCUUUAACACCCCUCAAACCCAUCUCUCUCCUUCUAAGCCUUCAUCUUGUCAUGCCAUACUCUCCACAGUCAAUCUAUCCUAUGACAUCACACCCACCACCGGCUGUUGAUUCCUUCAUCAUGCCAUUUCUUCCACUCUUCAUACCCCACGUCCUCAUGCAUAUACCCCUUCUCAUACCCCAUGUAAUAUGCCCGUUUCCUCACCACCUUUUCUCUCUCUACACCACACUUCUUUCAUGCAUCCCGUUUUCUCAUUAAUCUAUACCAUCCCAUGCCCCCACCCAAUGCAUACCAUCACCCUCACAUAUAUCCACUCACCCGGUUUCUCUCUCUACACUCCAUACCUUUCAUGCAUAUCCAUUUCUUGUUCAUCUACACCAUCCUUCCCACUAGUCCCAUAUCCUCUUUUUCCUACCAUCCACACACCCCAUACAUUUCAUGUCCAUACCCACUGCCCUAUUCUUCAUUAACCUCUUCUUUCUAUUCACUUUCUAUGUCUACACCACCACCCAAACCCACUCAAACUCAUCAUCGCUCAUGCUCGUGCUUCCGCUCUUCUCACUACCAUGUAGCACCCCUUUCUCUCUCUAACAAUUUCAUCGAACCCACUUCCCGUCAUCACCUUCCACUACCCCUUAUAUCAUUCUUUAGUCACCCAUUUGCUCCCUCUCCUCUCCUGCGCGUGGAACUUCAAGCAUCCAUACCCAUCUCUCACCCUCUUCACCACCACUUCCAGGCCCAUUUUUGAAGUCUAAGGCCUAUUAAUCCCAGUUUGCAUGGUAUCACUUCCAGGCCCGUUUUUGAGGUCCAGGGCCCAUUUUUAAGUCCCUAUUAUUAUUGCAUGGGUAUCACUUCCAGGCCCAUUUUUGAAAUCCAUAUUAUUAUUAUUACAAGGCCCAUUUUUGAAGCCCAAGGCCUAUUAUUAUUAUUAUUAUUAUUAUUAAUUCAACUUUUAAAAUAUUAUUAUUAUUAUUAUUAUUAUUAUUAAUUCAACCUUCAAAAUCUUAUUAUUAUUAUUAUUUUUAUUAAUUCAACUUUUAAAAUAUUAUUAUUAUUAUUAUUAUUAUUAUCAUUUCAAAAUCUUAUUUAUAUUAUUAUUAUUAAUUCAACUUUUAAAAUCUUAUUAUUAUUAUUAUUAUUAAUUCAACUUUUAAAAUAUUAUUCUUAUUAUUAUUAUUAAUUCAACUUUCAAAAUCUUGUUAUCAUUGUUAUUAUUAUUAUUAUUUCAAAACCUUAUUAUUAUUGUUAUUAUUAUUAUUAUUAUUAUCAUUAUUAUUAUCACCCUAGGCCCUUCUAAUUCCAAAGCCUAAUUCGUUUCUAAUAUCCCAAGCCCAUUUCCAAAGCCCUUCUCACCCUAAGCCCUUCUAAUUCCGAAGCCCAAUUCGUGUAUCCUUUUUCCUGAGCCCAUUUCCAUAGCCCUUCUCACCCUAGGCCCUUCUAAUUCCAAAGCCCUUUUAAUCCCUUUUGUUUAUCCAUAUUAUUAUUAUCAUUUAUUGUUAUUAUUAUUAUUAUUAUUAUUAUUAUUAUUAUCAUUAUUAUUAUUGUUAUUAUUAAAAAUCUAUACUCUCUCUAAGUUCAAUUUCCUAAUAUUAUUAUUAUCAUUAUUAUUAUUGUUAUUAUUAAAAAUUUGUAUCAUCGCAAUUUAAUUUCCUAAAGUUCAUUCCUUAUUAUUAUUAUUAUUACAAAUUCAACUUUCAAAACCCAUAUUUUCGCAGAUCAAUUUCCUAAAGUUCAUUUCUCAUCUUCUUUGGCAAAUUUCAUUUUAAUUAUCAAUGCCCUAAUAUUUUAAAUUUAAUUCCCAAUACUCCAAUCUUCAAGUAAAUUCCAAAAAUCCAGUUUUCACUCGAAUAGUUUUAAUUCCAUUCCGGUUCUUAAAUAAUCUUCUGAUCUUCGUGAUUCUACAUAAGCAAUAAUGAAUUCUUCAUAAUUCUAAAACACGGAAUUUGUGAGACUAGUUCAUGAGUAAUAAAUUGGGCUUUGGUGGGGGCCCUAUGUUUGAUCUUUUUUUUAUUAUCAAUUGUUGUGCUUAAUGUAUUUUGUUUGAUCUUCGUUUUGCACUCCGAUAUGCACGAACUAUAUUUUGUAUUCAUUAAUUGUGUACUAACCCCGUUUCUUGAUAGCACAUUAUGGCUAGAGGCCCAGGUAUGCACCCACUCUCGUUUUGAUCAUUCCAUAUGCAUAUUUCGAUUCACCUAUUGUACAUGAUUAAGGCGAGUAUCCAUUGACUUUCUCAUGGAUUGCCACAUCAGCUUUAUUUUUAUCAGUAGAGACCCGACUUUAGGGACUUAGAGGGGUGAUGUCGUCCGUACCGUACCUUCCCGAUAAGUAACUUGACCCCGAUCCCGAUCCGGUUUCUCAUAGACCACCUUUUCCAAAAUAAGGAGUCACACUUAAAGUUUUUCUUUCUUAUUUUGUUUACCCUUUAAUUAAAAAUAAAACAAAAAUAAGUGGCGACUCCAAGUCAGUUUUUUUUUUUUAAUGAAUAAAAAUCAUUAUCAAAUAAAAAUUGAGCUCGUCAUUGAGUGAAAGUGCAUGAGCCGAAAUGCGGGGUCCACACUCUUAUAUAGUGAAACUCAAAUAUAUAAAAUAAAUUUAAAAUAAUUUAUUAGUUUUAAAUUCAUAUUUUAUUUUUUAUCACAAAUUUUUUUAAUUUCUCUUUUGUCUUUUCGUUCAAAUUCUUAGGAAUCCAACAUUGUAAAAAAAUAUUUAAGAAACUUGAUUUUAAAAUGUUUAAUAUAACACGUGUUUAUUUUCAAUUUUUUUCUUUAAUAUAAAAUUUUCACAAAUAUUUUUGACACCCACAUGGUCCAAAACCAUUAACAAAUCUUCAUCCCAAAUUAGAUCUUACAUUCAGAAAGUAUAUAAAUAAGUAGAUCAAGACCUGAGAUUUUUUGUUCCUUCUCAUGAAAAGUAUACUCCUUUAUGAAUAUAUAUAUCAUUGACCAUGAAAAGUUAGCAUCAACCGCCAUUGUUUCUACAUCAACUUGCCAACCUCUCAACUUGAGCUUGAAAAAUAAGCUCACGCAGGGCUUUGAAAAUUUCUUUGAAGCUUCGUAUUAGCAAUAUUUCUUAAGAGAACAAAGAAAACCUAUUCAAACUAUAAGCUUGAGUGAGCCCACACGGCUUCGAGUUGAGAAAAAUGAUCAAAAUUUUGAAAAUUACACUAAGUUUCGACCUCACCUAUAAAUAUGUCCCAUCUUCUACAUAUUUAGUAUAGAUUAGGAAGAAAUGCGAAGAAUUGUGCUUUCACCUCAGUUAGCAUAAUAAGAGGCCCAAGUCCUCUUAUUACUCAUAUUUGAUUACAAGAUUAUAAGGAUAUGAGAUAAUAAUUGAUACAAAUACUCAUUUUACUUAUCACAUCAAAUAUCCCAAAUAGUAAAUUGUACUAGCUUAUGUAGUUGUGGACCCUGCAUUUCUGCUCAUGCGUUUCCACUUGAUGGCGAAUUCGAUUUUAUUUGAAAAAUAAUUUUAUUUAUUAGAAAAUGACUUGGAGUCGUCACUUAUUUUUGUUUUAUUUUUAAAAUAGUAAACAAAAUAAGAAAGAAAACCCUAAGUGUGACUCCUUAUUUUGGAAAAGGUAGUUCGUGAAAAAUCGGAUCAAGCUCGGGGGUCAGGUUACUUAUCGGAAAGGAACAGUAAAGACCGUAGCCCCCCUCUAAAUCCCUAAAGUCGGGUCUUUACUAAUAAAAUGAAGUUGACAUGGCAAUUAAUGAGUAAAUCAAUGAACACCCAGAACGAUCAUGCACAUAUGAAAAUCAAAACAUGCAGAGAGGAUGACCAGGAUGCGAGUAGAUACGUACCUGGGCAAUAAGCCAAAAUGAGCUAUCAAGAAAUGAGGUUAGUGCAUAAAUAAUGGACAUAAAACAUAGCUCACGUGCCACUAAAUCGAGUACGAAGUCAUCACAUGUCACAACUCAAUCAAAUUGAUUUUUAAAGGAAACAUCCAAUAAUGUUGGGCCCCCACCCAAAACCCGUUUUAUUUUUGCAUGAAUUAAUUCCGUAAAUUCCAUCACUUAGAAUUACGGGAUUUAAUUCACACUUAUUUUUAAAAUCAUGGAAGUUAUGAAAAUUGCAUGCCAAAGAAAAUGGUGGCAAAAUUUUAUUAAAAAUGUGAUUUUUGGGACUUGAAAACUCUAAGGAUGAAGAAUAUGGAAAAUUAUGCGAAGAAUGAUAUUUGGAAAAAUUAUUUUCAAAACCAAGAAUGGUGAAUUGAGAGAAAUAAAAGGAAGUGACACGUGGCAUAAGGGUGGCCAUGCAGUCCAUGCAUAAGUGGAAGAGAUGGGGAAUGACGACCAUGGAGAUGAGGACAAAGAAGACGUUGGCAGCAUCCCAUGAGCUUGUUGAAGCCACUUUGCUAAGCGCAGAAUUGACUAAAGCGAUAUCUGAAGGUACCCAGUCACAGCUAAUAGAAUAUUGCCCAGAUCCAUGCCAUGGGUUCCCAUCAAUUGGAUACCAGAAUGCCACUGAAAUCUUGCUUGUUUGACCAAUGGUGAAUUGAACAUCUUGUUGAAGACGAUCUAUUGUUCUCAAAGGCCUCAAAAAUUCAAAAUAGCAUGUACCCUUUUGACCUAAUGAUGCAUAAGGGUUGUCUUCUCCCACAAAACCUGAAUGCAUUGUGAGACUAUCAUGCCACCAUGCCCCCUUCCAAUUAUUAUGUGCACUGGUAUCAUUUCCAAAAGGGCCAAGUCCAUCAAGGUGUCAACAAUGUGGAUUCUAGACAUACGGAUCAACCAAAUGACCGAAUCUGUCACCUCCAUUCUCCUCUCAAUUGAGCUACUAUCUGAAUCAAAACUAUCACUUGACCUUUCUUCUUUUCUUGGAGACCACAAAUCCAUUCUUAGCAGACUAAGCAGUGGCUGGAUUUUAUAACCUUGUGAUGAUCUUUUUUCAUGAAAACACUCUUGCUAAGCUCGGUCAAGAACUGCUUAUUGCCAAAUCUUUCCCUUUCAUCAUUCAUGGCUUUCUUUUUAAUCACCGCAAACGCUUAGCACUCAUCAAUUUGGUUAUGACAUUCCUAUUUCAACGUCGUCAACGAGCUUCAGGAAAACUGAUGUUAAAGUAUAUUAUGUUAUGGGCUUUAGGCCCAGUUAGGUUACUUGUAUAGUACACUUUACUUGUACCGCACACAUAGUACUUGUACCGCACACAUAUGCCUCAUAUAUAAAGACACUGAUGUAUAUUCUUUAAUCAGGAAAUAGAAUACAAUUAUUCUAUAUUUCUAACAUAGUAUCAGAGCCACUGCUCUGACCUUUUCUUAGCAGUCUUGUCUUCAUUAGUGUGACUUCCUUUCUUUCAAACGCUUCCGCCAUCACAACUGCCGACGCAGCCUCUUGCCGUUGAACCUUCGACGUCAUCCAGCCGUCGUCCUUGGGUUCCGGACCUGCAGCCGCCAUCGUUAAGGAGUUUCACACUGCACAGACCACUGCUCUUUGCAUCACCGUUGUGAAUAUUGCUCCAAUUUCAUUUUUGAAGGUACCACUGAGAUCGUCCAGCGCCAAUCUACACAUUCGUGGAACCCUCGCCACCAUUGGAGACCGCACGCGCUCCCACGCGCCACUCAAAGAUUCUAUGACGCUGCCACACGCCUUCACGCGUUGCCACACGCCUUCACGCGCUACCACGCGCUCUCACACGUUGCCACGCGCUCUCACGCACCAGGCCUGGUCUGCUGACGUCAUCUUCAUCCGUUGACCAGUCGUGAUCGUUGACCGUUGACUUUGAUAGUUGACUUUUUCCAGUUGACUUUUUAUGUCUAGGUUCUCCUUACCCAGUUUUUCGUGUAGAUUUCAUUUUUGCAGUCGGUUUUUGCAUAUUGUGUCUCUAAAUGGAUAAAAAGGAUGUUUUUCUUCCUCACCCCAUUAAUACUGUAUUGGAAGGGAAUAAAAAUUACUUAUCCUGGUCUCAAGCUAUGCGCAGUUUUCUUAAGAGUCGCAUGCUCUAGCAUUAUUGUAUUGGUGCAAUGACUAUUCCUGUCAAGGGAGCAAGUGAAGAAGAUGCUGUCUUUCUUAGUCGCAUGAUUGAAUGGGAUAGUCAAAACCACAUGAUCCUCACAUGGAUCCAGAACACUUCCAUUCCCUCUAUUUCCAAUCUAUUAGGCAGCUUUGACGAUGCAAAAUCUGCAUGGGAUAUGUUGACCAAAAGGUACUCCACUACUCAUGGAUCCAUGCAAUAUCAGUUAGUGGUUGAAUUGCAUUAACUCAGGCAAGAACCGGGGCAAUCCAUUAAUGACUAUUAUGACCAGCUUCGCUUCAUUUGGGACCAAAUUGACAUUUCUGAUCCAACUUGGGCAUGCUCAAAAGAUGCUCAGCAAUAUGCUUCCAUCAGAGAUGAAUUUCGCCUCUAUGAAUUCUUGAUGUCACUUCACAAAGACUUUGAGCCCAUUCGUGGUCAGCUGCUAAAUCGUAGUCCUGCUCCCUCUCUUGAUAGUACUGUGAAUGAGUUGGUUAGAGAAGAAGCUCGUCUUGCAACCCUUCAAGCCUAGAAUAAGCUCAAUGUUUUGGCUAUUACUCCAUUUACUCCACUCAUAGAGCAACCUCAGCAAUUAGGUGAUUUUUCUGGCUCUAGCAAUCGUCGCAAGCAGACCAACAAGAAGUUCUGCAACUAUUGCAAGCGUUCUGGCCACACCAUUGAGACUUGUUACCGUUGUAACAAAUCUACUACUGCUGUUGCUAAUACUGAGCCUACUCCGCCAACGACUUCCACCUCAGCUGAGUCCCAGUUUUCUGGAUCUACUAUCAACCUCUCCUCCACUGAACUACAGGAGAUCAUAGCUCAAGCUGUUCGUAUGGCUGGUAAUGCAUCUCUUUCCACUGCCUUAUCUGUUCUACCUGGUAAGUCUCAAACUUGGCUUUUUGAUUCUGCCUGCUGCAAUCACAUGACACCUCACUCAUCCCUGUUCUCCAACCUUGACCCUGCACCACAUCCUCUAAAUAUUCAUAUAGCUGAUGGUUCCACCAUGCAUGGAAAUCGUCUAGGUUUUGUUUCAACCUCUAAUCUUUCUGUUCCUGGAGUCUUCCACGUACCUGCCCUAUCCUAUAAUUUGUGUUAUGUGGGACAAUUAGCUGAACUAGGUUAUCGCCUUAUUUUUUACUAUUCUGGGUGUAUUGUGUAGGAUCCGAGGACGGGGCAGGAGCUUGGGACCGGUCCUAGAGUUGGGCGUAUGUUUCCCGUGAGCAAUCUUCAUCUUCCACCUGUUGCUCCUGUUUCUGUUGCUGCUGCAGCGGCUACAGUUUCUUCCUUACCUUCUCUUGCACUUUGGCAUUCUCGUCUUGGUCAUGCACCAUCUUCUCGGGUACAACAGUUAGUGUCUAGGGGUUUGUUGGGUUCUGUGUCUAAAGGCAAUUUUGAUUGCACUUCAUGUCAGUUAGGAAAACAGCCAGCUUUGCCUUUUAAUAACAGUGAAUCCAUUUCUAAUAGUAUUUUUGAGUUAAUUCAUUAUGAUGUUUGGGGACCUUCUCCUGUUGCUAGUAUUGGUGGAUCUCGAUAUUUUGUUAUUUUUAUUGAUGAUUAUUCUCGUUAUAGUUGGAUUUUUCCUAUGAAAUAUCGUUCUGAAAUUUUACCAAUAUAUAGCAAUUUUGCAAAAAUGGUUGAAACUCAAUUCUCCAAACGUAUCAAAACCUUUCGAUCUAAUAAUGCUCUUGAAUAUACUCAAUAUGCAUUUCAAGCUCUGUUACAUUCCUAUGACACUAUACAUCAUCUAACUUGUCCAGGUACCUCUCAGCAAAAUGGUCAAGCCGAAAGAAAACUUCGUCAUAUUCUUGACAUUGUUCGUGCUUUACUUCUUUCUGCCAAAGUUCCUGCCCCAUUUUGGGGUGAAGCUAGUCUUCAUGCUGUUCAUGCAAUUAACAUCAUUCCAAACGUUGUCAUCCAUAAUCAGACUCCGUAUGAGCGUCUCUUUGGGUCACCCCCUAACUAUCAUCACCUUCGCUCCUUUGGAUCUGCUUGUUUCGUUCUUCUUCAGCCUCAUAAGCACAACAAACUUGAGCCUCGAUCUAGACUCUGUUGUUUCCUUGGUUAUGGCGAAACUCAAAAGGGGUAUAAGUGUUAUGAUCUUGUCUCUCAUCGUCUUCGUGUUUCUCGUAAUGUUGUCUUUUGGGAACAUCGAUUGUUUGUUGAACUCUCUCACUUUCGUUCUUCCUUGAUUAACUCCUCUGUUUUAGAAAUCUUUCCAGAUGAGUCUCUUGUUCCUUCUACAAAUACUUUUGAUCCUCCUUUGGACUUCUCUCCAGAUAUCUUUGAUGUUUUUCCUAGACAGGUUGCAGAUGAACAUAUUAAUGACGAGCUACCCCACUUUGAGCCUGGGUCCCCUACUCCUGCUCUGCUUGAAGAUCCUCCACAAGACAUUCCAUCUUGCCACUCAACCCGGGUAAGAUCCAUUCCUCCACACCUCCUUAACUAUCAUUGUUACACUGCCCUUGCUACACUUCACGAGCCUCAAACCUAUCGUGAGGCUUCUACUGACCCUUUAUGGCAGAUUGCAAUGAAAGAGGAACUUGAUGCAUUAACCAAAAACCAUACUUGGGACCUGGUUACUCUCCCUCCUGGACAGUCUGUGGUUGGUUGUAAGUGGAUCUAUAAGAUCAAGACUCGCUCUGAUGGAUCCAUUGAGCGCUACAAGGCUCGUCUUGUUGCCAAAGGUUUUACACAAGAGUAUGGGAUUGAUUAUGAAGAGACUUUUGCUCCAGUUGCUCGUAUCUCAUCUGUCCGUGCUCUCUUAGUUGUUGCUGCUGCUCGUAAAUGGGACCUUUUUCAGAUGGAUGUUAAAAAUGUCUUCCUUAAUGGGGAUCUGAGCGAAGAAGUCUAUAUGCAACCUCCUCCUGGUCUCUCUGUUGAAUCAAACAAGUUUUGUCAUCUUCGACGCGCACUUUAUGGUCUUAAACAAGCCCCACGAGCUUGGUUUGCCAAGUUCAGCUCCACUAUUUUUCGCUUGGGUUACACUGCCAGUACAUAUGAUUCUGCCUUAUUUCUUUGUCGUACUGAUAAAGGCACUAUUUUGCUUCUUCUAUAUGUGGAUGAUAUGAUCAUAACUGGUGAUGACCUUAGUGGCAUUCAAGAACUCAAGGAUUUUCUUAGUCAGCAGUUUGAGAUGAAAGAUCUUGGACAUCUCAACUAUUUCUUAGGUCUUGAAAUUACUCAUUCCACAUAUGGUCUUUAUAUUACUCAAGCCAAGUAUGCUUCUGACCUGUUGUCUCAAGCUGGACUCACUGACAGCAAAACUGUUGACACUCUAGUUGAACUUAAUGCGCAUCUGACACCCUCGGGGGGGAAACCAUUGUCUAAUCCUUCUCUUUACAGACGAUUGGUUGGCAGCUUAGUUUAUCUCACAGUUACUCAUCCAGACAUCUCCUAUGUUGUUCAUCAGGUGAGCCAGUAUUUGUCUGCUCCACGAUCAACUCACUAUGCUGCUGUUCUGCGCAUUCUUCGAUACCUGAAGGGUACCAUUUUUCAUGGCCUUUUCUACUCAGCUCAGUCUCCUUUUGUACUCCGUGCAUUCUCUGAUGCUGAUUGGGCAGGAGAUCCUAUUGAUCGCAGGUCCACUACAGGUUAUUGCUUCCUCAUUGGUUCUUCUUUGAUUUCUUGGAGAAGUAAGAAACAAACUUUUGUGGCCCGCUCCAAUACUGAAGCAGAAUAUCGUGCUCUUGCUGAUACCACAUCUGAGCUCCUUUGGCUAAGAUGGCUUCUUAAGGAUUUGGGUGUGUCCACCUCCUCUGCUACUCCUCUUUAUUGUGACAACUAGAGUGCCAUUCAUAUUGCUCACAAUGAUGUCUUUCAUGAACGGACUAAACACAUCGAGAUUGAUUGUCAUUUUAUCCGUUAUCAUCUUGUCCAUGGUGCUCUUAAGCUUUUCUCCGUCUCCUCCAAAGAUCAACUUGCAGAUAUCUUCACCAAGUCACUUUCUAAGAGACGCACUCGUGAUUUAGUUGACAACCUCAAGUUGGUCUCGCAUCCACCUUGAGUUUGAGGGGGGCUGUUAAAGUAUAUUAUGUUAUGGGCUUUAGGCCCAGUUAGGUUACUUGUAUAGUACACUUUACUUGUACCGCACACAUAGUACUUGUACCACACACAUAUGCCUCCUAUAUAUAGGCAUUGAUGUAUAUUCUUUAAUCAUGAAAUAGAAUACAAUUAUUCUAUAUUUCUAACAACUGGGAUCGCUAAAUACAUGAAACACAGCCGCCCAUGCAAAAGUUGUGGGAAUGGGUCUGAAGGGCAUUCGAAAAAUGGGUUCGUGGUGUGGUGUAGAGAGAAAAAACAUGGGGGGUAUGAGAUGUAAGUGUGAAGGUGAACAUGAGGAUGGAGAGAAAUAGAGCGUGGUGUGGAUGGCUAUGUGCAUGGAACCUUGUUUACAUGGAAAUCAAGCAACAAAUGGAUCAAGAAUGGAAUGGGUGGCGGAUAUCGGUAUGAAUGGUGUCUAAUGGAAUGUAGGUGGUUGGAUGAUAGUAUAAUGGACGUUAGUGUGGCCACGUAUGGCCAUGCAACAGUGGAUGGAAUAGAUUUGAAGUGCACUUAGAAAAUGGGUAUGGGGUGUGGUGAAGAGAGAGAAAGUACGAUGGAUGGAAAACGAAAUGGGUUGAUGGGUAUCGAGAUAUAGCAUGAACUAGUGAUAGUGAACAUGUUGAUGGGUAUGGAAAUGAGGAGAAGAAUGGAUUGGUUCAAGUGGGAUGAGGAAUGAAGAAUCAUUGAAGGAUGGCCACGGGUUCGGGCAAGAUGGGAACAAGUAGGAAUGGUGAGGAGGAAUGGCACAUGGGGUGAAUAGGUGUAGUGGAUAAGGAAAUGAGUAUAGGGAUGGUUUCGGUGUGCAUGGUAUAUGAUGAAUGGUGUAUGGUGUUGGAUAUAUUGGAGUGGUAACGGUGUGGGUGUUAUGGGUAGAUGAUGGGUAUGGUAUUAGAGAUGAACGGAAAGUGGUAUGGAAAAGAAAAAAAAAUUGUAUUAAGAUGUGGAGGCGUGGUGAUGAAAUUGCGCAAGGCAAAUUAUGGGUGGUGUUAGGAAGUGUCCCAAAUUCCUAAUUAGUAUAGAUUCCUUUUUUGUAAAGAAUAUUAUAUAAAAUAUUUCUAGGUUGAUAUAUUAUUGUAAUAUUAGACUUUCUUAUAGAAUAAGGAAGGUUGUUGGAAAUAUCUCUAUAAAUAUUCUAGGUCAUGGGGGGGGGGGAAAGUUAUGAGAUAGAGAUGGACUUGUAGAUACUAUACGAGGUAGAUAGAGAUGUGAGGAAGAAUGGGAGAUACUCGGUGGAGCGAGAGAGCUCAUAGUAGGGUAUGGAUACAAGGAGUGGGGAAACAUGGGAUGUUUCGGGAACCCAAUAGUUGUAUCUGGUUCUUUUCUCUGUAAUAUUCUCUAUUAUAUAGUGGAAUCAUUCUCUCUCAUCCAUGGACGUAGGCAUGGUUGGUUGAACCACGUUAAAACCUCGUGUACCAUGUGUGUGAUUGUUUUAUCUUUGUGUUCUUGAACUAACAUUGUUGGCAUCAAAGCUUUCGUUGUCACUAUAAUUGGUAUCAGAGCUUGGGUUGAAGAUUUUUGGAAGGGUAAAAGAUCACAAAGCACACAAGAUGAAAACAAAAGGAAUUUUCACUGAAUGUGGAGUCGAUUGCUCUUUCAUGGUGAUAUGAUACAAAAAGGUUUGUGUCAUGGAGAGAUUGAAGAUUAACUUCAUGGAAUUUGGUCCAAGGAGGAGAUUGUUAGGAAGUGUCCCAAAUUCCUAAUUAGUAUAGAUUCCUUUUGUGUAAAGAAUAUUAUAUAGAAUAUUUCUAGGUUGAUAUAUUAUUGUAAUAUUAGACUUCCUUAUGGAAUAAAGAAGGUUGUUGGAAAUAUCUCUAUAAAUAUUCUAGUUCAUGAGAGGAAAAAUUAUGAGAUGGAGAUGGACUUGUAGAGACUAUACGAGGUGGAUAGAGAUGUGAGGAAGAACGGGAGAUACUCGGUGGAGCGAGAGAGCUCGUAGUAGGGUAUGGAUACAAGGAGUGGGGAAACAUGGGAUGUUUUGGGAACCCAAUAGUUGUAUCUGGUUUUGUCCUCUAUAAUAUUCUCUAUUGUAUAGUGAAAUCAUUCUCUCUCAUCCGUGGACGUAGGUAUGGUUGGUCGAACCACGUUAAAACCUCGUGUACCAUGUGUGUGAUUGUUUUAUCUUUGUGUUCUUGAACUAACAUUGUUGGUAUCAAAGCUUUCGUUGUCACUACACAAUCCCAUUUGUUUUCCUUGUCCAGAUAUCUCCCAGAAACUAUGAUGUUGAGCUUCUUCAGAAGCACCCCAAACCAGAUUUUCUCCAGCAGCGCCUUACUCUUUCAAGUAGAUAUGGGAAAUAUGAUACUCACUAUGGCAAAGAACAGGGGAUGACAGCAAACAGAGCACAAAUAAUGGGAACCAAAUGAAUCCCUACAAACCUCAUUUCAUGUAUCAAUCCAUGAGCUCAGACGAGAGUGGGCCAAAGCAGAUUUCAAAUAAGUUUUAAAACGAAACCAAGAUGUGAAUGCCAAUAUCUCAUAUGAAAUCUCAAAACAGAGGACAUAAAACAAGUUAGAAAUCAAGCAUAAGGCAAGUGUAAGCAAGCUCAAAUUCCAUAAAAACAAAUUAUAGUCCCCUAUAAACACAUUCAAACACCAAAAUAGAAUCUCAUGAUACCUAAAAAAACACAAUAAAAUGCCAUGAACAUGGAAGAGUCAGCCUCUAGAAAUAAUACCUGAGUCUCCUUUUUUUAAGAUACCACUGCGUGUUUCUUCUUGUCUCUGAUUAGGUCUCCCUUCCAAAAAAAAUCCAGUUGAUCUCCCUUUGCCUAAGCAAUCUUACUCUUCUAGUGACCACACUGCAACUCCUUCCCUCUGUAACCUCACAAGCAACCAAAACAUCUCCUCUCAGACAACAGAAUACCUUGCUCCUCUCCAAGGUGUCCUUCUCACGUUCCUCUCUCCGUCCCUAACUAGCUUGCUCUCCAAGCCAAAGAAAAACCUCUCCCCAAAACUAUCUCUGUAAAGCAACCACCCAGACCUCACUCUGGCAGCUUGCUCCUCAAGCUAAACGAAUACCCUUCAAAACUAAAGAAAACCUCCUCUAUAGAUACAAAAUACGCUCUUUUCUCUCAACUCCCUAACUUGCUCUCCAAGAAACUCCUCAAGCAAAAUAGUCUCCUCCUUGUGGAUGUAGAAUACGCUCAUCCUCCUCCCUUAGCUUGCUGCCCAAGCUAAGGAAAAACCCCCUACAAAAUAUCUCUCCCCAAAACGGUAGCAAAAGCAUCCCCUUCACUCUGCAGCUGGCUACCCUUCUAUAAUAGAAAACACGCUCCCUGGAAUAUUCCUUGACAGGUGUCACAACCCCAUAGCUCCUCAAAAAGCACCAACAAUUCCUUAGCAGCCAAUUAGGAGGUAGCACAUGGCUCUUUAAGAGCCCUCCAUCUGGCAAAAGUGAACUGCAGGAAUAUGAAAAAAAAGGAGCCCCAAAAUGGGGGUCUAUAGUAGUGUUUAUGGGACCCUUCAUUUUUGUCUUUAUUCCAUCACUCUUCAUAUGUCACUUCCUUUAUUUAAACAUAUUUCAAAUUUUAAUUGUUUUUUAAAACUUUUUUUUUUAUAAAUAAUUAAAAAUCAACAUUUUUUUUCUAUUUUAAAUUAUAAAUAAAUAAAUAAAUAACAUAUUAAUAAUUAUGGACCCUGCAUUUCGCUCGAUACAUUCCCACUCAAUGGCGAAACUCGCUUUUUUACUUGUUUGGUGAAAAUUAUGAUUUUUAGAAAAGACUUGGAGUUGCUACUUAUUUUUGUUUUAUUUUUUAAGGGAAAAACAUAUUUGUAAAAAAUCAAGUCUGGGCUUGGGGUCAAGUUACCUAUUGGAAAGGUAUGGUGGUGAGCCGUAACACCCCUCUAAGCCCGUAUAUAUACGGUCUUUACUAAAUAAUUAAGGGAAUUGUGACAAUUAACUAAUUAAUUAUGAUACCAAGAAAAAAUAAUUAAGCAAAUGAGUAUGUACAAGUCAUAGUAAAAUCAAUAUACACAAAAAUAAUGAUGAAAUCUAAUUACAAAAAUACACAAAAUAAAUAAUAAGUGAAUUAUGCAAAAUGAUUUAUUGAACUAAAAAAAUAUUUAAAAAAAUAGUUUUCAAGAAAUUUCAAAGUAUUUUAUUAAAAAUGAUUUUGAAUUAAUGAUUUCAAUUUAUUUAUUUACAAAAAAUAAUCAAUUUAUUUUAUCAAUUUCAUUUGCAUUUAAUUUUCAAAAAGAGUUAUUUACAUAUCAAAAAAAUUUCAUUUGACAACAAAAAUUAUUUUUAUUUGCUUUUAUUGAAAAUGAACGAUUUUUUACAAUUUUAUUUACAAAAGUAUUUCAAUUUGUUUUCAUUUAAGAAAAGUGAUUUAUACAAAUUAUUUAAAAAGACGUAACUUCAUAUGCAAAAUGAAUUUUAAUUCAAAAAAAGAAGAUUUAAAUCAUCUAUUUCUAAAAAAAUACUUUUAAACAAAGAAAUUUUUGGACAAUCAUUAUUCAAAACAAUAUUUCAAAUUCUAUUAAAAACAAUUUUUUUUUGGAUUUUUCUAAAAGCAUUUUUCUGAAUUUUUAUUAAUAAAAAAAACUUUCUUUUAUUUAAAAAAAUAUUUUCUGAACUAUCAUUUUAUUAAAACAUAUGUACUGAAUUAUUCCUCUUACUUAAACAAAAUUUCUAGUUUGUUCAAUGUUAAAUUUUGUACACACUCAAUAAAUAUAUACAAACGAAUAUUUACAAGAACUAAUAAAAAUAAAACCAAAUAAAAGUAGGAAAUAAAAUAUGUACCAAAAUAAACUUACAGCAAGCUUAAUGUCUUCCUACAACUUUUCGAGUUUCACUUUUUUUCAUGAAAUUUCGUGCUCCACGUAUCAUAAAUUUGUACUCAGCCAACGAGAUUACAGAAUGGGUCCAUGCAAAAACAAAAACAACACAAAUGUAAAUAUUCAAAAAUAUGUAGAGUCCAAAAUAAUUAUUCAAGCCCAAAUUCAAACUUCAAAUUAGUCCAAUAAAUUUCACCAAUUAAAAAUGGGUCUAAAUUAACAAACAUAACCCAACAAAAAUAUCCCACAUAUCAUAGACCCUAAUAUAAAAUUUUCAAAUUAAUAGCCAAAAUAUAAGUUCAAUUUAUCAAACCCAAAACAUGAUAAAUUAAGAUAAAUUUCAUUACGUCUAAAUUUAAUAUUCCAUAAUCCAAGCCUAAUUUAAUAUACACCAUAAUUAUCCCAUGUCUAAAUUAAAUAAUUCCAAUUGGCCAAGUCAUACCAAAUAUUCAAAUCACCCAAAAAUCUCACUCACGUUAUGGGCCUAAAAUUCACAUCAAUUAACAAGUCCACAUUAAUAAUAUAUAUAGCCAAAGGAAAUAAUAUUUCAAGUCCAAUCUACUAUGCCCAAACAAAUAACCAGUUAACAAGUCCACAUUAAUAAUAUAUAUAGCCAAAGGAAAUAAUAUAUCAAGCCUAAUCCAAUAAGCUCAAACAAAUAACCAAUUAACAAGCCUACAUUAAUAAUACACAUGGUCAAAGGAAAUAAUAUCUCAAGCUCAAUCCAAUAAGCCCAAACAAAUAACCAAUUAACAAGCCCACAUUAAUAAUAUAUAUAUAGCCAAAAGAAAUAAUAUAACAAACCCAAUCCAAUAAGAUCAAACAAAUAACCAAUUAACAAGCCCACAUUAAUAAUACACAUGACCAAAUGAAAUAAUAUAUCAAGCUCAAUCCAAUAAGCUCAAACAAACAACCAAUUAAAAAGUCCACAUUAAUAAUACACAUGGUCAAAGGAAAUAAUAUCUCAAACUCAAUCCAAUAAGCCCAAACAAAUAAUCAAUUAACAAGCUCACAUUAAUAAUAUAUAUAACCAAAGGAAAUAAUAUAUCAACCCUAAUCCAAUAAGCCCAAACAAAUAACCAAUAAGUAAUAGGCCAAAAUCCAAAUCAAUUGCUAUGCAAACCAAAAAUAAAAAAUAAAAUAAAGCAAAAAAGAAAUUUACCCAUUUUUUAAAAAACACUAUGGAUGGUCGAAUUGCUAGCCGACAAUGGUGGGAGUGGUUGGUCAGUGGUAUGGAGAAAAUGGGGGAAAGAGAAGAGAAAAAUGGAGAGAAUGGGGCGCUUGCCAAUGUGUUGUUGGGGGAGGAAAAUAAAAAAAGAAAAAUGGGGAAGAAAAAGUGGGGGGUCUUGGUGGGGUGUGGUGUUUGGGCAACCAAAAUAAAUAAAUAAAAUAAAAUAAAAUAAAUAAGUCAAGAAGAAUGGGAAAACAAAAAUGGGGGAUCCGACCGUGGUUGUUUGUGGAGUGAAAAAACUGGGAGAAGAGUUGAGAAAUGGAGAGAAGUUGGGGAGAUAGGGGCAGUCGACCACUAUGGGAGUAAGAGAGAAGAAGAAAAAAAAUCGAAGAGAUGAAAAAAAUGGAGAUGGCUCAUUGCUAUGUGGGUGUUUGAGGGGAGAUGUGGGCGUGUUGGAAGAAGAGAAAAUGUUGGAAGAAAAAAAAGAAUAAAGAUGCAAUGGGGGAAAAAUGGGAGUCGACCCACGUGAGAGUUAGGGGAGAGAGAAAAGAGUGGAAGAAUGGGGAAGGAGAAGAAUGGGGGGGCCGACCGGUGGGGAGUGUUGCAAAGAGAAAAGAAAAAAAAUUGGACAAGCUAUGGGGGUUGCCGUCCACCUUGCCUUGGGAAUAGGGGAGAAGAAAUAAAAAAAAUGAAAAAGAAAUGAUGAAGAGUGAAAAUGGAAAGCCUUUGGGCUCAAAAUUAAUGUAAAAAUAAAAUUUGGACAAAUUUUGGGGUCUACAAUAAUGCAAAAACUAUUUUGAAAAAUACUUUCUUAAAAAAUAUAUUAAUUUAAAUGAAUAAAAACUAUCUUUUACAUUUUAAAAGUAAAUAAUUUAAUGAUUAAAAUAAAUAUAUUCACUAUUUUCUUUUCUUUUAUACUAAAAAGCAUUUUAAUUUUUUUUUUUUUUUUUACUAUUCUAAACUAAAAGGUUUAAAUUUUCUUUUAAUCUCCUAUCUUCCUUAUUUUAAUAACUUUUGAACAUGACUUUUGGUAAUAAGUUAUAUAAAAUGUUUCAAGGAUUUUUCUAAAUUAUAUGAAUAUAUUCAAAUUUCACUUAAGGAAUUACUAUAGUGCCACAAAUUUCAUAAUUACAUGUUUUUUGCAUUAUCCGAUGGGACACACUAUCUCAAUCCCAUAAGAUAUCAUGAUGCCUCUAUUAAAAAUACUUGUUACCACCAGCAUCCAUUAAUAGUAACAUAAUCUAUAGGAAUAUAUGACUAUUUUAAGUUCUCACUCAUAUUUUAUACAACUCCUAAUACACCUAAAUCAUAUAUAAUGUAAGAGACAUAAGUUGAAUGCUCAAAUUAAUGUUAAUACACCAAAGAGAUAGCAAAGAGACAAUUAAGUCUAACUUUGUUACAUCAUGUUUUGCUUUUAAGGGUUCAAUUCCAAUAAACUUCCAUUAGCCCCAAAAAUAGACUAGGCAUCAUAGAAAGAUUCUGCUUCAAAAUCAAAUCAUCUUCCUCUAUUAUCUCACAAUAAAGUAACGCUUCUUUUUUAUGUGUUUCCUCUUCUAGUGGUACUUCAAUUCUUUAUAUUACACCACUGUGCCACUAUUAUUACAUAACAGGAUCUUAGAUAAUAUACCUAAGGGAACUACCCAUAAGCUAAAAUGCUUCCUUUGUUUCUAUAGAAGCAACAAAAACUACUUAGAGUGUACACAUGCCUAGAGGUAAACAUGCGAGAAUCCUUAUCAAAUUAAACGUCCAAUUCUCAGUACAAAAGGAGUACCAACUCAUCACAAAGACUCACAAACAUAUAAUAUAUCAUUCUCUAAAAACACAUAAGUAUAUGUUUGAUAUUCGCUCAAAGCUCUAAUAAGGAAAUUGACUAAUAUCCACUCAUUAUUCCUAAAGCAAAGAAAAUAUCUGGUCUAGGACAUAACAUUGCAUACUUAAGGCUACCCAUUGUAGAAGCAUAGGAUAUCACCUUAAUGAAAUAUCUUCCCACAAAUGUCCAAGUAUAUUGAUCUUGAGAAAAACGACUCUAAAUCCAAAAGGUAACAAACCUUCUUGAAGUUUUACAUCAUUUACUUGACCAAAUGCUCAUCAAAGUAGGUGAUUUGAUGCAGUUUUCUCAUUCUUGCAGUCCCAAAAUACCUUAACCUAAGAAUAUAUCACGUUUCUUUCUAGAUUUUCAUCUAGAAAUGGGUAGACUACUAGAUUUUAAUUGAUGAAAACAUCCCUACAUCAUAUCUAAUGAGUAGAUUAUCAUUUACUUACAAGAUCUUAGAGCAUCACCAUGCUUCCCGAUAAAUUCUUAUACACACACACAAGGCCUUUUGCUAUGAAAAUGUUUGAUUGUUGUAUCUCAUAAAUGAGACACACUGCGAUAAAUAAGAGUAAUUUGAUAGAGUUGAGUCUGACUAUUAUUGAAAAGGUUUUUUAUAAUUGAAACAAAGUUUCAAACUAUAACCUUUAGUUACAAUCUUAACCACAUAAGUCUCAAUCUAUCCAUCUACUCUAUGUUCUUCUUGUACACUAACUUACACCUAUGAGUUUUAUUCACUUUACCUAAUGAUUUUUCUAAAAAUACUUUAGGAAUUAUAUUUUUUUUUCAUAAGGAAUUUUUUUUUUUUGAAAAAAUAAUUUGGAAAUAAAAUUUUCUCUAGUAAGGAUUUUUUUUUUAAAUUCUUUUUUGGGAAUAUAUAUUUGAUUUUGACUUUAACGGUAAGUUGAGGAUGAAGCUAAAGUGUUAAUUUUUAACAAAUAAUAUUGGUAUUUAAAAAGUUUUAUUAAAUAUGAAAAUAAUUUUUGAGUAAGUCAAAGUAGAGUUUCCAUUAGAAACAAUAUUUUUUUGGCUUUGAUGUUAAGUUCCUUUAAACAAAAUUACCCAAAUAGACAUAGAACCUAUUAUUGAGCUUAAAAAAAAAAAAAAAAAAGUUUUUGACUUCCCAUAAAUUGAUCAAAAUAGGGCCCAAGAGUGAUAGAACAAUGGGUUUUAAAUUACAUCUCUAGCUAUGUUUGAUUGAUAACAAGUUUAAGAGAAAGAAAAAGAUUAAAAAAAAUUAUAAUUUAUUUUCCUUAUAGCAAAACCUUUAUAAAAUAAUACUCUUAAGAUGAAAAGAAAUUAUUCAUUUAGUGGGUUAUUAUAUGAUCGGCAUAUAUAUAAUUUAUUAAUUUGUCGAUAAAUACAUAUUUAUUAAUUUAUAAAGAGUAUAUAUGCUUUUAUUGAUUAAUACUUAUAAAUAUAAAAACAAUGGAUAUGGCAAAUAGUUAACACAUUAGAAGCCUAAGAAAGUAAAAAAAAAAUGGUUAUUAAUUGCAAAAGAUUGAAAGACUCCUAAAAACGAAAAUGCGAUAUCAAAACUUAGUAUCUUCAAAGAUAAAAGAGGUUUUAAGUAUGGAAUGAUUCGAGAAUUAGAGAAUUGAGAAAAAUGAAAGUUAUAAAAGUUACUAUAUAUAUAUCAUUAUUAAUUUAUAUUUUUUUUUGGGUCCUUGAGGACUUCUCAAAAUAUUAUUAUUUUAUACAUUUAGCGAGGUCUAUUAAUUUAAUAAAUUGACUUAUGUUAGGAUUAGAGGAUUUUAUUAUCUAAACAAGGUUAUUAAUUUAUCAAACAUUCAUUUAACAAGGUUUUAUUGCAUUCAAUUGUCCAUAAAAAAGGUUGAGGAAGAGAAAAUAAAUUUUUGAACAAUGCACUUUACUUUUCUUUCAUGGUAUAAAAAUAUAAGUAAAUUUUCUUUAUAAUUUUUUCCUUAGGACUUUGCAAGAACCAAAUAUCGCAUAGAGGGUAUAUAUUUUUAAUUUUAUUUUUCUAUUUUUUAUUUUUAUAUCUUUCCAUUAAUAAUCGUAGUUUUAAUUUUAUUUUUAUUAUUGAUGGUCUAUGAAUUUUAAAAUAUAAUUUUUUCAUUUAUAAAAAAAUUAAAAAUUAUCUUAAAUAAAACUAAUAUUUGAAACGUAUUUAUAUAAAAUUUAUUUAAAUUUAUUUAAAGAUUUUUUUAAAAAAAAAUUAUUAUAAACCCUCAUUUUUUUGUCAAGUUUUUUUUUAUUAUUUUUGGAGCCCUUUGCUGGUAGUAUGUUUUGGAGUGGGGGACGACUUCUAUGGUUUCCAGGUGAGCUACAUGCAUGGGACAUGUGCCAAGGACACCACCACCACACCAUGGUGGUGGUUGAGAUGGGGACUCCUUCUGAAUAGAUGACAAAGGAGUGGGUGGUGAGCAGUAAAGCUGGUGAAAGGUUGGAGAGGAAGAAAAAACCAAGCUGGGAAGUAAAAGAAGAGAGGAAGAAAGCUGGACGAGGGGAAGAUUUCGGGAAGGAAAACAGAGCAUGAGGGAGAAGGUUUUUCAGUAGGGUUUUUUUGGAAGAAAAAUGUGUAGCAGCUUGAGAGAAGGGUUAGAAGCGGAGAAGGAGUGUACGAGACUGUAAGAGAGAGCUGCAUGAAGGGAGUAGCACAUGUAUGUUUUCUAUAACCUACCUGUUCUUUCUUUUUCACAUGGUCUUGUUGGAUUUGAGUUUGUUUGCAUGCAUUUUUAUGCUUGAUUUCUAAUCUAUUUCCUUGGCCCUGUUUUGAGAUCCUAUAUGAAAUGCUUGCAAGAUUUCCAUUUGAAACCCAUUUGAACUCCAUUUUGGAUCUCUCUCCACUUCACAAUAGUAACAAAGCUACCAUUUCCCAUCAACCUAUUUCUCUUUCCAUCAUUGCCACUCUCUCACCUGAGCUUUGCACCCCCACCCAUCAUUUUCUAGCAUUCAGCUACAAUUAGUGGAUGUUUAGGCCAUGCCAAAAGCGAAAUAUAGAAAACGGAGAAGGACAGCCCAAGCCAAGCAACAAUUUUCUUCCUCACGUACCUCGUCGAAGUUGUCUUCAAGUUAAGAUGAUGUUUCAAUCCCGAGCGCUUCUCUCUACACUGUCGGUGAUAACCAGCACACCAUUUUCUUUUACCUUUCUCACGAAGUGAUCGACAACGCCAUUGAUGAGAACUCCAAGUUGAUCUCUCUUAAUUUGAAAUGGCUUGAGCUGCGUUUGAGAGAAGUUUGGCUCAAAACUUGCAUUUCGAGCUUUGAACCAUUUCGAGCCUUGAAAACUCCAUUUCCAGCUCUACAGGUUUCGGUGUAGCUGGAGAAGCAGGUUUGCAGUUGGAAAUUUGCAUCCUUUUGCGUUUUGCAUGAGCGUUAGCAGCCCUCACCACUGUUUUCUCACCAACUCAUUUCCUUUCUUUCCCAUGUACACGCCAUUCACAUGCAUGGCCACCUUAGCAUAUGUGACCAAUUGCCUUCCAGACUUCCAGCUUGCUGCUAAGUCUUUACAGGAUCAAAUGUUGUUAGACACCUUGCUGGUACCAUUUCUGAUGAGUGCUUUUCUGAUGACAACACUAUGCACGGUUGGAAAUAAUGUUAAUAGCCAUUAGUGCUGCAUAGAAUAUUAUGUUUCAUGGAAUAAGGCAAGUUUAAGGAGAUCCAUAAAGGUUGAAAAGGCUAUUUAGAAUCCCACUUUUGUGAAAAGUCUAGCGGAAAUUUGGUCCAAUGGAUUUUUCGGCAUAUAAAAAUGAAAUAUGAUUACCUCAAAUUGAUUACUUGCAACCAACUAUUGGGUAGUCUUCAGGACCAUCACAGCAGCUCCAACAUAUGUCCACACUGGCAAACUCAAGCUCGUGGAUCAAAGCAGCCACCUUCCAUCCUGAGCCCACACUUUGCAUGGCCACCUUUGGCAUGCAAUCUCACCACCACAUUUCAUCAUUUUAAUUCUUCAUAUUUUAAUACCAAAGUUUAAUUUUCCAAAUUUUCAAUUUUUAAAUUUAAUUUCCAAAACUUCUAUUUUCAAAUAGUUGUCCAAAAUUCCGAUUUUUAAAUAUUUUUCGAAACUUCAAUUCCUUAAUUUGAUCUUCAAAAAUUUAAUUUUCAAAACUCCAAUUUCUUUCAAAUUUAAUUUCCAAAACUCCAAUUCCUAAAUUUAAUUUUCAAAACUCCAAUUCUCAAAUAAUUUUCAAAAUUCCAAUUUCUUUCAAAUUUAAUUUCCAAAACUCCAAUUCCUAAAUUUAAUUUUCAAAACUCCAAUUCUCAAAAUAAGUUUCAAAAUUCCAAUUUCUUUCAAAUUUAAUUUCUAAAACUCCAAUUCUUAAAUUUAACUUUCAAAACUCCAAUUCUCAAAUAAUUUUCAAAAUUCCAAUUUCUUUCAAAUUUAAUUUCCAAAAUUCCAAUUCUUAAAUUUAAUUUUCAAAACUCCAAUUUUCAAAUAGUUUUCGAAACUUCAAUUUUCAAAACUCUAGUUUUCUUUCAAAUAAUUUUAAUUUCACUCCAAUUUUCAAAUAUUUUUUAAUUCUAUCACUUUUCAUCCUUCAUUAGGGUUUUAAGUCACUAAGAAUCCCGUUUUUUUUUUUUUAAAUAAACUUGUUACCUUUCCUUUCAGGUAAGCAUUUUUCUCAAAGUUUCUUUGAUUUUAAAAUAAUUUUUCGUUCUCCUUUAUUUUUAUUAAGUAUGAAUGAAUUUUCGUAACUCCAGAAACAAUGGAAUUUAUGAGAUUAAUUCAUGCAAAAUCUAUUGGGCUUUGGUGGGAGCCCUAUAGAUGAGCUCCCUCUUUCAAGUGUCAAUUGUUAUGCUUAACGAAUAUUAUCUGAUCUUUGUUCUUGCUCUUUGAUAUGUAUACGAUAAUUUUGUGUUUGAGCUAACCUUGUUUCCAUGAUAGCGUUUUAUUAUCUACUGGUAUGCUCUCACUCUCACUUUGUUUAUUUAUUCAUUAUCAUGACUUGCUUUUGAUCUAUGAUCAUUUUGGUAUCCAUCAAUCUCCUAGUUAAUUGUCAUGUUUGCCUCACUUUAUUUAGUAAAGGCUCGUUUCUAAUGGGCUUAAAGGGGUGUUAUGGUCUUUACCGUACCUUUCCAAUAAGUAACCUGACCCCCGAACCUAGGUUUGGUUUUUCACAGAUCUUUUUUUCCAAAUAAUGAGUCACACUUAGGGUUCUCUUUCUUAUUUUGUUUUUCCUUUAAAAAUAAAACAAAAAUAUGUGGUGACUUCAAGUCAUUAUCUAAAAAAAUAAUUCAUUUUCAAAUAAAAAACGAGUUUCGUCAUUGAAUAGGAAUGUAUAGUGCGAAAUACGGGGUCCAUAAUAUAUAUGUCCUAACAUUAUGAUUGGGAAAAAAAUAUAUUUAUACAAGAUUUAUUUAAAAAUUAUCUUAAAGGAAACAAUAUUUUUUUUGUGAAAAAAUAUAUCUCAUAAUAUGGUGACUAAUAUAGGUAAAAUGGAAUUAUAUAAGAUUUAUUUAGUAUAAAAUUUAUAUUGUUGUAACUUGCAAUAUAAAAAUACAAAUUUUCACUCCCAAAAUUUGAUAUUUUACUCUGAAUAUAUCCAAGUCCGCUUCCAAUAGUUGAAUAACAUUUUAAAUGAGAUGUCAAAUGCUCCCAUAACCAACUAAAGAGGUUGAAUCAUAAAUGGAGUAGUAUUUUGAAUUUUUUAAUCAUUAGUGUAGUUAAAUAGUUUUUUAUCUUUGGAUUACUUAUAAAAUUAUAUAUUACUACAAUCUAAAAAAUAUUAAUUAUAUGUUAUUUUAAUUUUACUCUUAUUUAGUAUAUUAUAACCAUAUUGUCUUCUAUAAAUGAAUUCAUAGUAUAUGUUCUCGUUAACACUGGAUCUUGUUAAAUACUUCUAUUCUGAAGAUAUAUAUAACUCAAUCUUACUCAACUUAAAUCAUAGCAUUGUGAUAAAAUAAUGAUGAUAUAAACAAUGUCGUAAUUCUGUCCAACCAAUAUUCAAGUUCUGCCCUCUAAUGUGUAGUUAAAUUUCUAUAUAAUAAUAAUGAAUUAUUAUAUUUAAUGUGUAAAAAAAUCAAAUAUAAUUCAAUUUAAAAAAAAUAUACAGAUUUUUAUAUUAUUUAAUCUUUAUAUAUAUAUAAAAAAAGUGAAAUAAGUUUAAAGAAGUAUGUAAAAAAUAAUUUAUUUACUUUAAAUUUAUUUUCUAUUUUCCUUCUUUUUUUUUUCUUUCCUUUUAUUUUUUUCUCACCAUUGUUGUCUCUCACAUUUUCCUUCAAAUUUUUCAAAAACAUAGCAUGGCCUUAGGCUAUGUUUGGUUGUUAGGAAAUUUGAAGAAAAAUGUGAGAGAAAGAAAAUAGAGAGGAAAAGUGGAAGAAAAGAAAAAGUUAAGGAAAAUAAAAAAUAUAUUUAAAUUUAAUAAAUUAUUUUAACAUGUUUUUUCAAAUUCAUUUCAUUUAUUUUUCUCAAAGAUUAAAUCAUUUUAAAAUAUAUAAAUUUUUAAUUAAUUUUAAUUAUAUUUGAUUUUUUUUUUCAUAUUUUUCAUAGUAAAACUAAAAAUGAAAAAAUCAAUUUCUUUUAUGUUAUGUUUGGUUCAUAAAAAAACACUAAAGAAAAGAAAAAAAAAUGUUAAAAAAAAUUAUUUUCUCAUAAUUAUAUUAUGAAAAAGAAUUAAAGAAAAUCAAAUAUAACUAAAAUUAGUAAAAAAAAAACUUAUAUAUUUUUAAAUUAUUUAAUAUUUAUAUAGAAGAGUUCAAAUAAAUGAAUUGAGUUUGGAGUAGUAAAUAAAAAUAAUUUAUUGAUUUUAAACCUAAUUUUUAUUUUUCCUUCAAAUUUUUUUUCUUCUACUUUUUACUUUUAAGAGCCAAGUAUAAUCAUAAAGUUUUUGUAAUCAUUCCUUUCUCAAAUUUAUUUCUUGCACCACUUAUAUUUUCCUAAUAGUAUAUUAAUCAAGAAGAAAAAAAAAUGUUAUUUUUCAUAUUGGUGGAAAGUCUUGAAAUACAAAGUGAGAAAACAAAAAAAAAAUGAAGAAGCUGGGAUGUAAAACAUUUUAAGAGUAACUUUAUUAAAUAUUUAAAAAAAAAUUAAUGUGAAAUUUUGAUAAAAUUUUUUGUACUCCACGUGGUCUAAUACCAUUAAAAGUUUGUACCAUGUUGGUACGAUGGAUGUACCUUCUCCCUUUGAAAAUUGAUUGGAGACUUUCCUUCCUCCAAUCAUGAAGCAAAUUCUUUGAAGCUUCAGGCCAAGAAAAGACCAUUCAAAGAAUACGUUUGACUAAGCUACACGGCUUGGAAUUGAUCAAACUCAUCAGAAUUUUUAAAAGUACACAAAAGCGUAGCCUCCUAUAAAUGUGUCCAACCGUCCAUGGUUGUAUCACAGCUUAGAAAGAAAAGAUGGUAAGUUCGAUGGCAUUUUGUGUUGGCAGUGGCGGCGUCGAUGGUCAUGGUGGUGGUGGUGGUGGUGGCGGUGGAGGAGAGCAAGUGGACACGGUGGCUCUGACCCGUAAGUCGCUAUUCUUCCUUUGCAUGUCCGUUACACUGUUGGUGCUAGUGGUGGCGAUAGUGGUGCCGUUGAUGAUUUGAGGGAGGAUGAUGGUGGUGGUGGUGGCACCGGCUGCGGCGAAAUGUAUAAUCAUUCUUUUCAUAUCGAAGUUUAUAAAUAGCAUGGAUGUAUAUGGAUUCUUUGUAGGAAUAGUGUAAAUAAUUUUUAUUUUUAUUUUUGAAAAGAGUCAUAUUGGAAAUUAUUUUUAUUUUAUUUUAUAUUAUUAGUGUUUUGUUUUUUUUUUUGAAGAAUCCUAUUAGGAUUGUGCUAGUGGAGUCUCAUUCCUCUUACAAGUAAAAUCCCCUUCCACUUUGAGUAUUGUUUUGAUUACAAAUAUAUUCUCGUUGGGACUUUGUUAAUGGUCUAUAAAAGCAGGUCACUCCUCACUCUUUAUAUAUGAAUACCAAUUUUUCAGAGAGUUUUUCAAGGGGUAUUUUCAUACAUCUAUCUGGAUGAAUUUUUUCAAAACCCGAGUUGUACACAUCUCACUUAUAGAGUGCACCCAAUAUGAGAUCUGACUGUUGAAUUCUAGAGGUAAACCACUGGUGUCCUAGUGCAACGAGUUCGUUUUUGAGGAUGGUAGAUCUAUUUCAAGAAUAGUGUUUGUCACGCCUCAACCGACAAGUUUUUCUUCUUAUUCAUUAUGUUAUUUGCUUGUAUCUUUUGGGCUAGUCUUUUGUUUCCAUACCCUUAAAUCCAACAAUCUUGAAAUAAAUCCAAAUGGAAGCUUCCCUAGUUCACACCCGUCCUAACACCUCUAAAAUUGAUCCCUUCAACGAGACAUUCUUUAAGAGACGACAAGAAAGAGUUUUCUCUACAAUUCAUAUAGUGAAUUUGGGACACAUUUUGACUGACCUAAAACAUUUGAUGCAAUGUUGGUAAGUUCAAGAGUACCCUUGAACUUGUGGGGGGAAGCAAUCCUAUCCACAUGUUAUAUUUAAAAUAUAAUACCUUACAAGAAAUUCCUAGGUUUUAAGUUUGAAAUGAAAGACCUAGGAAAGGCAGAGGUGAUUCUAGGAAUUAAAAUAACUAGAACACCCAAUGGGCUUAAACUUUCUCAAGAGCACUAUGUUGAAAAAAUCCUAAGGAAGUUUGAACACCUUGAUUGUAAACUAAUGUCAACUCCUUAUGAUCCCAGCUCACAACUGAAGAAAAAUAGAGAGCAUAGUGUUGCCCAAAUAGAGUUUGCUCAGAACAUAGGGAGCCUAAUGUACUUAAUGAACUGUACCAGACCUAACAUUGCUUAUGUAGUAGGUAGAUUGAGUCAGUACACCUAAAGUCCUAAUCAGGACCAUAGGAUUGUUGUUCUUAGAGUUCUUAAGUAUUUGAGAGGCACCAUUAACUAUGGAUUGUGCUUUAAUGGAUUUCCAAGUGUCCUUGAAGGAUUUAAUGAUGCAAAGUGGAUAUCAGAUUCAGAUGAGAUGAAAUCCACUAGUGGAUAUGCUUUCAUACUUGGUGGAAAUGAAGUUUCUUGGAAGUCUACUAAGCAAACUUGCAUUACUCGGUCUACUGUGGAGGUUGAGUUUAUUGCCUUAGAAAAGGCAAGUUCUGAGGCUGAGUGGCUUAGAAACCUCUUAGCAGAUAUCCCUUUAUGGACUAGACCAACCUCGUUCGUGUCUAUGCAUUGUGAUAGUCAAGCUGCAAUUGUUAAGGCUAAGAGUAAAAUAUUUAAUGAGAAUAACAGGCAUAUACGCCAAAUGCACAAUAUUGUGUGGCAACUGCUUGAAACAGGGGUUAUGUCCCUAGAAUUUAUGAGGUCAGAGUUGAAUUUGGUCAAUCCUUUGAUCAAACCACUAAAUAAGAAACUAGUGGAAGAAACAUCGAGGGGGGUAGGGCUUAUGCCUAUUACAGAAGUCAAGAGUGGUGGUAACCCAACCUAUUAGAAUGGAAAUUCCAUGAAGUAGGUUCAUAUGGGUAAUAACAAAUCACUUGUUGACUUGAGGUGUUCUAUGAACUCUAAUUGUACAAAAGUCUAUCCCUAUGGUGUAGAGGUUGAGUGUUUACUCUUAAUGAGUACUAUAUUCCUUAUGGAUGGUAUGUUUAAAUGCAGAACAUACUUGAUGGAUUCACCUAUAUGAGAGUGAAGGUGGGGUCACUUCCUAUGAGAACUUAGGUAGCUUCUCUAGAACUGUCAUGAAUAUCCAGGUAGGGCGCAUGGCCCAUUUGUGCUAACCCAUUUUGCACAGCUCGUAGUGAAGUUAAGAAAACCAAUGUGGAUAAAAGUCCCUUGAGUUACAUCAACAACACUGGUUCAUAGAAAUUUAUUUUCAUCGUGUUUUGUGAUUCAAUACUUAUUUGUCCUAAAACUGGUUCAUAGCCUUUGGGCACCAGUAUUGAUGCAUUGGAUUCUUUUUUCCUCCAAAAAAAAAAAAAAUACAUUUACACUCUGUGGGGGAUUGUAGGAAAAGUGUAAAUAAUUUUUAUUUUUAUUUUUGGGAAAAGUACUAUUGGGAAUUAUUUUUAUUUUAUUUUAUUCUAUUAGUGUUAUAUUUUUGGGAAGAGUCCUAUUGGGAUUGUGCUAGUGGAGUCUCAUUCCUUUUAUAAGUAGAAUCCGCUUCCACUUUGAGUCUUAUUCUGAUUACAAGUAAAUUCCCAUUGGGACCCCUCACUCUCUAUAUAUGAAUGCCAAUUUUUCAGAGAUUUUUUCAGAGUUUUUCGGGGAGUAUUUUCAUACAUUUAUCUGGAGGAAUUUUUUCAAAACUCAAGUUGUACACAUCUCGCUUACAGAGUGCAUCCAAGGCAAGAUUUGGUUGUUGAAUCUUGGAGGUAGACCGCUGGUACCCUAAUGCACCGAGUUCGUCUUCGAGGAGGGUGGAUCUAUUUUAAGGACGGUGUUUGUCACACCUCAGCCGAUAAGUUUUUCUUCUUAUUAAUUCUAUACUUUGUUUGUGUCUUUUGGGCUAGUCUUUUGUUUCCAUACCCUUAAAUCCAACAUUUUUUGCAUUUUUUUUUCUUUUCAUAAAUAGCAUGUUAGAAGUUUUUCAGCUUUCAUACCAAAAUAAAAAGAGGUUAGGGCAUGUUUGUUAAUUGUGUUAGAAAUAGUUCUUUAUAUUUUAAUUCAAAAAUAUAGAGAAACGUAUUUGAUAAUCAUAAAAUAUUUUCUAUUCUUAAAAAUGAAAAUCACCGAAAAAUAUGAUAUUUCUAAUAACAUGUUUUAGUCAUUUUCACUUUUUUUUAGAAUUGUUUUAAAAAAUAAUAAGAUAAAUAUGAAGUUUGGAGAUUGUUUUAAAAAUAAUAAGAUAGAUAGAGAUGAAGAGUAAUUGAAAUGGAGCAAGGAAACAAGUAGUUUUCAAUCCAUAUAUACCCAAGAAAACAAGAAAAUAAUGUAAAACAUUCUUUUACAUUUAAUGUGUAUUUGGUAAAUCAAUUGAAUAAUUUAAAGUGACUUAAUAACUUAAAUUAAACAUGUUUGAUAAAAUAACUUUAUUGCAUGACUUACAAUAAAAAAUAACUUUAAGUAAUAAUUAAAUGUCUACAGUUUCAUUUUAUCUAUUUACUUUAUUUGCCGUAAUUAUCUCUACGAUCUCCUUUACUACUCCACAAACCUCAUUGUCACUUAAAAUUUUUUGCCUUAGUUAUAAUUUAUGAUGAUAAAUAUAUCAAUUUGAUGGUUUAAAAUAUAUUUUAAAUUAUUAAAUAACCUUAAUACUUAAAGUAAGAAUUAAGUAAUAAUUUUUAAAUUAAUAAUUUAAAUAUAAUUUAAUUUAAAGUCAAUUUAAGUCAAUAAUAAGUAUUAAGUUUUACCAAACACCCCUUUAAUAUCUCAUUCUAACUUAUCUACAUCUAUACAUGGAGAUACGUGUUCCAAACCCUCAGGUAUUCAAGAAAAGAGUCAAUUAUCCAUUCUUCAUUAAUUAAAAAAUAUAGAAUAAAAUACAAAAAAUUAACUAAAAUAUUCCUCAACAAAAACAAGUUUAUCAGACAUCCAUGGCUAGAGUAUGUUAAAACUAGGGUUUUUUUUUAAUUAGAGUAACUUAUUGUAGUUUAAAAGAGUGGUCAAAGUAGGCACAAAGCGAGAUUAAAUACUAAUUGUGAUUUGGAGGUGCUUUCAAAAAAUGAAAGAGUAUUAAAAUGUCAUAAAAUUAGGGAAAAAAUAUACGGAUACACCAAGCAUGAGUUCAUGAGAUGUUGUAUUGGCUUCCAAGCAUGUACAAUCUUCCACAUUAGAAAGAAAUCAACCAUGACUGUGAGUCCUUCUCAAACUAAAUGGAUUUAAAGAAUAAUCAAGAAAUACUCUCUUACACAGAUAGAUAAAGGUUGGUUUCGACUACAAUCUUAACAUAAAGUUCUCAUAUGGCUAUCUUUAUACUAGUUUUGAUAGUCUCUUUUGAGACCUUAAUGUUAAAAGCAAUGUUUAAAGUUUAAACUCAACUUUUAAGAGCGUAUGAAUGGAACUUUCAAUCUUGAGUAUGAUAUUUCUAGAUUUAAUUUAUCUAUAUUUUAAAAAGGUUAAAGAAAAAAAAAACCAACCUUACGUUUUUUUUAUCAAACAUAAUGAGAGUAAUAGAUUUUAUUUAAUUUAUUUUUUAAAAAUAUUAUCUAAUUUAUCUUUAUCUUUAUCUUUAAUAAAAAUAUUUUUAAAAUACAGUUUUCAAGCAUAAAAGUCAAUUAUGGUGCAAUACUGAUUACAACCUCAGUGCAAUAAAAAUUUAGGUGUUUAGUAAAUCAAUUUAAUAACUUAAAGUGAUUUAAUGACUUAAUUUAUUUCAAUCUUAAUUUUUUUAAAUAUAAUUUUAUAUUUAAGUAAAAAUAAAUUAACUAUUUUGACUUAAUACUUAAAAUUAUUUUUAACUUUAAGUUGUGAUAUUAAAUUAUUUUAAUAAAUAUAUUUAACCUAUUUAACUAUUUAAAUUAAGUUAUUAAGUCAUUAAAUUAUUUUAUCAACCCAACCUCCAAAUAGACUUUUGUCAUUGCACACCGGAUUUGAAUCUUUGGAACUUCUUUGAAACUUCCAAAUAGGUCGAAAGAAUUGAGAUUGUUAAUACAAGGAAAGAUUAUUCAAGGUUUGAGGAAGCAACAUGGCUUAAGAUUCAAAUCAAGAAAAUUAUAUGAAAAUAAUGAAGUAUAAAACAAAAUAAAUACAAGUUUUUGAAUUAUCAUUAUUUUAAAACAAAGAGAAAAAAAAAAGUGAAGAAGCUUGAUUGUAAAAUAUUUCAACAGAAAUUUUUUAAUUAAAUAAUUUUUAAAACUUAAAUUUUUAAUAUAAAAAUCUUACAUUAAAAUUUUUUAUUCCUCGUGGUCUAAUACCAUAUCAAAAGGUUGUACCAUACUGGUACGAUGGAUGUACUUUCUCCCAUUGAAAAUUGAUCUAAUUGAAGAAGAUAAAGACACGAGACUUUGUUCCUUCAAUAUCAUGAAAAGUCUCCUCUCUCUCUCUCUCUCUCUAAUUGACGAGGGUUUUCUCAUGACAAGAAAUGUAAGCUACACCUACACGGCUUGGAAUUGAUCAAGCCCAUCAAAAUUUUGAUAAUGACGCCAAGAAUGCGACCUGUGAAUGUGUCCAAUCUUCUAUGGUUGUAGCAUAGAAUAUUAGAAAGAAAAGAUGGCAAGAGGUUUGAUGGCACUAGAUGGUGGUGGUGGUGGUGGUGGUGGUAGUGGUGGAGAGCAUUUGGGCACGGUGGCUUCAAGCUCUGGGGCGGCCCUGUUCUUGCUUUGUAUGAUCAUUAUGUCCCUCUCUAUUAUUUCCAUAUAUGGUCAUAUUUGGUGGUGUUAGUAAGGCUUCUACUUCAGCUCGCAAGGAAAAAGAGGUGGUGAUGAGGGUGGUUCGAGAUGGUCAGGGUGGUGAGGGUAGUGAUGGUGGUGGUGUUGGUGAUGGUGGUGAGAGUGGUGGUGGUGGCGGUGGCGGUGGUGGUGAUGGUGGUUGCGGUGGUGAAGACAAUUGUAGUGGUUGUUUUUCUCUUUGUUGUGGAGAUGGUGGAUGUUUUGACUGUUGUUGAGCAGAUGGUUGUGGUGAUGGCGGAUAACCAUCACGUUCUCAGCAAGGGCAGCAACUGCACCGAUUGAAUCCCACCAGAAUGCAUACGUUAUUUAGUUUUAUUUUAGAAUAUCAAGGUACUACCAGUAUAAAAGCGUUAUCCAAAUUUAUUUUUAAAAACUAUUUUUUAUUUUUUAACUUAAAAAACAAAUUUAAGAAAACAUGAUCAAUUUAAACUCAUGUUUUUCUUUUAUUUUUAAAAAUGGUUAAAAACGAUUCAACUAUUUUUCUAAAAAUUAUUCUCUAUUUAACUUUAUUUUAAAAAAUUAUUUCUAAAAAAUAAUAGUUAAAUAAUAUUAUAAAUUUUUAAAUAUAUAAAGUUGUUUUUAAAUCACACGGAUAGACUUUAAUUUUAUUAAAUUAUUAUUACUUAAAAAAAUGUGAAAAAGAAUCUUUAAUGAAUUUUAUUUUGUAGAACUUUCUAAUCAAGCAAGAAACGAUUUUGUUGAAUAAGAAUUUUAAUGGUAACCACAUGAAACAAAAAAAAAAUUGUUUUUAAAAUAUUUUAUAAUUUCUCACGUGAUUUCAAUUUUCUUCAACAAAGAAAAAAAGGUUUUUUAUAAUAAAAAAAUUCAAUUUGAAUUUUCAAAUUUAAUGUUAUGUCAAUGUUUUAAAUUUUUUUUAUUUUUAUGUAGCUGCUUUAAAUUGACGAUUGGAAGUGAAUAAAAAAAAUUAUUUUUCUCUUAUUGUCUAUUUUUUUAUAACUAUUAAGAAUGGGAUUCGCUAAAUAAUUUUCAAAUACCUGAGAAAUAGAAAAUAAAAUAAAAUAUCUCGUCUUAAGUAUCAUUUAUUCAUCACAUGAGCCUAAUUUUGAAUUAGAGGUUCAUUUCGAUUUAUUAUUUUUAUUUGUCUAAUUUUAAUUAUAUUUGAUUUAAUUUUAUAAUAUUUUAUAGUGAAACCAACUAUAAGAAUAUUUUUUUAUAUAAUUUUACUUUUUCUUUCUUUAGAUAUACUUUCUAGAAUAAGAAAUAACAAUAUGUGCGAAAAAAAAGAAAGAAUUUUGAUUAAAAUUUUUCUUUAAUAUAAGAUUAUGUUUAAUCAUGUGAUUUAAAAACAGUUUUUUGUUUUUAAAAAUAAAAAAUUAUUUUAAAAAAAAUUUAAUACCGUUUUACUAUUGUUCUUUAGAAAUAAUUUUUAAAAAUAAAGUGAAAUAGAAAAUGACUUUUAAAGAAUAAUGAGGAGCUUUUGUUAUCUGUUUUUAAAAAUAAUAGGAAAACAUGAGUCUAUUUAAUAAUGUUUUUUGAAAUUUGUUUUUAAAAAUAAUUUUUAAGUUAAAAGAAUAAAAAAUAAUUUUUAAAGGAGGAAACAUUAACAUACCAACAGUAAAAUUUUCACAAGUACGCUUGACAAUCACAUGGUCCAAUUCCAUUAAAAAUUGUAGCGGCUUGGUAAGAUGGAUGGACUUCCUAGUUUUGAAAACUAAUCAAUGUAACAAACCUUCAUCCCCAAGUAUAUAGACGCAGGGGCCUUGGAAUUUUCUUUGAAGCUUAAGAUUAAUAAGAUUUUUUAGGACAAAGAAAAACUAUUCAAACGCUAAGGUUGAGUGAGCCACACGACUCAUCAAAAUUUUGAAAAUUACACCUAGCCUGACCUUAGCCUAUAAAUAUGUCCAAUCUUCUACAACUAUAGCAUAGAUUAGAAAGAAACGAUGGCAAGAGUUUUGAUGGCAGUAGGCGGUGGAGGGGAAGUGGGCAUGAUGGCUUCGAGCUCUGGGGCUCUCUUUUUGCUUUGCAUGGUCGUUAUGUCCCUCUCAAUUCUAUCCAUGGUCAUAUUUGCUUGCGGUGAAUCUUCUAGUACUCCACAUCCCAAGAAAAGACGCCAUGGUGGAGGUGGAGGUGGAGAUGGUGGUGGUUGUGGAGGUGGCGGUGGAGGUGGAGAUGGAGGUGGAGGUGGAGGUUGCUGAAGAAAAAGCAAAAUAGUUUUUACUCAAAAUAUCCUACAAAUGUCAUAGAAUGGCCUUUUUCUUAUGAAAUAAACCUCAAAAUUAUUGUCUUCAAUGUUAGAAUCCAUGUGAGCAAGUCCUAGUAGAGGUCGAUGUAUUUGUUGGUAUUUUCUUUGUAUUGAACAUUAUUUAAUAAUAUAUAUAUGAUUGUCUUUAUCUUCUGUUUCCUUUUUAUAAAUAGCAUGAAUGUAAACAAGAUUUCAUCUUUUACAAAGUCCCUUUGACAACCGCAUGGUCCAAUACCAUUAAAAACUGUGGCAGCUUGAUAAGAUGGAUGGACUUCUUCCUAGUUUUGAAAAUGAAUCAAUUUAACAAACCUUCAUCCCCAGUAUAUAGACAAGAGGAUCAAGACCUGAGAUUUUCUGUUCCUUAUCAUGAAAAGUCAGCAUCAACAGCCAUUGUUUCUUCAUAACUUGCCGACCUCUCAAGCUUGAGAUAAAAAAAUCAAAUUUUCUUUAAAGCUUCAGAUUGAGAUUAGCAAGAUGUCUUGAGGACAAAGGAAACUUGAGUGAGCCACACGGCUUGGAGUUGACAAAAAAAAUCAAAAUUUUAAAUGUCCCAUCUUCUACAACUGUAGUAGAAAUAAUGGCAAGAGGUUUGAUGGUAGAAGCCUAGAAGGCGGUUGAGGAGAAGUGGGUAUGAUGGCUUCAAACUCCCUUACAGGUCUGCAUGGUGGCUAAAGGAUUGAAAUUUCGGUGUAUGCGUAAUUGAAUUUUACGCGUAUAUAUAUAUAUAUAUAUAUAUAUAUAUAUAUAUAUAUAUAUGUAUCGAUCAAAUAAAAUUGAUUUAAAAUUUAUGAAAGUGUUUAAAAAAAUAAUAAAAUAAAAAAUAAUAUAUAUAUUAAAAUUAUUUUAUAAAUAUAAUUACCAUAAAUAUAAUUAAAUAUAAUAUUUAUCAAAUUAUUAUAAAAAAAAAAUUAGCUUUAAUUUCUUUAAUAUAUUUAUAUUCAUUUAUUUUAAAAUUUUAAAAAUAUUUUUAUUAAAAUAUGUUUUAUUAUAUUUUAAUUUUUUAUAAAAUAUUUUAUUUGAGAUUUAAUUUUUAAAAUUUCAUUAUAAAUAUCUCGGGACAAUUUUUCUAUUAACAUUAAUUUAUUUAAAUAAUAAAAAUUAUUAAUAAUUUAUCUUAUCAAAUUAAUUUCACUUUAUAAAAUAUGAUAAUUUUAUUAUUUUUUUUAUAUUGUGGUAAUUUUUUAAAUAAAAUUAUAUUUUUAAUAUUUUAAUAUAAAAAUAUUUAAAAUUAAAUAAAAUUAAAAGGAUAAAUAAAAAAAUUAAGAGUGAAGUGAUAGUAAUUUUUAAAAAUAGAAUUAAUGAGAUAAAUAUGAAAAGUAGUUAAAAAUAAAAAGAUAAUAUAAAAUAAAAUGAUAAUAUAAAUUUAAAAUAAAAUAUAAAUUUAAAAUAAAUAAUUUAAAAAUCAAAGAACUUGGUAAAUAUUAACAAAAAAAACUUGGGUUUCUUGAAAAGUCUCAAAAAUAAUUGCUCAAAAUUGAACAAUUUUUUUGGGAAAAAACCUCCUCCACGUGUGUUUUUCGGCAAAAUUUGAGUUUUUUUUAUAGCGAAAUUUCAAUUUUUACUGAAAUAUCGGCUAUAUUGUCAUAUUUCCCAUUUUUUUGGCAACAAACCUCCGAUAUCUAAUUUCGUCGAUAUUUCAAUGAAAUAUCCCGAAAUUUCAAUCCUUAAUCCCUCUCAAUUCUAUCCAUGGUCAUAUUUGUUUGUCAUAGUCAUAGAGGAGGUGUAGGAGGAGGAGGCAGACAUGAUGGAUCAUGGAGAUGGAGGAGUUGGUUUUGGAGGUGGAGGCAUUGAUCUUGGAGGUGGAGGCGGUGAUUAUGGAGGGGGAGAUUUGGGAGGUCAAGGCAUUAAUAUUGGAGGUGGAGGCAUCGGUUUUGGAGGUGGUGGUGGUGGUUGUGGAGGGGGAGGGGUGGUGGUGGCUUUGGAGGUGGGGUUUUCUAAAGAAAAAGGAAAAUAGUUUUUACUCAUAAUAUCCUAUAAAUGUCAUAGAAUGACAUUUUUAAUAAAAUAAACCUUGAAAUUCUUGUAUCAUAGAGAUGAUAAUCUUGUCAAAAAUAUAUGUAAAAGAAAAAAACUCUCAUAUUCAACUUGAUUCAUUGUUAGUCCAUGUGAGCAAGCCGGUCGAGGUUGAUGUAUUUGUUGAUAUUUUUUUUUAUUGAAGCUUAUAAAUGGUAUAUAUCAUCUCUUAUUUUUUGUUUCCUUUUUAUAAAUAAUAUGGAUAUAAUAGAAGUUUCGCCAUUUUUUUUUCCUAAGUUAAAUGUUUUAUACUAGUAAAAAAAACCGAUAAAUGUUCAAUCGGGCACAAAAUGACAAGAGAACAAAUUUUAAGCAUUCCUAGAAGUGCUCAUAGACCAUUUAAUUUUUCCUAUUCCAAAAUUUUAGUUGGAUUAAUGUUAUGAUCCAAAUUAGAGAUGUGAUCUUUAAUUGGUUGUAUAUUUCACAUUACUUAUAAGAUAAGAUUAUUGAUCAUACUUUUAUUCAAGUUCUUCAAGACAAAAAUGGAGUCCUAGCAUUUUACAAACCAUUACUUUGUGUGUAUUAAUAAGAAGGUUUUGUUGAAGUAUAUAAAUUCAUUUUUGCCUCCAUUAAUGCUUAAUUAGUUGAGAACAUUCAUAAUGUUGAAUGAACACUUCUAAAUAUAUAUGCCAAAGAUCAAGUAUAAGGAGUUGAUUGUAAUUUUAAAAUCCUAGUUGGUUGGGUAUCAAACCACAAAAAAGUGAUUUUAGAUGUAAAGGAAAACAAAGGUGUUGAAGAUAAUAAGACCCCUUAGACUCCCUUUUUCUCUCAUGGAUGCUCUCAGUUGGAAAACAAACACAAUUUAAUUAAUCUAAUACUUCAAUUUAGGAGUUAAACCUUCUUGUGAAAUCCUUAAAGCCCUCACAAUCCAUUUGUUUGCUAAAUUAAUAGCUCAAUAAUACAAGCACAAAGUCAAAAUAGCUCUCACAACUACCCUCAAAAGGACCCUAAACUCCAAUUUUAAAGUAUCAAGACAUGAUAUUCUAAUUAAAAAUAGAGACAUUCAACUUACAAGUUGAAUAAAUCAUUAAUUAUCUAAGAUUUGAUGAUUAUUUCAUGGGCACAAGGGAGGUCUUAAAGACCCUUCUGUCCAGCCUAUGCGCUCCUCAAAAGAUAUGAAAAUUGAAUGAAAAUGAAGACUAAAAAAAAAAAAAGGGCACAAGGAAACCAUUAUUAAAAACUAAGAUUAAAGUUCAAUAUUAUAUUAAACUAAAACUUAAAAAUAAGUGCAUCUAAGUAUAAUCAAUGGAAAGAAGCUUGAGAGAUUACAAAACAAUUAAAAGGAGCAAAAACAAGAUAAAAAUUGAAGUUAUAGCAAGUCCCAAGCUUGGAGGGUUGAAAAAGAGCUCCCACCAAGGGUCCUCCUCCAAAAUCCAUUUUUCAACUACGAAAUCUCUUUAAAUAAUACCAUGUGAGUGCAUUGAAAACAAGAUAGGAGAUCUAAUGGUGGCUUUGAAAAAGUCCAAAAAUAUGAGUCCCACACGUUCUUGGAGUUCUAGAACAAAUUAACGACGGUGCUAGAGAAAAUGGCACACUUGAAAAUUGAGAUUAGCAAGAUGUCUUGACGACAAAGGAAACUUGAGUGAGCCACACGGCUUGGAGUCGACAAAAAAAAUCAAAAUUUUGAAAAUUACACUAAGCCUGGACCUAGCCUAUAAAUAUGUCCCAUCUUCUACAACUGUAGUAGAAAUAAUGGCAAGAGGUUUGAUGGUAGAAGCCUAGAAGGCGGUGGAGGAGAAGUGGGUAUGAUGGCUUCAAACUCCCUUACAGGUUUGCAUGGUGGCUAAAGGUUUGAAAUUUCGGUGUAUGCGUAAUUGAAUUUUACGCGUAUAUAUAUAUAUAUAUAUAUAUAUAUAUAUAUAUAUAUAUAUAUAUAUAUAUAUCGAUCAAAUAAAAUUGAUUUAAAAUUUAUGAAAGUGUUUAAAAAAAUAAAAAAAUAAAAAAUAAUACAUAUAUUAAAAUUAUUUUAUAAAUAUAAUUAACAUAAAUAUAAUUAAAUAUAAUAUUUAUCAAAUUAUUAUAAAUAAAAAAUUAGCCUUAAUUUCUUUAAUAUAUUUAUAUUCAUUUAUUUUAAAAUUUUAAAAAUACUUUUAUUAAAAUAUGUUUUAUUAUAUUUUAAUUUUUUAUAAAAUAUCUUAUUUGAAAUUUAAUUUUUCAAAUUUCAUUAUAAAUAUCUCGUGACAACUUUUCUAUUAACAUUAAUUUAUUUAAAUAAUAAAAAUUAUUAAUAAUUUAUCUUAUCAAAUUAAUUUCACUUUAUAAAAUAUGAUAAUUUUUUUUAUAUUAUAGCAAUUUUUUUAAUAAAAUUAUAUUUUUAAUAUUUUAAAAUAAAAAUAUUUAAAAUUAAAUAAAAUUAAAAGGAUAAAUAAAAAAAAAUAAAAGUGAAGUGAUAAUAAUUUUUUAAAAUAGAAUUAAUGAGAUAAAUAUAAAAAGUAGUUAAAAAUAAAAAGAUAAUAUAAAAUAAAAUGGUAAUAUAAAUUUAAAAUAAAAUAUAAAUUUAAAAAUCAAAGAACUUGGUAAAUAUUAACAAAAAAAACUAGGGUUUUUUUAAAAGUCUAAAAAAUAAUUGCUAAAAAAUGAACAAUUUUUUUGGGAAAAAACUCCUCCAGGUGUGUUUUUCGGCAAAAUUUUAGUUUUUUUUUAACGAAAUUUCAAUUUUUACUGAAAUAUCAGCUAUAUCGUCGUAUUUUCCAUUUUUUGGUGGCAAGCUAAUAAAUAAAUGUCAAAAUGAUAAUCUUAUAAAAAAUAUUUCAAAAAGAAAAAAAAAUCAUAUAUUCAACUUGAUUCAUUGUUAGAGUCUUUGUUAUAAAGUCGAUGAUGAUGUAUAUGAUAUAUUUCCUUUAUAUUGAAGUUUAUUAGCAUAUAUACCAUGUCUUAUUUUCCUACUUCGCUUUUAUAAGUACCAUGAAUGUAAAAAAAGUUUCUUUCUUUUCUUUUCUUUUCUUUUUUUCUCUUUUCUUUUCUUCCAAUAAUAAAGAUCAUUUAGAGACAUCCAUGGAAAUUAGAGAAAAGAAAAUAAGAUAAUGAUUUGAAAGAAGGUACAAAAAUAAUUUAUCAGUUUUAAAUAUUUUUAUUUUUAUUUUCUUCUAAUUUUUAUCUUUAUUUUCUUUUAUCUCAUAUAUUUCCUCAAACUUUUUAAAGUCUAAAUCUAAUAGGACGAAUAGUACUAUAUGUACUUGAUAAUCAACUUCAACCAUGAAGUUACAAAAAGGACCCUAUGUUAUAUUUCUAUGUACCAGGCCAUUACCUGCCAACAUGCGAGGCCAGCACGAUAAACUUAAAAAUUGUGGCAAGUCAAGUCAGCCUAUGCAAGCCAAAUAGAUGGCCCGACAUGGCCCAUAAGCCAAUGGCCCAUGGCCCAUGAGUCAAUGACUUUGUUAAAAUUUUUAAUUUAAUUUUCUUAAGUCAUUUGGUCUUAAGUUUUUUUCAAUAUUAAAUAAAAUUUCUUUUUAUUACUCUAAACAUCUCUAAUAAUUAUACUUUUUAUUUUUUAUAUACCUCUAAUAAUUAUAAUUUUUAUUUUUAAUAUUUAUAUUUAUCGAGUUUAUAAUUGUAAAAUUUAUAGAAAUAUUAGUUUUUUAUUUUUAAAAAUAGUACAAAAAUUAUAUUUGAAUUUAUUUAUUUUUUAAUCAAAAUAAAAAUAAAUUUAAAAUAACUCGUAAUAUAAAAGGAAGUGAAGUAUACAAAAAUAAUUCUUUUAUUCAAUAUUUCAACAAAUUACAUUAAAACAAAAAAAUAAGUAGACAGGGUCGACACGAUGGCACAACAGACUAUUUCCUUAGGCUCAGCACAGUCCGCUCCUUUGGGUUGGCACAACCCAGGCCUCUACAGUAAUUGGGUCGUGCUCGCUAGGCCCGGUCUUUUAGUGUGCCAGGCUACAGGCCAAAAUGGCCGGCCAGAUCCAUUGAACACCUCUAUUUCUAAGCCACUAGUUGUGAUAUGAAUAUGUCAAGAUCACCAAGUCUUAUUCAUUGAAUCUUCUAAUAAGGUUCGAAAUAAUAAGGGCCUCUAUCUUGAGGAUUAGAGAAGACCACUCUGAGUGUAAGCUUGAGUAGAAGCUAACAAUUGUUCAAAAUUGUGAAAACUACAACAACCAUGGCCUCAUUAAAUGUUAAAUUAGCCGAUCGAUGUGACCGAUCUUCUAUGGCUAUAACCAAGGAUUAAAAUUUCAACAAUAUUGACAAAAAAAAAAUGGACCGUCAACAUGAUAUAUGGGAGGAAAGGGUAUUUUGAAUAAGAAAACAAAAAAAAAAUAGUAAUUUUAAAAAAUGUUUCUUAAAAUGUGAUAAUUCAAAAAAUAUUUCAAAAUCUAUCAUACUUUAAAGAAAUCUAUAUAUAUAUAUAUAUAUAUAUAUAUAUAUAUGAAAACAAAUUACAAAGUAAAAUACCUACAAAUUCAAUUAAAAGAUAAUCAUAAUAAUCUUCGAAAUCAAACUUUAUAAUAUCUUAAAGAAAAUUUGAUUAUCAAAUGAUCGAUUCUAUAUUAUAAAUACAUUUCCUAAUUCAAUAAAUAGUUUUUAUUUUUAAAAAUAUUACAAAUAAUUAUAUAAAUAUAAAGAAAGAUUAAAAAUAAAUACUACAUAAAAAAUUGUUUUAAAAAUAUUAAAAAAACAAGUUAAAAUUAUUUCAAGUUCCAAAAAGACAUUCAUUCUACGGAAGAUUAAAGAAAAGUUUUCAAAAACUAGUUGUUAGAAUUGAUUUUUAAAACAGUAAUGAAAUAAAUUUGUUAUAUUUUGCUCACCUGCCUCACAUUUCCAGCUUUGCCGCCAAUCUAAGAAAGCUCACUGCCAGAAAUGGUGCCAUCUUCCUUCAGAACCUGGAGUUCCCAUGCACCACUCGUUUGGUCUAUUUCCCCAACCCACCAUGGGAUCUUCAUCUGGCUUUCACCAUGGUUCCGGGUCAGGCCAACCCUUGGAAGCCAUAUAAAAAAUAAAUAGAGAAAAAAAGUACAAAGAAAAAAAUAAAUAAAUUUAAAAUCAAUAUAUUACUUUUUAAAGUUAUUUCAAAUUCAUUAUAUAUACUUAUUUUUAAAAUUUUUAUGUAAAAAUUAAGUAAUUUAAAAAUAUAUAAAUUUUUAAUUAAUUUUAAUUAUAUUUGAUUUAAUUUUAUAAUAGUUUAUAGUGAAACCAAAUACGAGAAUAUUUUUAUAUAUAAGUUUUCUUUUUCUUUCUUUAGAUGUACUUUUUAGAAAAAUUAAAAUAUUAGUAAUUAUAAAUAUAGCGAUACUUCAAUUUUUUGAAUAUAUCGAAAAUAUAUUAAUAAAUAUUUUGAAAAAAAAUAUUGAUAAGUCUAAAAUGGAUCAAAACUUGUGAAAAUGUAAAAAACAAGGUCAUAGAAAUGUAAUUAGAAGUAUAAUAUAUAUUUUAAAUUUUUUUUUUUUAAGAACUUGAUAUAUGUACGAUACAAAAUAAUAUCUAUGUAUUUUAUAAGUGCAUAUUUAUUAUUAAAUUAUAUCAAAUAUUAUUUUACAAUAAUAUUGUGAUAUUUAAUUAUAAUAUGUCUAAUUUUAAAAUAUAUUUAAUAUUAAAAUUAUCAUCCAUUUAAUUCAAUUAUAUUAUAAAAUAAAUGAUGAUAUAUGUAUAAAAAAAUUUAAUUUUUAUAUUUUUUAUAUUUAAUGAAUAUAUAAAUUUAAAAAAAGUUAAGAAAAUUAUUAUCAUAAUUUUUAUAUUUUUAGUGAUCAAUUAAAUUAAAUUUAAAAAUAAAAUAAUUAGAAUUAAUUUAUUUAUUAAAAUAUUUUAUUUUUAUCAUAGUGAUAGUAUAUAUUUAUUCUAGUGCACAUUAUAUAAUAUAAGGCAAGUUAGCCCAAUACCUACAAGUCAAAAUUUAAAUUUUUUUCAUUUGACUGCCAGCCCACCCCGGUGAAAACACCCUUUUCAAUUUUUAUUUUUUUUUCUAGGCAAGAAUUAAUUUUCUAAAUUAAUUUUUUUAAUUAAAUUCUGGUUUGUAAAUUUUAAAUAAUCCUAUUUAAGGAAAAAAAAAAUGUUGCCUGUUACCAUCCCCGUAGUUUAUAAAUUUUUCGGUCAAAGUAAAAACAAAAAAACAAAAAGUAAAAGUCCAAGAAUUGCGCCGGCCAGCCCCAAAAAAUCAGCCAUUUUUCUUCGAAAAAUCGCCUAGCCAAAAUUUUCUUGGUGAAACACACGCCAUUUUUUUUUUGGGAAUUUCACCCCUCCCACAUUUCGCCAUCCGAUUUUGUUUCUACGACCACCGAAAUGUAAUAUUUUAGCAAAAUUUCACCGAAAUUUUUCAAAAUUUUCAUCGUUGCUUUCUAGAACCAAAAGUGAGGAUAUGUGUGGAAAAAAAAAUGAAGAAGUUUUAUUUUAGGGAGAAUUGUAUGUUGAGAUAACUGUCCAAGGUCUUCUUAACUUAUAAUUGAACUUAAAACUUAAUAAUAGAGUAAAAAUUAAGAUAAAUAAUAUUAUAUUUCAAAAAUCUCUAAGAUACCCUUAAUCGUCAAAUAAAAAACUAAUUAGUCACCCUCACCUCUUUCAUUCUCUCUUUUACUCCCUUUCUCUCUCUUUUUUCACCUCACCCUUCUUUCAUCUAUUUAUUAGAAUGAUUUUCCAAUAAUUUUCUCCAAGAAAUUGAAUAUUAUAGAUAAAUAUUUAAAAAUAAUUAUUGUCAAAUCUAUUUUUGAAGUAAAUAUUUUUUAAACAUCUCAUCCAAUAUUUUUUUUUUCAAACUUACAUAAUAUAUAAUAAAUAUAUUUUAAAUACCAGAGAAAAUAUUUUUCAAAUACAUUGGAUACUUAUAUAAUAUAUAAUAAAUAUUAUUCUUUAUUUCAAACUUAUGUUAUUUGUCAUAUAAAUUAAAUAAUUUUUAGAUACCUCAAAAAAUAUUAUUAUUCUUUGUUUGUUUUAACUUACAAAUUAGAUAUUAUAAAAUAUUAUUCUUUUUUUCAAACUUAUAAAUAUAUAAUCAAUAUUUUUUUAAAUACCUUAGAUUUUUUAUUUUUUAUUUUUGUUUCUUACCUACAAAAUAAUAAACAUGUCCUACAUUAUUUCUCAUAUAUAUUAAACAACUUUUAAACACCUCAUAAAAUAUUAUUACUUUUUUUUUUUCUAACUAGCAAAUUAGACACAUUGUAUUUAUUAUUUCUCAUAUUAUUACAAAAAUAAUGUAAACACUCACACUCUUCAAGAUAUUCAAAAUUUGUUCAUUCCGAAAGUACCUAAUUACCCCCCCCCCACUAGUCCUAAAUAUUUUAAAAUAAAGAUUUAAAUAUUUAAAACCAUUAAAAUAAAUAUUUUCCUAUUAAAACAAUUUUUUAAGGGGGUGUUUGGUACGUCGGAAUAGGGAAUGUAAAUAAUAUUUUGUUUUCUUUCCUAUUUCUUAGUGGAAUGGAAUGAAUUUGAUGAUUCCAUUUCUAACAUUUGGAUGAACUUAGGAAUGAAAGAUUGAAAUGAUUAUUUGUUUCCAUUCCAAUGUUUGAUAAUAAUAGGAAUGGAAAUGAAAAAGAAAUAAAUUUACAAUAAUAUCCUUACAUAUAAUUUAAAAUAUUUUUUUAUUUUUACUUUUAUUUUAAAAAAAAAAAAUUUGAGAGGUUUUUUGUUAUUAAAUAAUAAGACUAAAAAAUAUAUAUAUACUCAAUAAAUAAAAAAUUAACCAUAAAAAAUCGUAUAACCCUAAUGCACAAAUAUUCAAUUAUUAUUUUUAUUAAAAAUUUGAAUAAUUUGUCAUGCUUAAGUAGUUAUAAAAUUAUAUUUUUCAAAAAAAAUUAUUUAUUAUAAUAUUUAAAUUCUCAAAGCUAGCAAAUAAGGUAAACCUGAUUGAAGAUGUAGAAGGGAGUUUUCAGAACCUAGUUGCAGCAAACAAUGACGAAUCCUAGAUCCAACAAUCAAAAUGAACAUCCAAAACCCUAUAAAUUAGAAAUUGAUUUUUUUUUUUUAAAUAUCGUGGAAGGUUUAAUUGAUUCAAUUUGGAAGAAUCACUUGUUGUAGAGAAUUGGAUGAUGAGUGGGUCUCUAGCUUUGCAAAGAAGAUAAGAAGUGGAUGAUGAAUGGAUCUCUACCUUUACAAAGAAGAUAAACAUCGGGUUUGAAGAAUAAGAUAAGAGGGUAAAAUAGUAAUUUAGGUUAUUUUAUAUUAUCAAAUAGGUUUAAUGAAUCAAAAUACCACCUACUUUUAAUGAAUGCAAAUCCGACUCAUAAGUUGGAUUUGAUUUCUGCCGGAAUAAUUUUUUAUUUCAUUUCCGCCUUCUUAACAUUUAUCCAAACAUAGGAAUAAGGGAGAAAAUGAAUGAGAUGUCUAUUCCCACUUCCUAUUCCCGUGUACCAAAUACCCCCUUAGUAAUAAGAUAAAAAUCAUGAAAUAUUCAAAACUAGAAUUACAACAAAUUAAAAAAUUUAAUUUUAAAAUUAAUUCAAUAAUUUAAAUUAAUGAUUUUAAAAAAUAGAAAUGUUACAAAAAUAAUUUUUAGUUAUUUUUAAUUCCAUUUAAAUAUGAUUUUUUUAACCUCUAUUGAUAAUGAUGAAAUUAUGUUUAUAAAGGAAAAUUAGUAAAAAUAUAUAUUUCAUUUAGUUUAUUUCAGUUUACUAAUAAACAAUUUAAACAUGAUUAAUUUUAAUUUUAUUUCCUAUGUUAUAAUUUUGGUAGGAAGAUCUUAAUAGCAUAGUUUGGUAAACAAUAUAUAUAUAUAUAUAUUAAUAAUCGUCUUAAUGAUAAGCUUAUGUUGUUUACAAAUCGUACAAAACCUAUUAGAAACCUUUUAUAUCCUUAUACAGUUAUUAUAUUUUAUCUUAUACAGUUAGUGCAACACUCUUAUACAUUGAUGUAAAUUUUAUACACAUGCAUAAAUAAUGUAUUCACAUAGAUGUGUGAACCAUAUUUCCAAUAGUUUGGUUUAGAAAAGACAGGAAGACUUAAAGAACAAGUUUUUCUCCAAACAUCAUUAGUGAGAUAAGUAUUCAAAUUAUCAUGUACGAGUUAAAUAAAGUGUAUAAGAUAGGUAUGUGAUAAACGAAUAUGUAACAUGAGAGUAUAUAGUUCUUGGGUAAUAAGAAAAAUAAAACGAGAGGUUUAUAAUCGAUUAAAAUUCUAUAUAAAGGGUAGUCUUGUACACCACUUGUACACUUAGUAUAUUUCUCUUGUAUAGUUAGUGUAAUACACUUGUACAAUGACACACAUUUCAUAUCACUCCUAAGUUAUGUAUCCGUAUAGGUGUGUAAACCAUGUUUCCAAUUGUUUGGUUGAGAACCAAGAAAGAACAUUACUAAAACUACAAAAAUAAAAUAUGGAGUUACAAAAUAUGGAUGAUGAAAUUUAAAAAUAAGAGAUGAAAUAAUUAUUAUGUGAGAGAAUUUAGGUGGGGAAAUUGUACAAUUUUUGGGUAACAAGAAAAAAGAUGGAGAUUUUUUCAGAAUCAGUUCAAAUCCUUAACAAAUGACAACCUUGUAUACUUAAUAUAUUUUCCUUGUACAGUUAAUGUAAUACCUUUAUAAAGUGAUGCAAAUUUUAUAUCCAUCAUAAGUCAUGUGUCUACAUAGGUGUGUUAACCAUGUUUCCAAUGGUUUAAUUGAGAACCAAGAAAGAACAUUGCUAAACUACAAAAACAAAAUAUAGAUGAUGAAAUUUAAACAUAUGAGUUAAAACAAUUAUUGGGUGCAUGAGAGAAUUUGAGUGGGGAAAUUGUGUAAUCCUUGGGUAACAAGAAAAAAGAGUGAGAGUUUUUCAAAAUCACUUCAAAUCCUUAACAAAUGGCAUUAUUGUACACGCUUAUAUAGUUAGUACAUCCGUCUUAUAUGUAACACCCUUGUAUAGUGGUGCAAAUUUCAUCCAUAUGCAUAAAUUAUGUGUCCACAUAGGAUGAGUAACCAUUUUUUCAAUGAUUUGAUUAAGAAAAUGAUAAAAGACGUAAAAACAAAAAUUUUCGCCACACAUCAUUAGUAAGGUAAAUAUUUGAAUUAUCAUAUGUAAAUUAUAUAAAGUGUACAAAAUGAAUGUGUGAUUGAGGAAUGUAUGGCAUGAGAGUGUGUAAUCUUUAAAUGACAAGGAAAAAAAAAGUUGUCCAAAAUUGAUUGAAAUAUUUCACAAAUGGUAGUCUUGUACACCCCUUAUACAGUUAAUGUAACACCCUUGUAUAAUAAUGCAAAUCUCAUCCACAUGCAUAUUUUAUUUGUUUCUUCAUUUAUAUUGUUUGUAUUUCAUGGAAAACCACUUGAAGUAAAUAUGAUGAAAAUUAAUUUGAUAUGCGUGCAAGCCUAUAAACAAUAUUACAAAUAGUUUAAUAUAUAUAUAUAUAU
RNAcentral lists this long non-coding RNA (130637 nucleotides) under Vitis vinifera (wine grape). RNAcentral describes it as "long non-coding RNA (VVIN_LNC003036)". The record is from RNAcentral. Lineage: Eukaryota; Viridiplantae; Streptophyta; Magnoliopsida; Vitales; Vitaceae.